UUAACCAAUUUCUUCAACUUUUAAUUAUUUAUCCAAUUUCAUAUACUUUUUUUCCCUUCUCUUCAAUAUAAAAAUGGUUAUACAAAGGGUUUUCUUCUAAUUUGUCUCAACAUUAAGUACCCUUUAGAGUUUCCGAUGCUCACCCCAAUCAUCAAGUAUAUUAAAUUGACCACCUUCAUUUAUUUUCUCAAAACAAUACUAAAAGAAAAUUCUUUAAAAAAAAUUAGCAUAUAAUACCGAAGUUUUAUUGGCAAAUCGGCAAAUUCUAAUAUCAUUUAUUUAUAUCCUCUACCUCUUCCAAAUUUAAACUUGGAGUGAUUAAAAGAAUAAUAAUAAUAAUAAUGUGCUUAGAAAACCACAAACCAAGCCCUAUAUCAUCAUAUCAUAUGAAUUUUUUUACAAAUUAGUUAAUUAUUAAUAUUUUGAUAAUUUAGGGACUCUCAUUCAACCAAAGUUGGAUAGCUCUCUCUAAUGGGGAAGGUAUUCGCAUCCAACCCACUAUCUCUAAAUGUACCCGACCCAACAUUCGAGUCAUGGCUACGUGACUCAGGAGGGUUUUUUAUUUAAAUAUCCCUAAUUUAUCUUUAAAUACCAAAUUUAUACCCUAUUACAUAUAUAUACCUCACGAAGAUAGGAAAAGUAAAAAAUAACCUUAAAAAAACUAAGAAUCCACACAUUUCUUCCUCUUAGUGCAGGAAGAAGUCGAGUACGAAGUCGAGUAAGUCGAGAAUUUAGUCGAGUAAGAAUUGGUCUAGUAGGAAGUCGAGUAAGCAUAUUAAAUGAGUCGAGUAUUAAGUAAAAGUCAAAUAAAUUUUUUUAACAAGUCGAGUAAAAUAUAUGUAAUUUUUAAAGAGGUCGAGUAUUAAGUCGGGUAAGUACAUUGAGUCGAGUAUUAAUAUUUUUAAAAAAGUGAAAUCUGGUAAGUUGAGCAUUCAAUCAAGCAAGAAGUGAAGGCAAUUGAAAAAGUCGAGUAUCUAGUCGAGUACGAAGUCGGGUAUGAAGUUUGGUAAGUUGAGCAUUCAGUCGAGUAAGAAGUGAAGGCAAUUGAAUAAGUCGAGUAUCUAGUCAAGUACGAAGUCGGGUAUGAAGUCUGGUAAGUUGGGCAUUCAGUCGGUAAGAAGUGAAUGCAAUUAAAUAAGUCGAGUAUCUAAUUGAGUACGAAGUCGGGUAUGGAGUAUGGUAAGUUAAGCAUUCAGUCGAGUAAGAAGUGAAGGCAAUUGAAUAAGUCGAGUAUCUAGUCGAGUAUGAAGUCGGGUACGAAGUCUGGUAAGUUGAGCAUUUAGUCGAGUAAGAAGUGAAGGCAAUCGAAUAAGUCGAGUAUCUAGUCGAGUACGAAGUCGGGUAUGAAGUCUGGUAAGUUGACCAUUCAAUCGAGUAAGAAGUGAAGGCAAUUGAAUAAGUCGAGUAUCUAGUCGAGUACGAAGUCGGGUACAAAAUCUGGUAAGUUGAGCAUUGAGUCGAGUAAAAAGUCGAGUAAGUAGAUUGAAUGAGUCGAAUAUUAAUUUUUUAUUGGUAUUUUAUUGAGGCUAUUUUUGUACUUUCCCUAAUUUAUUUAAGUAUGUAUGUGUAAAGUUAUAAAUUUUAAUAGAUUGAGGUAUAUUUUAGGUAUUACGAAGGAAACGGGAUAUAUCCCAUGCAAUUCCAUCGACUCAGGCUACCUCGAAAUCCUCAACACCGCCACAACCACGUCGGCCACCGCCGUCACAACAGCCUCCACCAAAGAAACAGCCACAGCCACGACCAUAACUCACAGCCUUUUACAUUAUUUAUACACCUUUGUCGCUCUUCUUAUCGUCAACCCUUUUGCUAAACUCACCACUGAUGAUUUCUCAGCCAAGACCCCAUCUUGGACCCGUGAGUUUAUUGGGGCUCUUGGGUCUUACUCGUUUCCCUCUUCCCCACACACCCUUAAGUUAAGAGUUCAUGAGAAUGUUAAACUUUAUGCCAGGAAUUCUGUUUUUUUGUUCAUCCUCUUCUUUGCUUGCUCUCUGUAAGAAUUUAGUUUCCUUUUCUGAAUGGUUUUUGUAUGUGGGUAUAUGAAUUUUGAACGAGAUUUUGGGAUGGUUUUGGAUGUGAUUAGAUUUAUGUGGCCUUGAUUGGAUUUUUAAUGAUAAUUUUGAUUUGCUUACCUGUGUUUGUAAGGGUUUCAAUCUGCUUAAAUGAAUAAUUAAGUAUAGAUUUUUUUUUUCUGGGUUCCAAUUGAUAAAUAACAACACUAUGAAUUUGCAAUUUUGCGUUGUUUUUUUUUUCCUGAGCUAGAGCAAGUGAUUUAUGAUACAUUACUCGUUACCCCUAUAUAUGAAUGUGUGCACUUUUGCUUCUAUACUUGUUCUUGCCUUCUCUGGAUGAGUGUUGCUUUAAACUUUCCUUAGCAAGUCUUUCCAUUAUACUACAGUCUAGCUGUUGAUAAAUAAUGGAAUUCUUUCCUCGUCUUCACGGUAGUAAUUACAUCUCAUCUUUGCAGCUACAUUGGUUGUUCUUAUGCUCCUGAAUGUUCAUAUGGCUCUAUUCUGUGCACUUGCUAUAAGUUAUAUUGGUAAAUAUUAGAAACUCUUCUUCAUCUUUUAUGAAUGUUGCCUUUGCUUAGAGUCAGCUAACAAUUAGUCUACUGCUUUGUAGUUAUGAUUUUGCUUGCUGCAUUUCAUAAGCUCUCUCCUUCAAAGCAACCUUCUCGAAUAAGAUGAAAAUCAAUUUUCCAAACGAAGGUUCCUCAUUGAAGAAAUUUAAAGAUUCGGAAGCAACUAGCUGAUAUGACUUCUACGGAAGCAAUGAAGAAGAGGGUACCCUAUAAAAGAUGAGAAAUUACUGCAACAAAACCUCCCAAGGGAGUGACAUAAUCAUAUUGGUGGUGUACUCCACUCGGGCACAAUCCAUAGUCAUUUUGUCACCUCAAGGGGAGGAAAUGACUCCUGCAACAUGUAAGAAAACAUAAUCAAAUUGACAUAACAAUAAUUCCAAUUAUACCGUUGUGAUAGAGAGAAAAAGGAGAGCAAACAAACCUGAGUUUUCUUUAUCCAAUUGCAUUGCUCGCCCAUUUUAACUUCAUAGCGCGGUGUCUCUUUCGAGCCAAUGGAAUUAGCAGCAUUUAAUAUGCACUCAUCCACGUCUUCGCAUUCAGGAAAUAUGGAAUAAAUAUAGAUCUGCAUAAAAGCAAUCUGUAAGUAAUACUUAAAACAACUAUAGUUUUUAUUCAGAAGCCACUCUACAUUCAACAAAAUCUAAGACCAGCUAGUAACAUUAUAAUGGCGUUUUCGAGGCACUCUUUUAACACAGAAAGAAGACAAUUUUCAAUUCCAUACCAAACAUUGAAAAUUUUGUGCUUAUUUAGUAUUAUUAUUAAUUUUUUCCUCUUGCUACCUUUCUAGCAAGUGAACCAACAAAGUCAACAAAAAUCUAAGGCUAACUGGUAACAUUACAUUGGAAAUUAGAAGCACAUUUUUAACACAAAUAGAAGCCAAUUUGCAAAUGGGAAAUGAGUUUCAUUUCUUGUUUAUUGUUGCUCUCAAGAUCCUUUACAAGACAUGAAUCAAUAAUCAAAGAAAAGAAAAAAGAAGAAAUUAAAAACUAAAGUUUCAACCUCAUCAGAAUUCUCAUCAGCAUCAUUAUCAUGUUCAUCCACGCUUGUAGAACUUGCACCGAAACAUAGAAGAGCUUCAGAAAACAUAUCCUGACAACACAAGUUAAGGCACCUCAAUUUUAAUGCCAAAUAAUUACUAAUUCAAAAUGCUUAAAAACACAGACAAGUAAAAAAAGUGAAACUCACUAAGGCAUGUUUUUGACAGCAAAUGCGAACUGAGAGAUAAGAAGAACGGGCUAAAACUUUUAUGAGAACGGAAGAGGGUGCUGUUGAUUGGGUUCUGGGUUUUUGAUUUAUGAGCGGAAAUAGAUUCUGAUGGCGGGUGAGUUGUUUGUACGGAGGACGUUUGAAGAAAUGACCCAAUGAGAAGAAUGACAUUUCUAAAUUCUGCUCUGCUUUACAAAGAUAGUUGUUUAUCUGAGAGUGGGUCUUCGACUCGCAGAGCACUCAAAUAAUUUAUUUUCUAUCACAAUUUAUUUCCCCUCCCUUCUGAGUAGGAAUUAGUGCUGAUUUUCGAGCUAUCUUCCCUAUAAAACUCUCAACUAUUAGAACAAUUGAAAGAAAACAUAAUUAUAUAUUAACAUAAAGCAGCAAGUCAAUUAGAUUAGAUUGUUUGAUUACAUUGGAUCAAAUAAGAAGACGGUACCUAGAUUCUGUAAGGUACGUCCAUCCAAAAUAAGUAAAAUAAAGGUGGUCUUAAGUGAGACACGCUCCAUUCUUAUUAGAGAGGUGUACCUCACAGAAUCUGCAAGGUAGUAAGGUCCAUCUAAUAAUUUGAUAUUGUUUAACCUAUAUGCACAUUAAUGAAAGCUAUCGGCACCCUCUAAGACCUUCAUAGAACCCUGUGUUUAAAACUUGCAGAACUACAAAAAGAGAAUAGAGUGGAGCUAUUGGCACCUCCAAAAGAAUUCUUAUAUCUUAAAUUUAUAUUUUUAACUUUAAUCAAAUCACGUUUGACUAUUCAUCUAUCUUCCUCUAACCCCACAUGGGUUUUAUUUUUAUUAAAUAAAAGAUAAUUUUGUUGUUUUAGUGAAAAUGUUUUUUAUUUUUAUUUUUAUUCUUAAAUUAGUGGUUUCUGUUGGACUGAAAUUUUAGUUCAUUAUUUUCAAAUUAUGAAAGGCUUAUUUUUUUAUGGCUACUUGUUCUCUUGAUUUUAUCAAUUUACGUGUUCAUAUAAAAGUAUGUGAAUUGUCACAUUCAGAGUAUAAAAUAAUAUUGGAUUAGCUUCAAACAAUCUUUUUUAGUAUAAAAGAAAUAUUUAUUUAAUUCUUUUUUCUCUCUCUCAUAGUAAAGUUAGUGAGAAAGAAGUGUACAAGGACGUUUGUGGAAUUAAAAUAGAUCCACUCAAGAGGAUGGCCUAGAAUAUUUCUUAUCUAGUUUUUAGAUUCUACUUUCUACUAGUUUAACUUACUUCAUAGUAAUGUUUUGAUAUCUUUUCCCAUGGAAUGAUAAAAUAAAGUAAUAAAAUGAAUUCUAUAUUAUAAGAAUCUCAUUUAUAUAUAAGAAUAAGAAUAAAAACUUGGAAAAAGAAGCUCAAACAGUUCUAAAUUGAAAAGUUGAUUCUCAUGGACCGAACAAGGGCUUCAGAUUGAAUUGGUGAAAAGGUUUUGUACUAAAAGAUUUUUGUUUUCAUAUGAUUUUUUAAGAAAAAAGAAUAUAUAAGGUUAUUUGUGGAAUUAACAUAGGUGUUGUUAAAAGUACUGUGAUUUACAUAUGUUUUUAAUGGUGUAUUUUUAGAAGAAAGGUUUUAUGAGGAGUUUAAAGUGGUGCUAAUAGUUUCACUUAUUGACAAAUGGGUCAAAAAACAUCUAAAAACUUCAAAAACCUUUCAUAAUACCUGUAAUGGAACACAAAAUAGUUAAUUAUACUUUACAACUCAAUUUUUAAAAAAAACAUUUUACAACUCAAAAACACACUAGAGGAUCUUUAAUAUUUCUUAGUUUACUAUAAGAUACUAUUAGUAUAUAUAACAAAAUAAGAAUUUAUUGAUUGAUACCAUAUAUUUCAUACAAAUGAAGUGGAAAAUCUUCCACCUGAUAGAAUAUAUAUAUCAUAUGACAAGUUACAUACAUCUAAUUUUCUGCAUGCAUAUGGAACAAAAUUAAUUGUUUCAAUUUCUAAUUUGUCAAAUUGAGGUCUGAUUUCUGAAUUUUUUAGUUGUCAAAUGGAUUAAAUUUCCCCCAUAUAGGAUCCAGCUAUCUUGCAUCAUGACUUUGGUACCCUAGUCCUUUGUCUUAUAGCGAAUGAGCCUUUAGAAUGUGAAGAAAUGUAUCUAACAAUUGAGAUUUAACAUUUGGAAAAUGGGUAACCAGCUGAAGGCGUAGCACCUGUAAAUCAAAAAAAAAAGUUUGUACGUGUAAGCAUCAUUUGCGAUUUUUCCGACGGAUAAAGUUUAUAGGCGAUGGUUCUUAGCAUUAUUGUCUUGAUACUGUUUUCUGAAAGCUAUGAUGAAGUAUUGAAUCUUCUUAAUCUGGGUUUUGUUUGAGAAAAAGAAGGUUUUCACUUAUAAGUUUAUCGUGACAAACAACUUUUGCUCAUAAUCACCUAUAACACCAUACCAUUGCCUAUAUUCAAGCCACAAUACUAGUUGCAACCUUCUUAAAUAUUCAUUCAAGUAAAAUAAUAGCAAAAUUAAGCCUAUACAAAAAAUUGUAUUCUUUGAGGCAUUUAGCAAACAUUUGUAUUGUCAUAUUUAACAAACUUAUUUCCAUAAGCAUUUUAUCAAUUUUCAUUCCUAGUUCAAGCUUAAUGUUACAAAACUAAUCGCUCAACAAGAUCUAACCUAUAAUCAUCAACAAUUAGUACUAAAACAAUAAAUCCAUUAUCCAUUUAAGAAUUUGGACAUAAACUCAGCGAACUAACUCAAAUUAAAGAGGCCGCUCUUGCUGGAAGUAGCCAUUGUCGUCGCGGCAUCGAUUAGCCGUUGUUGUUGCCAUUAAUUUAUUUGCUUGAUCAAAAACUGCUGGUUUAGAUUUUUGCUGGAAGUAGCCAAUAAUUCAUAAAUUUUUAGGUUAAUUUUUUUAAUUUCCCUAUGCUCAAUUACCAAUCUAGGUGACCGGCCCAUUAUUUGUUUUUCUAGUUACUCCUAUUUCUCUGUGUUUCUUUUCUAGCCAUCAGAUGAAAUCCAACGGUGACUUUGGUAAAUGACAAAUGAGUGGUGUACAAAACCUACAAUGCAAAGUAGUUUUGGCCUCCCCAUAUAUACUGUCUAGAGAAACUCAUGAAUCUAAACGAACCAAACCCAUAUUAAAUUUAAUAAUAUCAUUAUCCUCAGACUCUCAGUUUUUCACUUUUGCUUACAUAAACAUUGUGGAACUUAAACUUAAAUCCACAUUUUUCAUCACUCUCUUGGUGGCCUCAUGUUGUUCCUUAAUCUUCUCUUCCUCAUCUUUUUAAUGCAUGCAUAAUUAACUAUAUUUUUGUUUGUGUUCCUGGACGCAAUUCAAUGUGUUGUUGAAGAGAUUAAAGCUUGUAUUGCAAGUUCUAGUGAUAUUUUGGAUGCUGAAUUGCAAAAUUUGUAACGUUACAAUCUUUGUUUCAUUUCUUACAUCAUAUGUCAAAUAAAAGUAUCAACUAAGAUUGCUGCCUCUCUUCUGAUGUGCAUAUUAAAAUUGCAUGCAAAAAUUUACAAAUCAUCUCCAUGUGAUUGGUCCUAUUAUACAAUAUUGUACUAUACAUUUGGAGAAGUAUUUAAGGCUUGGAAUUAGGGAUGACAAAACAUUGGUUUUUUUUUUUCCAAAGGCAAGCCAAAAAGCUUGAAGUAUACAUUCUGUAUUUUUUUAAAAAACUUUUUUCAUUAUAUUUUACAAAUUUUAUAGUUUAUAAAAUUUAGUUUUUUCUUUGUUAGAUCAGGCUUUAAUAGUUGGGUUCAAAUAACUUAAAACUUUAAAUAUAUGCUAUAAGUGGAUUACAUAUAUGUAAAAAGUUGUAUUUUAAUUAAAGUAAUAUAGAUUUUUAAAAUUUUCAAUAUUUUUUGGGCUUUCUGGUUGGGUUCGGGCUUUUAAACCAAAGUCCAAGUCCAGCCAGAGUACUUAGAAAACAUGCUCUAGUUAGACCGGAUUUUUCUGUCAUUCCUACUUGGAAUUCGACUAUCAUUAAUUUCAUUGUUAUAUUUUUAACACUAAGGACUCAAAUGAAAAUAAUUACAAAUAGUUUCUUAAGAUGUAAUCCUUUCAAAAAGGUGAGGGUUCAUUUAAUACUGAUAUUUGAAUCAAAGAAUGAUACAAUGAUGACAAAACAAUUGUAAAUUUUAUUUACAGUAUUAAAUAAAAAAUUAUAACUAUUUUUGAAUUAACAUUGUAACAUUACACAAUUUACUAUUAUUUUUGUCACCCUUAUGUCACGGUUAGAACUCUUUAUCAUUUUGCAUUUCUUAAAAAAUAAUGCUAAAAAGAUCCCCAAAUUUCUGCGGGAUAUGGAUGUAGUUUUAAAAUGAAGAUAUAUUAAAUAUAAAAUUUUACAAAGGAUUUAGUACUUUCUCUAAAUCUCGUUGAAGAAAUAAGAGAGCAUCGGACAUGAUUAAUAAUGCAUAUUUAUUUGAGUAAUUCACAUUUAUAACCCUGGGAUACAAAUUUUAUCUGUGAUAUACAUACAUGCAAGUAUGUGUGUGAUAUGCAUACAUACUUGGAAACUUUGGUGCCUUCCAUGACAAUCAUCUUGUGGCAGUAAGGUCAAAGAUUCCAUUGCUUUUGCUUUCAAUGAACAGAGCUAGCAUACCAGACAGGGUUAGCAUUUUAUUAAUUGCAAGUGGUAGCAUAUUUAUUCAUUAGCGUCACCUUCCCCUCAUCUUCUCCAACCUUGCUGCAAGUGGUAGCAUAUUUAUUCAUCACCUACAUUGAUAAAGUUUUUUUCACGAGAAACAGUCACGGAAAAACUUGUGCAUGAUAUAGCAGUCAGUGACUAACUCCAUGAAAUCAUUAUUUGUCUUUAAUUUUCAUCGUACUCCUUAUUAAAAAAGUAUUAUGAUUACACAGUCAGUGUUUUAUAUUCACAGAAGACAAAAGUAAUGAAGUACUGCAAUUUUGGAUUUAAUUGCAACUUGUAUAAUUUAUUAUGCUCCAAGUCCAUAUCAAAUAAACCAAAACCCAAUCUCUUUUCUACAGCUACUUCCCCAUUGUACAUAUUAUCAAAAUUCUAUAAGGGAAAAUAUCCACCGUCCACCUAUUUUUUACACCUUUUUCAAAAAUACACAAUUCCUUCAUUUUUUAACUAGAAUCCACCUAAAGUUACAUUUUUUUUCACUUUUCCACUUCCGUUUGGAAUCCGUUAAGAAAACUAACGGAAACUUAAUAAAAUGACCAUUUUACCCCCAAAACGAAAAUUACAAUUUCACCUUAAAAAAUACCAAAAAUAAUAAGAUUUAAUGAUGAAUAUCAUUAUUGGUACUUUAAUGAAGUACAAAAAAAUCUUAACUACUAGAGAUUAUAACUCAAUUAAUAAUAAAACUCUACUUAUCUUAAAUUCAAUUGAUGAUUUGUGAGAUUGGGCUAUUUUUAAUACUACUGUUAUAAUUUAGCAUUCUAAUUACAGAUAUAUUUAUAAAAAAAACAUGCAUUUGAUGGUUAUGGAAUUAAUUUAUUUAUUGACCGAUGGGGAAAAUAAUUAGAUUUAAUCUAAUUAUUUUUUGUAAUUUUUAAGGUGAAAUUGUAAUUUUCGUUUUGGGGGUAAAAUGGUCAUUUUUUAAAGUUUCCGUUAGUUUUCUUAACGGAUUCCAAACGGAAGUGGAAAAGUGAAAAAAAAUAUAACUUUGGGUGGAUUCCAGCCAAAAAAUGAAAGAAUUGUGUAUUUUUGAAAAAGGUGUAAAAAAUAGGUGGACGGUGGAUAUUUUCCCAUUCUAUAAUAAAACAUCAUUCAUGUAUAGGAGAAACUAUUGACUAAACUAACAUGCUCACACUACUUGAGUGCUGAGAGAAAGAGUUGCGUCGGUCAACCUACGACCAAUUCCAUUCAUCAACAACAAAUGUUUCAGCGGACACAUAAAUAUUUGAAUUAAGAGCUAAGAAGUUUUAACAAUGAAUUUUUUUUUAAAACAAAGAUUCUGCCUUGAUAUGUUCUAAUUUCAGAGUCAACGAUCUUGAUUCAACUUCUUGACUGGAGAACUAGCUAAGAGAAGGGAGGUACGGGAGCCAACACUAAUGUUUGAAUUGAGAGCUUUAAAGCAUACUUUCUUCCCCCCCCCCCCCCCCCCCCCCUCUCUCUUUUUAACUAUUUCUUUGCAUGCUAUAGGACUGAUUUCGGGGUGAAUCUAAGAGAGGAGGAGAUAUGGGCAUCAACUUCAGACUAUUUUCAGAGAGGCUGGGACGGGUGUUAGCUGGUGAAGAAGUCACGUUGCCUGAUGCUGCAAAACAACCUAUUCAGAACCUUCAUGCCGAGACUGAAAUCGUUACUUCUUGGCUGAGGGAAUUUGAAAAUGAAACUUCCUGGCUUAUGGUGGAAAAGAUCGGAGAAGAGGAAAUUGAUGACCUAGAUCUGGCGACCGUUAUGGAUGAAAUCAAUUGCUUUACGUAUGAAUCUGAGAGGGUCAUUGACACAUUCAUCAACAGCAUCACUCAACAGAAGAGUCAAAGCAGCUGCAGCAAGGACAUUUUUUAUGCUCUGCAAGGACUCCAAAGCAGAAUCACUAAGAUUAAGCAACGGGUUCAACAACUUAAGCACAUCGAUCCCGAAAUCAUGGAUGACUUCAGAAGUGUUGAAGCUGAAUCCGGUUAUUUUCCUGCAUCUUCAUCUUCUAAGAAUAGGAACACGGUGGGCCUAGAUGAUAGAAUGGAGGAGUUGUUAGAUCUAUCGAUCGAGGGACCAACUCAGCUUUCGGUGGUGGCCAUACUCGAUAGCAUUGGGUUGGACAAGACGGCUUUCACUGCGGAGGCUUACAACAGCAGUUAUGUGAAGCAUUAUUUUGAUUAUCUCACUUGGAUUCCAGCGCCUUAUCAAUAUGACCCUGACCAAAUAUUAGAUAUUGUUACUGUGAUUCUAUUGCUUUUUUCUAUGUUGAGUAAAAUAAAGGAUAAAGAUUAUGAAAUGAAAAAAAUUAUUCUUGGUGAAUAUCUAAUGACUAAGCGGUAUUUGAUUGUGCUUGAUGAUGUGUGGAGCACAGAGCUAUUUGAUGCUAUUCGAGAAAUCCUUCCGGAUAAUCAGAAUGGAAGUAGAGUGCUAAUCACACUCACUCUAAUUGAGAUGGUCACCUCAUUUCAGUUCGAAAAUGGAGAGAACGUUCGCCUUGAUAUAGUGCCCACUGGAGGACCAUUGAGAGUUACCUACCAAGGAUGGCCUUUCCUCAUCUUAUAUCAUGGAAGCAUCUCAUUAGAACAAAAUAUAGAGGAAGCAAUCGAGGGACCCAUGGGGCGUCUAACCGUCAUAUCUUGCAAGCUACCUUUUCACUUGAAACUUUGUUUUCUCUACUUAUCUGUGUUUCCUGCACACCUAGAGAUAUCCACCAGGCAGUUAUAUCAUUUGUGGAUAGCUGAGGGUUUCAUUCCAGACAACAGUGAGGCAACUGCUGAGAAGUACUUAGAGCAACUAAUCAACAGAGGCUUUGUCGAAGCAAAUAAGAGAAGAACUGGAGGCACAAUCAACACAUGCUCUAUUCCCGGUCGUUGCCGUCCUGUAUUGUUAGCAGUGGCUUCCGAGGUGGAAUUUAUCUUUCUCUCGUUCAUGGUUUCAGAACGUAAAUCAAAAAAGAAUGUUAAACGGAUCAACGUUUUUGAUAAACAGAGUGAUUUUGUUCACUUUGUUGAUGAUGACUCGCACAUGCAUUCUUUGUUGUACUUCACUUCAAAAAGCGACCACCUUGACCCAAUAGAUUGGGGGAUAAUUUGUCUAAUGUUGGAAUUUCUUAGAGUAUUGGACUUGGGAUCUCUUGUUCUCAUCCAAUAUCCAUCUGGAAUUGAAAAUUUAUUUCUUUUGAGAUAUUUAAAGUUGAAUAUCCCUUCCCUCAAAAUCCUGCCUUCAUCAUUAUUAAGCAAUCUUCUGAACCUUUACACCCUAGACAUGCCCUUUAGCUAUAUAGAUCAUACAGCUGAUGAAUUUACUUUGCAUGCUAGGAAUACCGCGUGAUGAGACGGGAAGGGAAGGAGUCACGUUGCCCUAGGCUGCUAAACAACAUAUUCAAAACCUUUACGCAGAGAUACGAAAUCGUUACUUCUUUGCUGAGUGACUGUGGAUACAACACAGCUUGGAUUAUGUUGCGAUCAAAUGCUAUAAAAGAUCAAAUUGAUGGAGAAUUAGAAACAGAUCUUCAGCCCAUUAUUGAAUUAGACUGUUAGCUCUCUCAAAUAGACUUGCUAACAUCGUUCCAACUGAAAAAUGGAGAGAACAUUGGGAUUAAGUUAGUGCCUGCAGGAGUGCCACUAAAAGUUACCGACGACCUUUUCUCAUCUUCUACCAUGGAAUUGUGUCAUUAGAAAAGAAUUGGCUAGAUACUUGGCAUAUCUCUAGUGGGUAUCAAAUGUUUUCAUAUUCCACAUUUUAGGAUUCUAUACUGAUCUGAGCUACUACGAUUAUGUAAUUAUGUGUUAUUAUAUGAAAUAAAAUAAUGAAUAAAUCUUGAUUGUAUAUAAAUAAGAAUACACAUAUAUCAUAAGAUUCUUCAAAACCCAUAUAAGUUUAAAUUAUAAGAGGAUUUAAUACCAUUUCACAUUACCUUUUUCUUGAAAAUUUAAUUGUAUCAAUUGUGGGUAGCUGAAGGUUUCAGUCCAAACAAUAAUGAGUCAACUGCUGAAAAGUUCUUGGAACAACUAGUCAUGGAGCUUUUUGGAGCAAAAAUGAGAAAAGCUGGAGGCACAAUCAACGCUUGCUCAAUUCCUUCUCUGUAAAUUUGAACGCUUAAACACGUACCAUCAUCCCAGUUCCUUGCAGUCGCCCCAAAGCCCCUGCUUGCAGUAGAGGAAAAACGAUUCUGUAUAGCCAUCGGGACUCAUCGAUGAAACAGAGAAGAAAAUUUGAAACAAUCCAAGGUUUCAUAGAUCAAAUGAAACCCCAAGAUCAAUCAAGACCAAUGGAGACAAGAUCAAUGGAUGAUCUUGUACUUAGCUCUAAAACAAAUAAGUAAAACCAUCAAAGAAAUUGGAUCAAAACCAGCAGGUUUAGAUUGAUUAUUUAUGAAUGUUCGGGUUGGAUUUUUCUGAUAACCUCUAGAAAGAGUCAAUAUUGUUCAGGUUGGAUUUUUCUAGUAAUGUUUAGAAAUAUAGUCGACCCCAAUCUACUCAGAACUCAUUGUCGUCGAGCUAACCUUGUAAGUACAACCUGGAGCCUAUGUUGGCAGCCUGAUUUACAAGUAUGACCUGAGAUUUAUGUAAAUGACCUGAUUUAAGAAUACAACCUUAAGCCUAUAUAAGCGACCAGAAAAUUCACCAGUCCGAUCUGAAAGUGAAGAAAUCCAACCUCGAAAUUUAUUUGUCUGACUCGAGAAUUAACUUGACAUAGAAAGCUAUCGGUUGAGAUAACAUGGCCUAGUUUCUCAUAAAGUUAUGUGCCACGAUCCAUUUAAACCAUCUCCAACUGAUGACCAUGUGCAACUGCUGAAGAAAGUGGGUAGAAGUUAAAGGUGGUAACCACCCACGACCAAGGGCCUAUUUAAGCUAAAAAGGACAACUGAGGAAAGGGUUAGAAAAAUGAACCAAAAAUUCUAUAAGUUGCCUCUCUAAAAGUCUUAAGAUUCCCGACAAGAUUUUUAGUUUUCUUUACCGAAAAAAUUCCUUAAUUUUCACUUUUCACAAUUCUCCCUUCUCGUUUACCUUUUUCUUAUACACAAUUUCUGACUUAAUCAUCGGAGGGUCUACGCCGGGACCCCACCGGCGUAUUCUAACCGUGUUUUCUGGUUGUUAGGUAUAUAAAGCUGGGUUCAGACCGAUGUUUGAGCUUGGAUUCGCGUUGUAAUUCUCCAAAAGAAAACAAAUUCAGCUGUUGAGGUCAUUUUUCGGCAUCAACAUCUUGGCGCUAUCUGUGGGGAAUGGUGCGAAAAGCCAUACGUUUGAAGAUUUAAAAGGAGGAGGCUAUCGGAUUACAAAACAGCGAUAUAUGAUAAUGAUGGAGACAGGCAGACCUUGCGCCAAUUGGCGGAGGAAAUGAAUGCCACGACAGAUAAGAGAUGGAGAGAAUGGAUCGAGAGGCACAUGGCAAAAUUUGAGGAGAUGGUUAGGGGGCUGAUUAAUGCCCAAGUUAGAGGGGCUCAAGUUCGAGCUAGUGACCCAGGGAGUAGUGGAGCGCGAGAGAGGGAAGAGCUUGGUGGUGAACAGUAGAGCAGAAUGGGACUACCACAAGUUGGGGUACGACAAGAAAAUAGAAGUGUAGGAGAACAAGUGAAUGAGUUGAGAUACAGAAUCAAUGACUUGAAUCAAGAAAGAGAGAGGGAAGAGCUGAGAGACCCCCACCAGGCAAAUGAGCUUGAGCAGCGAAUGCUGCAAUUUUAAAAAACUUUAGAGGCAUUAAAGGCGAAAACAGAGGGCAAGCAAGUGGUAGGAAGGUUGUUACUUGAUGACAAGUCCCUCUUAGUACGUAAAGUGAUGGCGGUAACUUUGCCAUCUAAGUAUGUGGUUCCAGCCUUGGUGUAUGAAGGAAAAACUAACCCGAAUCAUCAUAUGGAGAAGUUUAAUAAGAUGACCGGGAUCCAAGGUUUGAAUAAUUUUCAAAGGUGUCGUGUUUUUCCUUUAACCUUAGAAGGACGAGCACGGGAGUAGUACCAGAGAUUAAAGAAGGGAAGCAUAGAAAAUUUCAAUGAGUUAUGUGAGCUUUUCGCUGUGCGUUUUAGAUGUUCAUGCAUACUAGAGUAAGAUACGAGUAGAUUGAAAAAAAUUAGUCCAACGAGAAUUUGAAAGUUUGAGGAGUUUUGUGACCAGGUAUCAUAAAGAGAUUACUGAUCUAGGGGCCUUUGAUCAUCCAGAUGCUCUAGAGGGAUUAAAGAAAGGGUUGAGAAUCAAUCGAUUGUGGAAUAACUCAUAUAGUAAGAGGAUAACAACAUAUACUGAGGCGUAUGACCAGGAAAAUUUGGAUAUGAAAAUUGAAGAUGCAGAGGAAGAAACAAGGAGAAUGGAAAUGCAGACAUGGGGUCCGAUGAGAAGGGGGGACCUGAGAAGAAGAUGAGAUAACUUUGGGUAUAGCUCGAGGAUGAACACGAAUGAUAAGCAUCAUUACGACAAAGGAUUGUUCAAUUAUAGACAACCAGAAAGGCCGGGUCAAAAUUAGGAAGGAAAUCAUGAAAGAAGAAAAUCUCAUUAGUAGGAAGGGGUCGAGAGGGAGGAAAUAAUUAUGAGAGGAACCAACGGGAGAGCCAAGUAUAAGAUUACAAUAGGUUGCCACCACCUGUAGACCGAAGAGGAUCGAGACCUGCUAAUGGGGUGAAUUUAUUAUAACAGAGUGGAAGAUACACACAACUAAACAUAAGCAAAGUAGAAAUAUAUGUUACAAUAAAAGAUAAGGGGUUACUAACACUGCCAAAGCCGAUUGUAGGGGGUUUGAGUGGAAAUGCUCACCACAAGUAUUGUGAGUUUCACAAGGUGACCGGACAUGGAACUGUAGAUUGCAUAGACUUGAAGGAACAAAUUGAAUGGCUAGUGUAAAAUCAAUAUCUAAAGAAGUAUGUGGAUGACCAAAGAAGAGGUGGGAGAAGAGAAGACAUUAGAGAUAAUAUAGCGAUGAUGAUUAUAGGAGGGCCGACCUUAGCAGGAGACUCAAACCGCUUGAGGAGAAAUUAUAGCAGAUAUUCACUAAAAAGUUUCGAGGUGAAUUUUAAUAUUCUGGCACUAAAGAAGCAGCGGAUUCACAAGGUGUCGAUCAUGUUCACGGACGAGGACGAGGAAGCGAUCGUACAUCCACAUGAGGAUAUGCUUGUAGUGAAGGUUGUCUUGGCAGGGCAAGAAUUGAAUCGAGCUUUUGUAGAUGGGGGAAGCUCGGUAGACAUUUUGUUUAAGCAAACUUUGGAUGAUCUACAAAUAGGAGACCUCAGGCUUGAUCCCGUCAGAACAUCGCUAAAGGAGUUUGGUGGAUUUGAGCUAAUUCCACUUGAGUUGAUUGACUUGCCGCUGACAAUAGGGUCCAACCCACUACAAAAGACAGUGAUAGUGACAUGGUUGGUAGUUGAUGAGCUUAGCCCUUAUCAAGUUAUUUUGGGCAGACCGUUCAAUAGGAUAGUAUGAGUAGUGAGCUUAACUUAUAUGCAAUGUGUGAAAUUUAGAGUUCAAGGUGGAGUUGGAGUGAUGAUAGGCCAACAAUAAGUGGCUCGAAGCUGUUACACUAAAAUUGUGAGAGAAUCCAUGAAGAUCACAAGUAUCGAUCCACGAGCUGAAAAUAGGUUAUGCCAAUAGCGACCUAAUGAAGAAAUGAAACAAGUACCAGUAAGUGAGGAUGAUCCGAGCAGAGUAGUAAGAGUGGGAACAAAGAUAACAGAUGACAUUUUUAAUGAGCUUCAGAAUUUAUUGGUGGAGUAUAAUGACAUAUUUGCUUGGAGACAUGAAGAUAUACUGGGAAUAAACCCAUGAAUCAUGUGUCACUAGUUGGCUAUAGAUAAAAAACAUAGGCCAAUGAAGUAGAAAAGAAAAGUGUUCAACCAGGAAAGGUAUGCGGCCAUCUAUAAUGAGGUAGAUAAAUUGUUGAAAGUGGGAUUUAUAAGGGAAGUGAACUAUCCAGAAUGGGUUUCGAAUGUGGUAAUGGUUAAAAAGGCGAAUGGAAAAUGAAGGAUGUGUGUAGACUUUACCGACCUCAACAAAGCUUGUCCUAAAGAUAGUUUCCCUCUCUCAAAGAUUGAUUAGUUAGUGGAUUCAACAAUCGGGCAUGACUUGAUGAGUUUUAUGGAUGCAUUCUCAGGAUACAACCAGAUUCGUAUGUCCACAGUAGGUGAAGAAAAGACAGCUUUUGUGACCGACCAAAGAUUGUAUUGCUACCAUGUGAUGUCGUUCGAAUUAAAAAAUACUGGAGCUACUUAUCAAAGGUUGGUAAACAAGCUUUUCAAGCCCUUGAUUGGUAAAAUGAUGGAGGUAUAUAUAGAUGACAUGAUAACCAAGUAUGUUGAGCAGGCGGAACAUACAACGCAUUUGCGUAAGACAUUUGAAGUGCUACAAAAGAUAAGAUGAAGUUGAUUUCGGAAAAGUGUGCCUUUGGAGUGGAAUCAGGGAAAUUUUUGGGCUUCCUAGUUAGUCAAAUGGGGAUAGAAGCUAAUCUGAAAAAAGUAGAAGUCAUCCCCAAGAUGAGGUCGCCGAAGGAUCUUAAAGAUGUUCAGAGCUUAGCUGGAAAGGUUACUGCGCUGAGUAGGUUCAUUUUGAAAUCAUCAGAGAAAUGCCAUCCAUUUUUUGAAUUGAUGAAGAAAGGAAAAAGAUUGAGGUGGUUGGAAGAAUGUGAGACAACAUUUCAACAAUUAAAGGCAUAUUUGGCCAAUGUACCCACUUUGGCUAAGCCCUUAGUGGGUGAUGUUCUCUUGAUCUACUUGGUGGUCUUAAAUUAUUCAACUAGCUCAGUCAUGGUAAAAGAAGAAGAUGAAGUAUAACAACUUGUAUACUACAUGAGCAGAUCUCUUACAGGGGCAAAAGUAAGAUAUCCUAUUGCAGAAAAGUGGCCAAUGGUUUUUGUUGUAGCUACAAGAAAGCUGAGGCCAUAUUUUCAAGCUCAUGAGAUCGUGGUAGUCACUAAUCAACAUUUGAGAUCAAUUUUUCAAAAAUAAGACAUUUCAGGAAGACUAGUUAAGUGGUUAGUAGAACUAAGUGAAUUCGACAUCGGUUACCAAUCGAGGUCAGCAAUUAAAGCACAAGCUCUGGUCGACUUCAUUAAUAAUUGCAGUGAAGGGAGUGAAGAGAUGGAUGCCGAGCAGGAGAUUAAAGAGGCAGAGAAGAAGAAUGAUGUAUGGGAGCUUAAUGUAGAUGGAGCUGCAAACCCAUAAGGGUCAGGCAGGGGAAUUGUUCUUGUUUCACCCGACCAGGAAGAAGUAUGCUACUCUCUCAAGUAUGAAUUCCAUCCUACAAACAAUGAAGCAGAAUACGAAGCUCUCAGUGCGGGUCUAAAAUUAGCAAGAGCAUUGGGAGUUUGGCAUUUGAAGGUGAAGAGUGACUCUCAACUGGUAGUGAACUACUAGAAUGGGACAUUUCAAGCCAAAAGUGAGAACAUGUCCAAGUAUCUGAGCAAAGCACUACUGUUAUGUGGUAGUUUUGAUCACGCUACAAUGGAGAAAGUUCUGAGGGGAAAGAAUUACUGAGCAGGUUAUAUAGCAAGACUGGCAGUUAUAGAAUGCCCAAAGUUCCAACGAGGAAUUCCAUUGGAGUCAGUUUCAAAGCCAAUAGUUAAUUCUGAAAUGAAAGUUUGUAUGGUAAAAGAUGAGAAGAACUGGAUGGUGCCUAUCAUGAGGUAUAUUGAAUUUGAGGAACAACCUCAAGAUAAAGCAGAGGCAAGAAGGCUGCGAUGCCAGGCAACACGGUACUCCAUUAUCGAAGAUGUGCUUUAUAAGAGAAGUUGCACUUUACCUUACCUGCGAUGUUUGGGCUCAGCUGAUGCCAACUAUGUGAUGAGAGAGGUGCAUAUGGGAAUUUGUGGAAAUCACAGCGGAGGUAUGGCAUUGGCCCAUAAAAUAAUAAGGUAUGGUUAUUUUUGGUCGACCAUGCAUGAAGAUGCACAAGAGUUAGUUCGGAGAUGUGAUGAAUGCCAGAAGUUCGUCGUAAUUGUAAGACAACCACCAGAAAACAUGAUGACAAUGGGGAGCACUUGGCCAUUUGCACAAUGGGGGGUGGAUCUUAUCAAACCAAUGCCAACCGGGAGAGGCCAAAUGAAAUACGCGGUGGUAGCCAUUGAUUAUUUUACUAAAUGUAUUGAAGUUGAGCCGUUACAAAAGAUAACCGAGAAGCGCACAACAUAUUUUAUAUGGAGGAAUGUGAUUUGCAGAUAUGGCCUACCGCAAGCUAUUAUCACUAAUAAUAGAACCUAAUUCAAUAAUGAGAAUUUCAAGAAGUUUUGUGGUCAGCUUGAUAUUGAACUUCGGUUUAGCUCACCUGCUCAUCCGAAGGCAAACAGACAAGUGGAAGCGGCAAACAAAACUAUAAAGCAAUUGUUGAAGAAAAGGUUAGGUGAGAAGAAGGGAGCUUGGGUGGAUGAGCUUUCAGGAGUACUGUGGGCCUAUAGAAUGACCGUGAAGACUUUAACGGGGGAGACUCAAUUCUCACUUGCUUUCGGACAUAAGGCAGUAAUCCCAGCUGAGGUUGGCAUGGAGACACACUGCACAAAAUAUUAUGAUGAGACAAUAAACAGGGAAUAUAUAUUGUUGGAUUUAGAUUUGCUUGAUGAGAAGAGAAAGUCGGCAAGAGGUCAAGUAGCAAUUUACCAGUAAAAAGUGGCUAAGUUCUACAACAAGAAUGUCAAGCUACGACAAUUUUAGGAGGGGGACCUGGUGCUCUGCAAAGUCAAUCAAUCAACCAAAAAGCCAGCUGAUGGAGUUCUAGGGCCGAGCUGGGAAGGACCAUACAAAGUACUACACUCAUUUGGUAAUGGCGCAUAUAAGUUAGGUUAUCCGGAUGGCAGGGUCGUCGGCAAGUCAUGGAAAGCAGAGCACUUACAAAAAUACUAUCAGUUGGCCAAUCCUAUUUAUGAUGUUCUUGUUUGUUUUUUUUUAAAUAUGUUAUGAUAGUUUUUUUCUUUGUUAUUUCAAUUCGUUAUGUGUUCAAUUACGUAAUUUCUGUCAUAUUAAUAUCAAUGAGGUUAUUCAGAAAUGCAACUUUAUUUCUUACCUACUUGUGACUGAUCUUCUUUGAGAUUGGCAUAUUUGAGCCUUAUUGAGGUCCAACAUAAAUUUUUAUCAAAUCUUAUUGAGAUUAAGAUCGACAUUUGGGCCUUGUUGAGGCCGAAUGUGAAAAUUUAUCCAAUCUUAUUAAGAUUGAGAUAAGCAUUUUGGCCUUAUUGAGGUCCAACGUGAAAUUUUUCAUCAAAUCUUAUUGAGAUUGAGUUUCGACAUUUAGACCUUAUUGAGACCGAACAUGAAAAAUUUAUCCAAGCUUAUUGAGAUUGAGAUCAACAUUUUGGCCUUGUUGAGGUCCAACGUGAAAACUUGUUGAGGUCAACUAUAACUAUAACAUUUAAGAUUUACAAUUUUCAACUCGUUGAGGUCGGCUAUAGCCAUAACAUUUAAGUUCUACAAUUUUCAAUUUAUUGAGGUCGACACUUUAGAUUUGUAAGGCCUAUGAUUGAGGUCGACAAUUUAGUUUUGUGAGGUCUACAAUUGAGGCCGACACCUUUGCGUUGUGAGGUCUACAACUUUGGUCGACAUUUUAGUUUUGUAAAGCUUAAGGUUGAAGUCGACACUUGCUUUGUGAGCUCUACGGUUGAGGUCGACAUUUUAGUUUUGUAAAGCCUACGGUUGAAGUUGACACUUGCUUUGUGAGCUCUACUUUUGAGGUCUACAUUUUAGUUUUGCAAAGCCAACGGUUGAGGUCGACACUUGCUUUGUGAGCUUUACGGUUGAGGUCAACAUUUUAGCUUAGUAGGAUCUAAAACUGAGGUCGACACUUUAGAUUUGCAAGGCCUACGGUUGAGGUCGACAUUUUAGCUUGGUAAGAUUUAUAGUCGAGGUUGACACUUUUACUUUGUGAGCUCUACAAUUGAGGUCGACAUUUUAGUUUUGUAAAGCUUACGAUUGAGAUCCACAUUUUAGUUUGGUAGGAUCUACAACUGAGGUUGACAUUUUAGUUUUGUAAAGCCUACGGUUGAGGUCGACACUUGCUUUGUGAGCUCUACAUUUAAGGUCGACAUUUUAGUUUUGCAAAGCAUACGUUUGAGAUCGACAUUUUAGUUUGGUAUGAUCUACAACUGAGGUCGACACUUUAGAUUUGUAAGGCCUACGGUUGAGGUCGACAUUUUAGCUUGGUAAGAUUUAUGGUCGAGGUUGACACUUUUGAGUUGUGAGCUCUACGAUUGAGGUCAACAGUUUAGUUUUGUAAGGUCUACGAUUGAUGUUGACACUUUAAAUUUGUAAGGCCUACGGUUGACGUCGACAUUUUAUCUUGGUAAGAUCCAUGGUCGAGGUUGAAGCUUUCGCUUUGUAAGCUCUACGAUUGAGGUCGACAAUUUAGUUUUUUGAGGUCUACGAUUGAGGUCGACACUUUAGAUUUGGAAGACCUACGGUGGAGGGCAACAUUUUAACUUUGUAAGAAUCUAUAAUGAGGUCAGCUUCGCGCUUCUUAAGGUCGACUUUCCAGCCUAGUUACAAUCAGCAAUAGCCUAAACAUCUUCAGUCUUGUUGUGGUCGGCAUUAGCUUUGUUAAAAAUUAGCGUCCAGGCUACGUAACGAUUAUCCGAAUACAAAAACAAAAUGAAAGCUCAACAAGAGUUAUCAGUUCGUAACAUUACAUAAAGGCAAGCCUUAUAACAACUUCUCAAAUCUACUUAGGAAGCAUGCUCUUCGUCUUCAAUAACUCUGCUAGUUAAAGAUGUCUCACCCUCAACUCUAAUCUCAUCACCCUGAAGAACUCGAUUUUCUUCUUGAUCCGUACUCGAUGACUUCUUCUUAGCCUUUUCUUUGCUCACAUAAGCAGUCAACAUCCAUUGAAAGUCCAUGUCCGGGUGUUGUUCUUGGAACAAUUCAAUGCAUGUCUAAAUGACAUCUGCCUUCAGUUGCCUUUUCUCUAGUCGAAUGCGUUGAUCAACAUCAGACUUAACUUUUUCCAACUCAUAGCUAAGAUCGGCAAUCUUGGAGUCUUUGCUCGCAUUAGAUUUCUUUUUGGCUACCAAGUCUUCUGCCAAGUGAGUAUUUUCAUCGUUGUGAGCAUUGAGGUCACGCUUGAGCUGAUCUCGCUCGCUUGCUGUCUUUUUGUUCGUGAGGUUGUCUUUCAUCAAAGCGCGCUCGACUUCUUCUAUUUUUGCAUGGCCUUUCAAUGACUUUGCAAACGUCUCGAUAUCCGCGGCCAUGAUCAAGGAUUGCUGUGAAAGAAAGCAUGAUGGUUAAGAAGAAAAGUAUAAACAUCAAAGAAAUAAAGAUUGUGAAUUAAUACCCACCUCAGCUUGGUUUCGAGCAAGCACUUCAAGAGCAUGAGUAGCUGACAAGUGGGAAAAAUUCUUGAUGGUACCCUGGCUCACAAAUCGAGCAGCUAAGUUCACCAUGGGUAGUAAGUCCUCCGCUCUUCCUCACUUUGACUCUAUGAUGUCAUUGCUUUCAAGCAAGCUUCCUUUCGGACAUAUCGGGGAAGAGGUAAGUGGUAAAAUGCGCAAGGGACGAGAGUCGCUAGCUCGGUCACUUUUGCUCUGAGGUAGCAUGUUGCAAGCUGAAACAGCAAGUUAUUUUUCUUUUUUCUCAUCAGCUUUGUUUUUCUGUGAUGCCCGCCAUGGUUUCUUACUAUGUGGUUUUCCUUUCUCGUUCGAUAUCUCCUUGAUCACGGCUUUUGCAAUUUCUGCAGGGGUACGCUUAACAGUAGACGUGUUUCCUGCAUUUAGCAAUCAUUUCUCAACUCUAGCACUCAGCUUGUCAUUUAUAUCAACUUUCUUCUUCAAAGUCACUGCAGUAAAAACAUGUGUUAGAUUGUAUCCUUAUUUCGACCUCAACCUGAACAAAACUUGAAUUACCUAGUCUACUAAAACGAGUGGGAAUUUUAAACCAACCCUUGGUCAGCUCUACAUCCCUACCCUAAUUUCCACCCACCACGAAAUACUUGUUUUUCCAACCUCUACAUGAGCUUGGAAAGUCAAGUACUAUUCUUCUACUAUUUGAUUUUGACAUAAAAUAGUACUAUCCUUUGUGAUUGAUCCCAUGCUCAUUACAAAAAUAUAAGUGAGUAAACUCCUUAAAACACGGCUCGGUUAUAUUCUGCUCAGCCCAUACAACAUACAUACCACCUAAAACCCUCCAGCCAUUUUGGUCAAGUUGACCUGGACUCAAACCCACUCUCACCAACAUUCGAGCAAAGUAAGGUUGAAUGAGCAACUUGAAACCAAGUUAAAAAAUUUCCAUUACCCAAUUUGCUUGCCACCUCAUCUUCGCCCAAUAACUUAAGUGUAAUAUCGUCUGCAAUAAGAUAUUCCUUCCUCAACUCUUCAAUCUCUUUCUCUUUUGUAUCAAAGUUUAGUCUUAUCAAAGUUUAGUCUAUUCACGCCAUAUUCUUCAUGCUCAUCUCCCUCAUCUUCAAAUUGUGCACAACUCGAUUCCUCAUUCACCUCAUUUCCGCGUCUUAUUUUCUUAGACUUAUUUUCGGCCACGUUACAAUUUAAUUCUACAUUAUCUUCCCUGACUUUUCCAUUAUCAUCUACACCCGAUGCAAUAUCACUAAGCCCGUCCAACAACUCCUUAUUCGCAUUUUGCGAAUCGCUACAAAGUGACCCAUCUUCACUCCUUAAUUCCAUUAUUACCUAAUGUUACAUUUAACAAAACCUCAUUUCCAGUCAAUAUUAACACCCAGUAUGUAAACAGCAAAUUACAAGCAACCUUUCAUUGUCAACAUCACAUCCAACACAAUACAAAACACAGCAACAAGCAAAUGCGCUUGGGAUGAGACAACUCACCGGAUCUCCUUUAGUCAUAAUGGAUUCCAGUUUUGCUGAUAGUCAACAAUAGUAACAUCAUUCAGCAUUGGUUCUACAUCAAUAAAAUGCAACAUUAGCUGAGAGUAGUUUAAAAAAAAGAAACACAACAAAGAGAAGAAGAAGUUUGAGUUUCGACAAUAACAAAGAGAGAGGGAGAAUGCAAAACAAAAAAAAAACAGAGAGAGAGAAACGCAGCAAAGAGAAGAAGAAGUUGAGUUGUGACAAAAACAAACAAAAAAAAGAGGCGAGUUCUGUUUAUAAAAAAAAAAAAGGGCGUUUGGUUUCAAUACACACAUAUAUAGAUCUGGUAUUUAUUAUAAAAAAAAGCACAACAGAAGAUGGCGCGCGAGGUACUCACUUAGGGAUGGCAAUGGGGAGGGGAGGGGAGGGGACCAAUCUCCCCAUACCCAUCCCCGAUAUUUUGCAUAUGUCCCCGUCCCCUCCCCGUCCCCGUCAGAAUUACUUGAGAGAAUCCCCAUCCCCUCCCCGAAUAAUAACAGGGGAUCCCCGAGGGUCCCCGGUCCCCGAAUAACUAAUAGUCUAAUACAUUAUUUUUAUUUUCGAUUUUAAAUUAAUCAUAUUAAAAUAAAAAAUUCAGAUAAAAAUAAAGUUCAAAAUAUAUCUUACAUUAAUAUUGAUCCAUUACAAAGUCACAUUCAAAAUAUAAAUUAUUAAAAUAAUUAUAAAACAAUGAAAAUAAUAUAAGUAAAGUAACUUAUAAGUGCAAAUAUUAAUAACUGUAUAAUAUAAUCACAAUGUAAAAUAAACUCAUACUGUUAUUGUAAGCUCGUAACCAACUUUGACAGCACAUUAAGGCCUCCAAUGUGCUUGGAUGAAGUUUGUUACGGUGUGGGCUCACAACUCUACCACCGAUGCUAAAAGCUGAUUCAGAAGCAACUGUUGUAAUUGGAAUUGUCAAAAUAUCUCUAGCAAUUCGAGCUAAUGUAGGAUACCUAUUAGCAUUUAAUAAUAUAAAUAUUUUGAUAUUUAUUAUUUUUAACAAUAUUUAUAAUUUUGUUAUUUAUUUAUUAGUAAUUUUAAAAAUAAAAAUAAAAUUAAAAAUUAAAAUGGGGAAAUGGGUAGGGGAUGGGGAUUCCACCUCAUCCCCGUCCCCUCCCCGCAUAAAAAAUUGGGUAAAAAAUUUUCCCCGUCCCCUCCCCGAAAAAAAAAUUGGGUAUAAAAUUAUACCCGUACCCUCCCCGAAUGGGAAAAAUCCCCGAGGGUACCCGUCCCCGUGGGGAUUUUUGCCAUCCCUAUACUCACUAACAUGUUUGAUUAUGGCUCUGUAGCGUCGUUGCUCAAUUUACCCAAAAAUCGCAGGACGGCGACAGCUCAAUAUUUCACUUUUAUUGUGAAAAAGUGUGGAGGAUGAGGACGAAACAGAAGCCCAAACGAAACAGAAGCCAAAAGGUAUUGAGAAAAGACAAAAUGUAUGUUUUCAAUUUGCCUUUAAGUCACGUGCUUAUGCUUUUUCUCCAUGGUCUCGCUUUUUUAUUUAUUUACUUUAUUCUUUAUUUAUUCCUUAUUUUUAUUUUUUAUUAUUAUUUUUGCCAAAUUCUUACUUUUAAGCCUAUUUUAACGCAACACUAUCCUUGUUCUACUUCACAUUACCCCUGUUCUGCUGGAGACCAUACUACGCUUUCUUCAUUGUUUCAGUUUCCAAUACCGUUCAUAUCUUCUCAGUACUGAAAACUAGGGGACUGGUGUUCAAUUUAUAAGAAUUUUUAUAUUUUUCAUUAAUUAGUGUCCAACACCGAAAAUAGCUUCCUGAUGUUGAAAACUAUGAGACUGGUGUUCGGGUUGGAUUUUUCUGAUAACCUCUAGAAAGAGUCAACAUUGUUCGGGUUGGAUUUUUCUAGUAAUAUUUAGAAAUAUAGUCGACCCCAAUCUACUCAGAACUCAUUGUCGUCGAGCUAAUCUCGUAAGUACAACCUAGAUCCUAUUUUGGCGGCCUGGUUUACAAGUAUGAUAUGAGAUUUAUGUAAAUGACCUGAUUUAAGAAUACAACCUUAAGCCUAUAUGAGCGACCAGGAAAUUCACUGGUCCGACCUGAAAGUGAAGAAAUCUGAUCUCGAAAUUUAUUUGUUCGACCCAAAAAUUAGCUUGACAUAGAAAGCUAUCGAUUGAGAUAACGUGGCCUAAUUUCUAGGAAAGUUGUGUGCCACAAUCCAUUUAAACUGUCUGCAAUUGAUGACCACGUGCAACUGUUGAAGAAAAUGGGCAGAAGUUAAAGGUGGUAACCACCCACGACCAAGGGCCUAUUUAAGCUAAAAAGGGCAUCUGAGGAAGGGGUUAGAAAAAUGAACCAAAAAUUUUAUAAGUCACCUAUCUAAAAGUCAUAGGAUUCCCGACAAUAUUUUUAGUUUUCUCUACUGAAAAAAAUCCUUAAUUUUCAGUUUUCCCUUUUCGUUUACCUUUUUCUUAUACACAAUUUCUAACUUAAGAAUCAGAUGGUCUACGUCGAGACCCCACAGGCGUAUCCUAACCGUGUUUUCUGGUUGUCAGGUAUAUAAAGCUGGGUUCAGACCGACGUUUGAGCUUGGAUUCGCACUGUAAUUCCCCAAAAGAAAACAAAUUUAGCUGUUGAGGUCGUUUUUCGGCAUCAACAAUGAACAUCAUACUUGCCACACUCUUGCGUAUAAAUCCUUAGAUUUACAGGUCUUAUAUCACAUGAAUGAAGAUGCUAGUGGUGUGCCUCCAUGGAGCUCUAACUCAAUAGUUUUCAAGUAGUUUUAUUUAGCUAACCACCUAAGUUUGAGUUGUGGUGAGGAAAGAUGAUAAAAAUUAAUUUGAUCUUUGCACCUCACUACCUUUAAAAGAGUUCAAACUUCUAACUCGGUUUUGAAUUUUAAUUAUUUUAAAUUGAAAUGCUAAGUCCAUAUAUUAUAUAUAUGAGUUUUUUUUUUUUUUGCCCAAGGUUGAAUUAAACUAUAUAUUUACGAAAGUCUUGAGAUACAUGAUUUUCAGGAUUUAAUAAAAUCAUAUGUACUAGCUAUAUAUACAUCUUAAUAAAUGUUUGCCAGACCUUUAUUUGUACUAAAAUUAUACAUAUCUAGACUCUCAUUACACUUUAGAUUGUAACAAUUUAAAUAUUUUUUUUUUGUGGAAGUCGUUUAGAAUUCUAAGAUCGGAAGUCAAAUUUCAAUAACGAUUUUUUAAAAAUAUUAAUUUAAUAUAUAUAUAGGGAGAGAGAGAUUCUUGAGUGCAUAUACUUAACAUUAUAUAGUGUUAUAGCGAAUUUACACAAAAUUUACAUAUCGACACUUGAGAAUUUCUAUAUAUCAAAGCUUUUAAAUGCAGAAGUCUAAAUAUGGAUUUCAUGCGGAUUCACUACAAAAUCAUAUGAUGUUAACAUGUUUUUACAAUUGACUAUAAUACCACAUGAUGUUGUAGAAAAUCACACGGAAUCUCUAUAAUAUAAAGAGAGAGAUCUUGCUUUGCUUUAUAAUUGAAUAUAGGGUGGUGAUAUUCCCAUCGCUCAAAUUUUGUAAACCUACCUCACUUUAAAAAAUUAAAUCAUAAAAAAUUCACAUUAUUUUUAACGAUUUCAAAUUAUUAAGAAUAAAAUAAGCAAUUGACUAAUUAAAUCCUUAUUAAAUAAUUAAAAUACAUUUAUGAUAUGAUAUCUCAAAAAAUUUAUAUUAUUUUUCCCAUGAAAUUUACUAAUUACAAGAAAGAUCUGAUUGAUUAAUUGUUUAAAUUUUAUUUAUUUUAAAUUGAAAAAAUGUGAAUUAUUUUUUAAAUAAUUCUUUGAAAUGAUUUAAAUGUGGUACGUGUCCCACCAAGUUAAAACCUGAAGCUGAUUUAAAUUUUAUUUUGGAACGGAAACCUAGUAGCGAGGCUUCGUUCUUCAGGAAAUUCCGAGGUAAGUUAAUCAACGUUUCCACUAAUUACUUUUAUUUUGCUUCCAAAGUUUAUUUAAUUAGACCAAUUUCUGGCUUCCGACUUAAAUUGCAUAUCCAAUUUAGUGGUUGAUUUUUGGAGAUGGAGAUAAACUGAAACAUUGAUAAGCUUAGGGAAAAAAAAAUUCGAUGGAGAUUGAAAGUUCUUCGAUAGGAUUCUAGGGUUUUGAUUAGAGAAUUAAGAGAGAAUAGAUGAAGAAUUUAAAGAGAAGGGAGAAGAAUUAAUAGGAAUUAGAAUUAAUUUUAUUACUUGCCUCCUAAAAAUAUAAUAAGAACCACUUAUUUAUAGUAGUUCAAGACAAUCAUAAUUAUAAUUUAAUAAGGACUUUAAUUGAAAUAAGAAAACCUAAUACUAAUAGGAAAGAAAUUAAAACAAGCAAUUAAAAUAAAAUAAACUAUUAGGGUCCUAACAUUCACUGCCCCUUAAAACAGGCUUGUCCGCAAGCCUUUUACCCAGUUUCAAUAACCGAGAUCUUCCAAUCCACAUGAUGGUCAGGUGGUUUUUGAGGGUUGUGAAGAGGUAUAUUAGCGUCUAAAAGCAAUAGUUGAGAUUGUUUGCAGCGAUGUCCAGGCUUGAAUUGCUCAUCACAGUUGAAACAAAGCCCUUUAGAACGUCUUUCCGCCUGCUCAGUUGAGGAUAAACGUUUGACAUUAUUAGGUAAGAUAGAGGGAACCAGUCCUAAUAAAGAGGGUGCUGGUGGAGUAGGAGUUGACUGUAAUUGUGGGAGUGGAUCUUGGAUGGCAGGAAUAGGGGAACAAUUGCCUUGUAAAGUAAUUGCCUUUUCCUGAAAUCUAGCAAGUUCAAAAGUUUGUAGGAGACUAACAGGUUUGAAUAGUUGUACGCCAGCCUUGAUAUCUUUACGUAACCCAGAGAGGAAACAACUAAUGGAGAAAAGCUCAGUUAAAUUGCUAGUCCGAUCAGCCAACUUUUCAAAUUGUCGUUGAUAGUCAAGAACAGUCCCUGUUUGACAUAGUUUGGUAAGACUGCCAACUGCAUCAUUCUCUUCUAAUGUCCCAAAUCGAGUAGUCAAAGCUCGUUUAAAUUGCGCCCAAGUCAUUUCGCCCAUAGUCUGCUCUAGCCAAUGAAACCAAGGUACCGCAUCACCAUCAAAAUGGCCAAUAGCUAAAGACAAUAAGUCAGCAUCUGAUAAUCCAGUAAGGCGACGAUAUUGCUCACAUCGAAAAAUCCAUCCCGUUGGAUUGUCACCAUGAAAAAUAGGAAAGUCAAGGCAUAUGUUACGAGCUUGCACAAGAGUACUUCCAAUGCGUUCAGUAGGUUCAAGAGGGGAAUGGGUAGCAAUGACCGUUUGAGGAGCAGAGGUCCCUCCAGUAAAUAUAUCAACUUGUCGUUGAUCAGUAGCUGGUUGUUUGCCUUUUCACAACUAACUCAAUUACUGAAGGAUGCCGUGCAUGAGUUCCUGCAAAUCGUUAUUCUGCUUGGCUAAGGUUGUAACCUUUUCAUCGAUGGCUGUAAACUUGUCAUGGAAUUGUUGUGAUAACUGCUCAACUUGGCCUUCAAGCUCUUUAACAGUCAUGAUGCCUAAAAAAAGUUCGAAGAAAAUUCACGUUUGGUUGAAAAAUUUAGAUGCUGGAAAAAGUUUGGAGGGUGUGCCCGGUUCAAGUCUCCAAAAGCCAAGAGAUAUUGACAAAAGUUUGGUUGCUGUUUUUUUUUUCAAAUAGUGAACGAAAAAAAAAAUGGUGGCAGGAAGGAUGUGCUCUGAUACCAGAUGAUAGGAUUCUAGGGUUUUGAUUAGAGAAUUAAAAGAGAAUAGAUGAAGAAUUUAAAGAGAAGGGAGAAGAAUUAAUAGGAAUUAGAAUUAAUUUUAUUACUUGUCUCCUAAAAUUAUAAUAAGAACCACUUAUUUAUAGUAGUUCAAGACAAUCCUAAUUGUAAUUUAAUAACGACUUUAAUUGAAAUAAGAAAACCUAAUACUAAUAGGAAAGAAAUUAAAACAAGCAAUUAAAAUAAAAUAAACUAGUAGGGUCCUAACAUUCUUAUUACCUACAAAUGCAAUUAAUUAAAAUUUCUAAAAUUACUGUAAUUGUUGGCAAUGUGGGUUUUUUUUUUUUUGGUUUUGGGAGAGGGGGUCUGAAAUUUGCAUGCAUGCCUUAAUUGAGUUUUAUCACUUUAAAUCUUAAUUACUAAUGUUUUUUCUAUUAACGGUUGAAAAUAAGAUAAGAAGAGAGACGGUGAACUUGAAGAAGUAUAAGAAGAAAAGACAUGUACUGAUGUUGAUAUGUUUAUGUGAAUAAAGAAAUGGAAUCUUUGUCCAAGUUUUUCCCUUGAUGUUCUAAAGUUUGCAUAUAUAUGUUUCAAGAAACAAAUGGAAAUUAAAUAGUACAUAAAGGUGAACUCACAUCGUCGACUAAAGGUUACACUACCAUUUGCCCAAUGGUUCCAUUUCUAUUAUCAUUUUCUUUAUUCACAGAAAUAUCGUCGGCCUCAAAUUCAUCAGUAUAAAAAGAGGGACAAGGGCAAGGACAAGGACAGGGUGAAUCUAUUCUAUGACAACAGCAAGUCUGAAAUUUAGUUUUAUUUCUGCUGCCGCACUGAGGAAUCACGAGCAUCAACCACCUACUUUAUUACCGUUGCUUCAUUUUUCUCCUGAAGACAGUUGACUUGACGAAAUAACAUUUUUAAUGAGGCUGCCUUAGAGAAAGCAUAUAUGUUAAUCAUCUGUUGUAAUCUCAUGCCAAAAUCAUUUCAGUUCCUGCUCAUAAAAUUAGUUACUUCAACCUUUGUCAUAUGUAUUCUCCACUGCUUUAAGAUACUUUGAUAGUGAAUGUGUCUAAAUUCCAACUCAAAAGAUUCAUUUGAGGAAAAUUUCUUCAGAUGGUCAUGUAGAGUUCUAAUUUAUCUCAGCGUCAUACUCUAAAUACUUGAAAACUACAUGUCAAUCAUCAAUGUUCAUCUUUUGUUGACAAUCUCAACGAUCAAGUGUGUUUGGGAAAAAAUUAUCACAAUUAUGUUUAGUCCAUUUAUAAGACAAUGUGUCAAGUGAUCCAUUAGUCUAUUUAAAGGUUGCAAUCAAAUGAGUUCAUGUCCAGAUUGUGAAGUUGGUUAAUUUCAACAUAAUAGCAAUGAUUGUAUCCAGUGCUUUUAUAAAGUUGCUAUGUUAUUACUUCUUUAGUAAGUGGCAGACAUGACUUUCUAUUUUUCCACAGCUUCAAUUGUUAAAUAAUUGAUAAUGCUCUUUCGCUUACUCUGUUCUUUUUUUUUUUAGAUAAGCUUUAUUGCUUUUGCCCUUUCUUUCUUGAGAGUGGAUGUAUAAAACAAAUUGGCCUUGACUGAUACUUGAUGAUGUUGUAAUUAUUUCUCCCUGCUUUAUUCUUUUUACAAUAUAUGGAAGACAAAGUAUUGUAAGAUUCAUUUCCCGCACUGCUCUGCCUUGAUCUGUUCUAAUUUGAGAGUCAGCAAUCUUGAUUCAACUUCUUGGAUGGAGUACUAGCUAAGAGAAGGGAGGAAUGGGAGCCAACACUAAUUUUUCAAUGAGGAGAUAUGGGCAUCAACUUCAGACUAUUUUCGGAGAGGCUGAGAAGGGUGUUAGCUGGCCAAGAAGUCACAUUGCCUGAUGCUGCAAAACAACCUAUUCAGAACCUUCAUGCCGAGGUUGAAAUCGUUACUCCUUGGCUAAGGGACUAUGAAUAUGAUAUGUCCUGGCUUCUGCUGCAAAACAUAGGAGAAGAUGAAGUUGACAACCCAGACCUUGGGCAGAAAUCAAUUGCUUUACCUAUGAAUCUGAGAAGGUCAAUGACACAUUCUCAACAGCAUCACUCAACAGAAGAGUCAAAGCAGGUGCAACAAGGACAUUUGUGAUGCUCUGCUAGGACUUCAGAGUAGAAUCAAUGAUAUAAAACAGCGGAUGCAACAACUUCAAUACAUAGAUUCCGGAAUCAUUGAUGAUUUCAAAAGUAUUGAAGAUGAAGCUGACUAUUUUCCUGCAUCUUCAUCUUCUAAGAAUAGCGGCAUGGUGGGUCUAGAAGACAGAAUGGAGAAGUUGUUAGAUAUUUUGAAAGAGGGACCACCUCAGCUUUCAGUGGUGGCCAUCUUGAUAGCAUUGGGUUGGACAAUGUGGCUUUUGCUGCAGAGGCUUACAGCAGCAGUGAUGUGAAGCAUUAUUUUAAUUGUCACGCUUGGGUUCCAGAGCCUUACAGCUAUGACGCUGAUGAUGACCAAAUAUUAGAUAUCAUUAUUAAGUUUCUAAUGCCUUUAUCUAGGUUGAGUAUAAUAAAGGAUAAAAAUUAUGAAAUGAAAAAAAAAUUCAAGAACAUCUAAUGAUCAAGUGGUAUUUGAUUGUGGUUGAUGAUGUGUGGAGCAUUGAAGUCUGGGAUGUUAUUCGAGAAAUUGUUCUGGAUAAUCAGAAUGGAUGUGGAGUACUAAUAACACUCACUGAAAUUGAUAUUGUCAUCGCAUUUCAGUUCAAAAGCAGACAUAAUAUUUGGCUUGAUUUAGUGCCCACUAAGAGGACUAUUGAGAGUUGUUUACCUUUUUGAAGUACAUGGAACAACUAAUGAAUAGAGUCUUUGUUGAUGCAAAGAAGAGAAGUGAUGGAGGCAAAAUCAACGCAUGCCCUAUUCGUAGUCGUUGCUGGCCUUCAUUGUGGCAAACGGCUCUCAAAGCAGAAUUUAUCUUUUCAUCCUAUCCUGGAUCAGAAAGGUAAAUCGCGAAAAAAUGUCAACCAUGUCUACGUUUUUUAAAAACAGAGUGAUUUUGCUUACUUAGAUGAUUGUGACUCCCACCCGCAUUCUUUUGUCGUACUUCAAAAAGCGACCACCUUGACCCCAUAGAUUGGAUGAAAAUUUGUUAUACUUAAAAAAGCGACCACCUUGACCCCAUAGAUUGGGUGAAAAUUGUUUUGAGUAAUGGACUUGGGAUCUCUUGUUCUCAGCCAAUUUCCAUCCAAAAUUGAAACUUUAUUUCUUUGAUAUGAAGCUGAAUAUCCCUUCCCUCAAAAGCCUGGCUUUAUCAUUAUUAAGAAAUCUCUGAAUCUCUACACCAUAGCCAUUCCCUUUAGCUACAUAAAUCAUACAACAGAUGAAUUUUGGAAGAUGAACAAACUCAGGCAUCUAAAUUUUGGCUCGAUCAUACCUCCCGCACAUCCAGGAAAAUAUUGCGGCUCUUUGGAAAAUCUCAAUUUCAUUACAGCCACGCAUCCUUGCUGCUGUAUUGAAGAUAUAUUGAACAGACUACCUAAUCCUCAAAAUCUCUGGAUAUGAGGAGAUUUAUAUUUUUAUCAAUUUUUGAUGUCCCAAAGCCUUUGCAGAUUCAGAUGCCUCAAGUCAUUGAAGAUGGUGAAUGAAAGCAAGAUGCCAAGGCUCUUCAAAAUCGUCUGUGCCAAAUACCUACUUCCUCAAAGUCUAAUCCACUUGAGUUUUUCAAAUAUUGAACAAAUGGAUGAUCCCAUGCCUGCACUAGAAACGUUUCCACUUCUUCAAGUGCUCAAACUGAAGCAAAGCUCAUAUUUAGGUAAAUAGCUUACUUGUGGGCGUGAUGGUUUCCCAAAGCUCAAGAUAGUGCACCUGAAUUCAAUGCCAUGGCUAGAGAAGUGGACUAUGAGGCUUGGAGCCAUGCCAAAACUGGAAUGCUUGAUUCUCAAUUCUUGUGCUAAUUAGAAAAAGAUUCCUGAAUAGCUCUGGUGCACAAAGAGCUUAAACAAAUUCGAGUGUUGGUGGCUUCAGCCGGAGCUGAGACAAAAGCUACGGGACUUCGAGGAUAAGGCGCAGUAUGACAAUCAAGUAUAUCCUUAUGGAAUUUGAUUUGCAUGGAUUUAAUUAGAUGUAAGUUUUUCAUUUUAUGCUAUAUCAUCAACCUUUAAUUAUUAAUCUAAUUUCAUACAUUUUUUUUUCUUCUCCUCAAUAUAUUUGAUAGUACGCAGCUUGCUAAUGCUAUAAAGUGUUUUCUAAUUGUGGUUGCUUCUAAUUCUUGUCUCAACAUUAGACAUGAAGUGUUCAUCACAGUUCCUAUUGCUGACCCCGACCAUUUUCCCUUAAUUAUUUUUAGAAGAGGAAGAACCCUUGUGUAUUGAUUGUUGAACAGUCAGGAAAAACUAUAAUUUCAGAUCUUAAAUUACUAGCGCAGGUGAAAUCAUACCGGGAAAUAUGUCAAGUGUAGUGCAGCAAAAGUUUCAAUUUCAACCAGAAUCCGGCCUUGAUCCUUUCAGUAUUCACUUAUGUUGUCUACACAUUAUUGAGUCCUCAGGAUUGAUACAGGACAUUGUUGGGUUUCUUUGUUUUCAAGGAUCUGCUACAAGUAAUAAUGUCAAGUUUUUGGAUUCACUGUGUAUAUUCUAUUCGUGUGUCUUCAUUCUUGUAAUGUGCUUGAAACUCCAACUUAGUGUGGACGUGUGUGGUUUGGUCGUACCAUGUGUAAUACAUGUUAAUUGUCAUAAUUGUCUUAAGGGAAUUCUGCAUCACUUCCAUUAGAAGAAAAGUUUGGAUGUAGGCACCAUUGUUGCUGAAUCUACUGUUGAUUUGCUCUAUGUUUUCUAUAUUUUUUUUAAUUCAAUUUCGGGGAUUGCGUUUCUAGCGUUGAUUGUUGAUACAUCAGAGGACUAAAUAAAAGAAAUAGAAACUGGGGCAUAUUGCCUAAUCUUCAGAAUCUCCAAUUUUAUGGAGAUUCAAGUCCUUAUCAUUCAUAAAUAACUUGAAUGCUGGAUUGUUAUUAUCUUAGAUUCUCUAAAUAAUAAUCCAAAUAAGAAUGUAGGAAAAAUAUUGAUUACAAAUGCUUGUUUUGAACAAAUACUACCGAUUAUUUUAAAUUUUUGACAUAGAAAUUAUAAAUAGUAUUAGCAUGUGAAUUUUAAGGUAUUAGCCGAUUCUGUCCAAUUUUAGAGGUUGUUGCCUCAUGUUCACCUUAUAGUCGUUGGUUUUUGCUGAAAAAAUGAAUGUGUAUCAUUUUUUUUCCCUUUUAUUUUCUGUUAUACAUUGAUUCCCCUACUUCUAGCUGAUUCUGUUCUCCUUUAUAACGAGAAAGAAGUUAUUUUUUGUGCGCUUAUAUAUACAUGUUAAGCUUGGAUAUGUGUGGUUUGGUUUGUUUUAAUAAUAUGAUUGUGUGGUGUCAUCGGUAAUACUUUUUAAGGGUGCAAUCAAAUGAGUUUAUACCUUAUAGUGAAUUUGGUUAAUUUCAAGAUAUCAUUUUUUGGGAUCUUCGGCUUUGGUUGCUAAUACAAAAUUCCUCAAAUCUCGAUUGGAAUUUGGGAAUCCGUCCUAAAUGAUACAAGAUUUGAUAAAAGUUUCUCAUUCUGAUUUAUUAUUCGAGUUGAGAUUCAAGAUCUAAUUUUCUUCCAACUUAAUAUUCAAGACGGGAUUUGAGAUGUCUGAAAAUCUCAUUCGAGAUCCCUUAGGCAAUCAAAUGGGUCCAUAUAUCCUUAUAAUGAAUUUGGUUAAAUUCAAGAUACCCUUUUUUGGGAUCUCCCGCUCUAACUGUUAAUACGUGAACCUAGGCUGGCAAAAUUAUCCAGAUACCAAUCGAGAUACAAACCCUAUAUAAGAUUUGUUACAAAUUUCAUAUCCCAAUUUUCAAUGUAGGUCAGGAUUUAGGACCCCAUUUUAUACCGAUUCAUAAAUUUCUUUAUUUAGACAAUAACUGAUGACAUAUUAUUAGUUCAAAGCUCACGGAGUAAAGGUUGAAUUAUUGGUGCAAUCAUCCGCAAUUUUCUGCAAGCAUGCAACAUAUUAAACAAGAGAAUAUUUAAUUAUUUUUUGGGUUCUGUUAUUACAAUAAUGAUUUUGAAGAUAUUAGUUGGAGAAAAAUGGUUUUUUUAAGUCAUUUUCAAUCUUGAGAAAAAGUUUUCUUGCUGGCACACACUGUCUUUUAUCUAUAUUCUAGUCUUCCAUUAUGUUAAAAAAAAUAAAUAUGAAAAUAAAAAGAAAAUAGGACAUCAUCAAGUAUCAAUCAAAGAUCAAUUUGUUUUAUCCACUUUCAGGAAAGAAAAGGUAAAAGCAAUCCCACUGGGGACCAUAAAGUUUAUCUCAAAAGAAAAAGCACUACAAUAGUCGAACACAAAGAAGAGUAAUAAUGAGUAGAGCUGGCAAAACGGGUCAUCGGGUCGUGUUCGUGUCAUGUCAGCUUCGUAUCGUGUCAAAUUUAGGUCGACCCAAACCCGACCCAUUUAAUAAUCAUGUCAAAAUAUUGAGACCCAAACCCGACACGGAAAAAUAAUCGGGUAACCCAAUAACCCGUUUAAUAUCUAUAUAUUGAACAAAAGUUACAUCAAAUAUUUAUGCACUAUAGUACAUACGUAUGCACAUACAUACAUACAUAAUUUAUCGAUACUAUAAAAUAUACAUAUCUACGAAUAUAUUACACAUUUACACUAUUGAGGUUUUAAUUAUAUAUAUAUACAUAUACAUAUAUAUAUAUAUAUAUAUAUAUUAUAAAAUAUACAUGUCUAAAUGUAUUUAAAAUUUUAUAAAUAAAACACUGUGUUUAUAUUCACCCUUUUAAAGAAUAAAAAAAAAAUCAUCUCUAAUAUUUGAGUUUUAAUGAUAAGAAUAUGUAAAUUAUUUUAAAAUAGAAAAUAUAAUCGGAUCAUUGAUCGGGUAAAUGGGUCAAGAAUUUUAACCCUAACCCGACACGGAAAAAAAUAGUGUUGACCCGGACUCGACCCAUUUAAUAAUCGUGUUAAAUUUGACGACCCAUACCCAUUUAUUUAUGUCGUGUUCGUGUCGGGUAAUCGGGUCGUGUCAAAUUUUGCCAGCUCUAAUAAUGAGAAAGGAGUUGCAUAUAAGUUGAAGAUUUUUAUUUUUUUUUUAAAGAAGGGCCCGACAUCAUGAUGCUUUCAAUUAGCGAAGGAUAUAUGAAAAAGAGAUGAAUAUUGCACUUUAGAUUUGGAUAAUUCCGAUUGGAUUUUGAAUUGUUUGGAUUAGGAAAAAAAAAUCAUUCAAAUCCAACCUAAAUCUCAAAUACAAUCAAUUCGAUUCAAAAUAAAUAGAUAUUUCAGAUGAAUUUGGUUUUAGAUUGUUUAGUAUUUAAAUUCAAAUAGUAUUUUAAAUUCGGAUUGAAUUCGAAUUUAGGUCUUUUUGAUAAUUUUUACAAAACAAUCCUGAAUUCUAUAUAUAUAUGUAGAGUAGUUCAAUCCAAUCAGAUUGUUUAGAUUAAAACAUCCAAAUUCAAAUCAGAUCUAUUCGAAUCCAAUCCAAUGCACACCUUUAGCCCUAUUGAAUGAUCAUCUAACCAUUGAAACUAUAACGCAUUCUGUUGUAGUCUGUAGAGCGCUUGAAAAGAAAAUAUCUAAACAAUAGGGACUAUUAUGCAUUAGAUGCAUCAAUGAAUCAAAUUCUAAGGUGAUGCUUUUUUUCUUUAGACAAGCUUUAUGGUCCCAGUGGAAUUAUUUUUAAUCUUUCAGUCUUUUGAGAGGGCAAAAAAGAAACUAGUCUUGAUAGCUUAUUUUACUUUCUUCAUACAUAUACAUAUACAUAUAACACAAAUUAUAAGACACCCUUUUAUCUUCUUGCAUAAUUAAUAUUUUAUAUACACGUACAUUAUACCUCAGGUUUUGUGCAAAAAAUCAUUAUUGUACAUCAAUAAUUUCUCAAUAUAAUCCCUCUUUAUCAAUCAGUAUCCCCACGACAUCUACAGCAUUUAGUUUUAAGAUUCAUUUUCUAGUACUGCUCUGCCUUAAUCUGUUCUGCCUCAACAGCCACCUGAACUUGAUUCAACUUCUUGACAGAAGGAGGUAUUGGUGCCAUCCUCAGUUGAUUAUGUUGACUAAUGUUGAAUUAAAAGGAGAGCUUUUAACAAUUUUUUUUUAAUUAUUUUCUUUGCAUGCUAGGGCUACUGGCUACUGACUACCGAGAGUAAAGGAGAUAUGGACAUCAACCUUGGACUAUUUUCAGAGAGACUGAGAAGGGUGCUAGCUGCUGAAGAAUUCACGGUGCCCGAUGCUGCUGAACAACCUAUUCAGAACCUUUACACUGAGACUGAAAUCGUUGCUUCUUGGCUGAGGGACUCUGGAUACAACACUGCUUGGUUUAUGUAGCAAGUCAAUGCAGAAGAGGGUUAAACUCUGGCAAAAUUAGAAGAUUUUAAGGCUAUCAUUGACAAAAUUCAUUGUUUUUCAUACGUAUCUGAGAAUGUGAUUGACACAUUUGCUAUUAGCAUCACUCAACAGAAGAGUCAAAGCAGAUGCAGCAAGGACAUUUGUGAUGCUCUGCUAGGACUCCAAAGCAAAAUCAUUGAUAUAAAACAACGGAUGCAGCAAGUUCAGCACAUCCACUCCCGAAUCGUUGAUGAGCUCAAAUCGUUUGAACCAAAAGCCGGUAAUUUUCCUGCAUCCUUGUCUUUUAAGAAUAGGGACACGGUGGGUCUAGAUAAUAAAAUGGAGGAGUUAUUAGAUCUACUGACAGAGGGACCGCCUCAACUUUCGGUAGUGGCCAUACUCGAUAGCAUUGGAUUGGACAAGACGGCUUUUGCCGUAGAGGCUUACAGCAGCAACUAUGUGAAGUAUUAUUUUGAUUGUCACGCUUGGGUUGAAGAGUCUUUAUUGUAUGAUGCUGACCAAAUAUUAUACGACAUUAUUAAGUUUGUGAUGCCUUCAAGUAGGUUGAGUGAAAUUAUGGAAGAAAGUUCGGAAAUGAAAAAAAUUAUUCUUCAUGAAUAUCUAAUGACCAAGCGUUAUUUGAUUGUGCUUGAUAAUGUGUGGAGAAUAUCAGUAUGGGAUGUUAUUCGAGAAAUACUUCCCGAUAGUCAGAAUGGAAGUAGAGUAUUGAUAACACUCAGUCGAAUUGAGAUCGUCGCCUCAUUUCAGUUCGAAAAUGGAGAGAACAUUGGGCUUGAUUUUCUGCCCACUGGAGGACCAUUGAGAGUUACAUACCAAGGAUGGCCUUUCCACAUCUUAUAUCAUGAAAGCAUCUCACUGAAAGAAAAUAUAGAGGAAGCACUUGAUGAACCCCGGGGGCUUCAAGUCCUUGCAUAUUGUAUGUUAACUUUUUACUUGAAACUUUGUUGUCUCUACUUAUCUGUGUUUCCUGUACACUUUGAGAUAUCCACCAAGCAAUUAUAUCAGACGUGGAUAGCCUAAGGUUUCAUUCCAAACAACAAUGAGGCAACUGCCGAGAAAUACUUAGAACAGCUAAUCAAUGGAGGCUUUGUUAUCCUCAUUGAAGAAGCCAAGGGAUUUGUAUUUAUAUAUAAACAUUUAACCAUGCAUGAACAAGAAUUUUAAGGAUAGAGACUCUUUCCACACGCGUGUACGCGAGGGGAGGGGGGCAAAUCCAUGACCGAUUUGGUUGAACUUGUGUGCGCCCGCGAAUGUCAGCCCAAGCACGCAUGGCACGUGUUUUAUUUCCUUUUAAAUUUGUUGUAAUAGUUUCACACCUUUUGAAUUCAAAAGAUUUGUAAUAGCUUCGCAAUUAUUUUGGGCUGUUCUGCAAUUCAAUUUUUGAAUUGAAUUGUUUAAAAUUCAAUGGCUGUUACAGCAAUUAAAUUGCAUAUAUUGAAUUCUGAAAUUCAAUUUUUAUGCUAUUGUUACGUACCCACAUGAGUAUAAAAAGGCACCUUCUUCUUCUGUUUUUACACACACUGAAACCAGCACACAGAGCACUUACAAUUUUUCUUUCUUCCUUCUUUUGUCUUGUUUUCUGAUCGAGUUUACCGUUGUUGUAGUUCGCCGGAAUUAUCUGUCUGUGCUUGACAGAAAAUUCGUGCCCGUUGUAUCCUGGGAAACAGUUACCAGUAAACCUAAAGCACUUCAAUAGGUGGUAAAUCUGUUUUAAGGACACUGUAUUACAGGCCUCGAGUUUAUUUUCUUCAGUUGUUAUUUUUUUUCCUGUUGUUUAUAUCAGUUGUUGUUUUGCUGUAGUCAAAUUAGCUACUAGUUUAUUUGUUUAACUCACUGUGAUUAUUUUUUAUAACAUUGAAAUCGUCGCCUCAUUUCAGUUUAAAAAUGGAGAGAACAUUAGGCUUGAUUUGUGCCCACUGGAGGACCAUUGAGAGUUACAUACCAAGGAUGGCCUUUCCACAUCUUAUAUCAUGGAAGCAUCUCACUGAAAGAAAAUAUAAAGGAAGUACUUGAUGAACUCCGAGGGCUUCAAGUCGUUGCAUAUUGUAUGUUACAUUUUUACUUGAAACUUUGUUGUCUCUACUUAUCUGUGUUUAUUGUAUACUUUGAGAUAUCCACCAAGCAAUUAUAUCAGUUGUGGAUAGCUGAAGGUUUCAUUCCAGACAACAAUGAAGCAAUUGCUGAGAGAUACUUAGAACAGCUAAUCAAUGGAGGCUUUGUUGAUGUAGGGAAGAAAAGUGACAGAGGCAGAAUCAACACGUGCUCUAUUCCUGGGCGUUGCAGUCUUGCGUUGUUGACUGGGGCUUUCGAGGGGGAAUUUGUCAUUUCCCCAAUCAUGGAUCAGGAAGUUAAAUUACGAGAAAAUGUGAAACGCUUCACCGCUCAUGGAAAUUUGAAUGAUUUUGAAUUUUUAGAUCAUUUUGACUCGUUCCUCCAUUCUUUGUUGCACCUCACUUUAGGAAGCCACUACCUUGACCCCAAUUAUUGCGAGAAAAUCUGUAAAAUGUUCAACUUUCUUAGAGUAUUGGACUUGGGAUCUCUUGUUCUCAUCCGAUAUCCUUCCGAAGUCGAAAAUUUAUUUCUUUUGAGAUAUCUAAACUUGAAUAUCCCUUCCCUGAAAAGCCUUCUGUAACGCCACAAAUUUCCAUAAUAUUAAAUUAUAGAAAUUGGGCUUUCAUUGAUAAUUAUGGGUGGCCUAUAACCCUUAUUAAGAAAGGGAUACUAAAUUAUAAAUAGAGGUUAUUUAUGAGAUAGUUUUGAAAAAGGGUUAUUUUUCCUUAUUAAAUAGGGUUUCUUAAGAUUCCCUAUAAAUUCAUACUUUUCCUCUUCCAUAACCCUUAGUCCAUGACAUUUAUUCUUCUCCUCUGCUGCUCUUUACGCUCCUACCCAAAUCCUAGGAUUCAAACCUUUGUUUAGGACAGAAUCAAAGCAACGGGUAAGUUAUUCUCCUUAUUCUCAACAGAUUUCUAAUCACUCUAUCUAGGGUUUAUAUUGGCACGAUUCUAGAUGGUUAUAGAUCAUAAUGCAUGAUUUAGAAUGUAUUUAGGCUUUGUUUAGGGUUUUGAUUUAUUAUGAGUUUAGUUAAUCAAUUCUUGACGUACGUAUUAAGCACACAGGAUAAUUCUGAACAGCAUGAGUAUCUCGAAUUUAAACCUAUAUUUUCUGAAAGAGUUUUCUUAUGAAAUUUAUAUUUCUGGAAACUAGACAUGUAGGGCUUCUUGAGUAAAUUUUAUUUCUUUAAAUUCGACUUCGGUUUCAAUUUUAUAUGUAUUUUCGAAAUAGAAACCACUGCACUGGAAAACUACGAUUCCAGCAUUGCGAUCGGAUUCACAAGAUUAUUUGUACCACAAAUGAACUCAGAAAAUUCGGAAAGUUUAUAUGUAGGUUAAUAUAUGUGUUUAGGAUUCCCAGUUUUAAUUUCAUAAUUUUCUGAUUAUUAUUUUAUUUUAUAAAAAUCAAAGAACCCGUUCUGUUUGGUUUAGAUUAUGUGAAAACAGUUUCGAAUUUGCUGAGAAGCAAAUAGUUUUUAAAAUGUUUUUGAUGUCAGAUCCUCUUACCAAUUUUACAUGGGGUACUCAUGGAUGUCCAGAAUAGUUUCAUAGAAUAUUAUAUCAUUCUGAGUUUUAGAUUAAGAGUUAAAAUUCUGAGAAUCAGACCUGUACGGGUAUGAAUUAGAAAAUCAGAUUCCUAUAAUAAGUUAUUAAUUGUCAUAUCUUGUAUUUGUUUAAGGUAUUGAAGGUGAUUGAGGCUCUUAGAAGCUUAGAGGUGUGUUAAUUCAAAUUCAUUUGUCGAGGUAAAUAACUUCAUUCCUAAUGUACUGGAUAUGUAUAAGUAUUUUGAUAUUAUUAUUAUAAGUAUAAAUGUUGUUAUACUACUUAAAGGAUUAAUUGAUUUUGAUAACAAAAUUAGUUUUAUGUAAAUGUUUUCAAACCCAAAUUCUUUUUAACAAAGUAUUUUAUAAAUGUUUUUAAUAUGUAAAUGAUUUUAUGACAUGACAACCUUUUAUGAUUUUAUCUUUAAAAUGUUAUACAAGCCUAAAUUAUUGAUAUGAACUUUUAUGAAACUGAUACGAAUGUUUUGUACCUAUGUUUGAUUUCAAUUAUUGAUGAUUGUAUGAGAUUCUUAAUGUUUUGGCUCAUUGUCCAUAGUUAUUCUGAUUCUGAUUCUGAUUCUGAUCGUAAUAUACGAUAAAAUUUUGGAGAAACAAAAUUUCAUGAUAUACCAAAUUUUAUCUUGAUUCACACCAUCUUACCAUCCACCUUAUGAAUAACACAUCAUUUAAAAAAAAUUAGGAUAAAAUCACUCGGGAUAAAAAAAGCAGAAUAACAUUUGAGAUGUCUAGUUUUUAAUUAAGUCUGUGUAUGUGUAUGCUGAAGAAAAAAAUUAUGAUCAGAAUCAGAAUUGGAUGUUCGAGCUGUGGUUUCGGUAAUGGGGUGAAUUGGCAUUUUGAUAACAAAAAAAUUAGGUUUCUUUUAAUACAAUUUUACAAAUUUUGUUUAAUCUAAAUCAAACAUAGGUACAAAACAUUCGUAUCAGUUUCAUAAAAGUUCAUAUCAAUAAUUUAGGCUUGUAUAACAUUUUAAAGAUAAAAUCAUAAAAGGUUGUCAUGUCAUAAAAUCAUUUACAUAUUAAAAACAUUUAUAAAAUACUUUGUUAAAAAGAAUUUGGGUUUGAAAACAUUUACAUAAAACUAAUUUUGUUAUCAAAAUCAAUUAAUCCUUUAAGUAGUAUAACAACAUUUAUACUUAUAAUAAUAAUAUCAAAAUACUUAUACAUAUCCAGUACAUUAGGAAUGAAGUUAUUUACCUCGACAAAUGAAUUUGAAUUAACACACCUCUAAGCUUCUAAGAGCCUCAAUCACCUUCAUACCUUAACAAAUACAGAUAUGACAAUUAAUAACUUAUUAUAGGGAUCUGAUUUUCUAAUUCAUACCCGUACAGGUCUGAUUCUCAGAAUUUAACUCUAAUCUAAAACUCAGAAUGNNNNNNNNNNNNNNNNNNNNNNNNNNNNNNNNNNNNNNNNNNNNNNNNNNNNNNNNNNNNNNNNNNNNNNNNNNNNNNNNNNNNNNNNNNNNNNNNNNNNNNNNNNNNNNNNNNNNNNNNNNNNNNNNNNNNNNNNNNNNNNNNNNNNNNNNNNNNNNNNNNNNNNNNNNNNNNNNNNNNNNNNNNNNNNNNNNNNNNNNNNNNNNNNNNNNNNNNNNNNNNNNNNNNNNNNNNNNNNNNNNNNNNNNNNNNNNNNNNNNNNNNNNNNNNNNNNNNNNNNNNNNNNNNNNNNNNNNNNNNNNNNNNNNNNNNNNNNNNNNNNNNNNNNNNNNNNNNNNNNNNNNNNNNNNNNNNNNNNNNNNNNNNNNNNNNNNNNNNNNNNNNNNNNNNNNNNNNNNNNNNNNNNNNNNNNNNNNNNNNNNNNNNNNNNNNNNNNNNNNNNNNNNNNNNNNNNNNNNNNNNNNNNNNNNNNNNNNNNNNNNNNNNNNNNNNNNNNNNNNNNNNNNNNNNNCAAGAAUUGAUUAACUAAACUCAUAAUAAAUCAAAACCCUAAACAAAGCCUAAAUACAUUCUAAAUCAUGCAUUAUGAUCUAUAACCAUCUAGAAUUGUGCCAAUAUAAACCCUAGAUAGAGUGAUUAGAAAUCUGUUGAGAAUAAGGAGAAUAACUUACCCGUUGCUUUGAUUCUGUCCUAAACAAAGGUUUGAAUCCUAGGAUUUGGGUAGGAGCGUAAAGAGCAGCAGAGAAGAAGAAUAAACGUCGUGGACUAAGGGUUAUGGAAGAGGAAAAGUAUGAAUUUAUAGGGAAUCUUAAGAAACCCUAUUUAAUAAGGAAAAAUAACCCUUUUUCAAAACUAUCUCAUAAAUAACCUCUAUUUAUAAUUUAGUAUCCCUUUUUUAAUAAGGGUUAUAGGCCACCCAUAAUUAUCAAUGAAAGCCCAAUUUCCAUAAUUUAAUAUUAUGGAAAUUUGUGGCGUUACAAAUUUCCUCCAAGUCUAGCCCACUUGAGUUUUUCAAAUAUUGAGCUAAUGGAUGAUCCCAUGCCGGCACUAGAAAAGGCUGGCGGUUCUUCAGGUGCUCAAACUAAAGCAAAACUCGUAUUCAGGUAGAUAGUUGGCUUGUAGCUCUGAUGGCUUUCCAAAACUCAAGGUGCUGCACCUUAAGUCAAUGUUAUGACUAGAGGAAUGGACUAUGGGGAUUAGAGCCAUGCCGAAACUAGAAUUCUUAAUCAUCAACCCUUGUGCUCACUUGAAAAGGAUUCCUGAACAGCUUUAGUGCCUAAAGAGCUUAAACAAAUUGGAGUUGUAGUGGCCUGAGCCGGAGCUAAGACAACAGCUACGGGAAUUCGAGGAUAAGGAGCAGUAUGGCAUUCAGCUAUAUCCAUAUGGAAUUUGAUUAGCGUGGAUCGAAUUUGAUGUAAGUUUUUUUUCCUUUUUAUCCAAUAACUUCAACCUCUAAUUAUUUAUCUAAUUUCAGGUAAACAUCUAUUCUCUAUGAUUGAUUCGAUAGUACGCAGCAGCCUAAAUAAUAAUGAUACCAUAAAGUGUUUUCAAUCUAAUUUUUGUCUCAACAAAGACUUGGAAGUGUCCAUCAUAUUCCCUGAUACUGACACUAAUCAUUAAUCGCUUAUUAAUAGAAGAGGCAGAACCCUUAUGUAUUGGUUGUUGAAAUAAUCAAGAAAAACUGUAAAAUAAGAUAUGCAAUUACUUGUAUGUGUAGGUCAAAGCAGAGCGGAAAAUAUCUUAACUGUACUGCAGCCAAAGUUUCAAUUUCAAUAAGAAUCCAGCCUUCACUGAAAUUGUGUGGUUUCUUUUUUUUUUUUUUGAUAAGAAUUGUAUGGUUUCUUUGUUUUCACGGAUUAGUAAUUUGUACAAAAGUUUUAUUGAUUGUUUUACUUUCUAUUUUCCCAUUCACUGGUGUGUAUUCAAUUUGUCAACAUUGAAGUUGCAUAUAUGUUAUUGUUUUUUAUUUUAUUUUAUUUUUCUAGUUUUUUAGUAGUGGUACAGUUCAAUCUCAUUACUUUAGUUAAACGAAAAAUGUUUGUGCUGUGAUCACACCUCAUUAUCUUAAAACUGACAGAACGAUAUUGUCAUUCGGUUUUUUAGAAUUUCGCCGACGUGUCGUCCAAUGUAAGGGCGACAAUGCUGGUCAAAAGUCAGUUGGGGUUCGUUAAAAUAGAGCAUGGAAAUUUCGGGUUUGUUGGAAAUAACCUUUAUUGUAGUUUAUAACGCUGGUUGUUGGGUCAUCUUCACAGGUCUCAUCAAAGCCAUAGAAAGAGAAAGAGUUAAAGAGAAAAAGUUGCAUAUUCUUGGAAUGAUUGUGAAAUGGUCCUUGUUCUUCAGUGGAUGUAGGCACUUUGAUUCAAUUUUGAGUUUCGGUUUCCGGAAUGAUUCUUGAUACGUCAAAGAGGGUCUUAGGUGUGUGAUCUUGGUACUAACAGAGGAUUAAACACAACAAAAAAGAAACUGUGGCAUAUUGUCUAAUCUUCAUAGACUCCAAAUAUAUGGAGAUUUUAGCCCUCGUCAAUCUGGGUUGUCCAACAGCCCUUGUAAAAUCAAAAACCAUCACUAAUCCUUGGUGACUUUAGGGAUCUAGUAAGGACUAGGUAGAAUUGAAGAGGAGAUUUAACGAGUGAAGUUCUGAAAGUGGAAGAUUUAAAAUUUAAUCUGUAGCGUUGCAGAUUUUGGAAUCUUCGUUAGAAUUGAUGACUGAAUUCUUUCUCUAUUGGUUGAUUAGCAGCCCAAUUGCACUAAAAGAAUAAAGAGCAGCUAUAAUCGUUUUCACAUUUUCCCUUCCAGCAUCCAGAGGGUGCCUUGUAAUGCAGUGCAAUGAAGUUGAUGGCGAGAGGAUGUGCUGCUGCUCACUCAAUUCCUUACAGUCACAUCAAAGCCCUUGUUUGCAGCAGAGGAAUUCCCUUUUGUAUUCAAAUUGAUCCUUCUGCUUUGGUUGUCAUUGGAUUCUUACCACUCUUUAGCCAGUAACAUAAUGUUGAGUUUAUUGAUUUUGCUAUCUUAAGAAUGUCCAAGACAUCUUGUAAUCAUGAUAUAUUGUCAUUUUAUUUUGAGACAAAUGACUUUUUUCCCAGUUAGCAAAUGCAUAUUGCUUUCAUUUUUUGGAUUGGAAAAACAAAAAUUGGAAGAAGAAAAAUGAAAAUUAAUAAACAAAAAAAAGAUUACAGGACAUCAGCAUCAUGUUCUUUUCUUUGAACUAAGUCUUUGUUUAACCUUUCUCCUUUUCCAUUUUGUGAGUUUGGUAUCUCUUUCUUUACUUGAACCAAGAUUUUUCCUUUACUUACAAGUAAAGUUUAACUAAUCUUGAUCUUUUAUUUUUCUCUGAACUUAUUUUUCUUUCACAUGCACGAUCAUUUUCAAUUCUAACAAAUCAUUCAUCUAUCAAUACCCAAUUUGAAUAAAAUUCAGCAUUCCUUUCUAUCAAUACCCAAUUUGAAUAAAAUUCAGCAUUCCUUUUCCUAUUCUUUCUAUGUAAUAAUUUGAUUGUGUUGUUUUUAAUCAAAAUAAGAUAUAUAUCGUCAGGAUAUUGAAGUUUGUGAUCACUUUAAGAAAAAACAGGUAGUUUAAUAUCUGAAUUAUCCACAAAAUAACUCCAUUUUAUUAUUUUUAUAUCAUGAAUGUGAGGUUCAUGAUUUAUUUGUGUUUGAUUCUUGUUUACAAGUUAUGUUUUUCCUCACACGUUUCAUAUGAUCACAAAUCAAAUAAAAAGGGGGAAAUUAAAAAAAAAAAGAUUGAAAGCUUGCUUAUUUUGAGUACAAGCACAAUCUUGCUCAUUUCCAGGACGAAAUUUAUUAUGUUACAUUUAGAAAUGCGUUAAGAGAUUAAUUUGUCACAUGAUGGUUUCUAGGUAGAAUCUUUCCAAGCUAAUUUGCAUUUUAUAAAAAUUUUCUUUCUAUUCGUUUUACGUAACGAUUAGUCAACAAUCUUGGUUUGAGAAUGCAUACUCAACAUGAGGAUAUAAGAUUCAUUUCCGGCACUCUGCCUUUCAUCUCUUGUAAUUUGACUGUCAGCAAUCUUGAUUUAACUUUUUGAAUGGCAACACUCGGCAGGAUUAAUUAGAGAAGGAGGUAUCAGGCAUAGGGUUCUGAGUAGAGUUUCAUCAACAAUUAAUGCUAGUUAAUGUUUGAAUUGAGAGACAUGGAAAUUUCUUAUUAUUAUUUUUUUAAUCUUUUAAUCAUUGUCUCUCUCAAUUAUGUCUCAAUUUGCAUGUUAGGACCACUAGGCACAGAGAGAGGAGGAGAUAUGGACAUCAACUUCAGACUAUUUUCCGAGAGGCUGGGACGGGUGUUAGCUGGUGAAGAAGUCACGUUGCCUGAUGCUGCAAAACAACCUAUUCAGAACCUUCAUGCGGAGGUUGAAAUCGUUACUUCUUGGCUGAGUGAAUUUGAAGAUGAUAUCUCUUGCCUUUUGAUGCAAAAAAUAGGAGAAGUUGAAAUUGACAACCCAGAUCUUGGGACCGUUAUGGAUGAAAUCAAUUGCUUUACUUAUGAAUCUGAGAAGUUCAUUGACACAUUCAUCAACAGCAUUACUCAACAGAAGAGACAAAGCAGGCGUAGCAAGGACAUUUGUGAUGCUCUGCUAGGACUCCAAAGCAAAAUCAUUGAUAUAAAACAACGGAUGCAACAAGUUCAGCACUUCGAUUCCGGAAUCAUUGAUGAAGUCAAAUCAAUUGAAGCUGAAGCCGGUAAUUUUCUUGCAUCUUCAUCGUCUAAGAAUAGGGACACGGUGGGUCUAGAUGAUAGAAUGGAGGAUUUGUUAGAUCUAUUGAUAGAAGGACCACAUCAACUUUUAGCAGUGGCCAUACUUGAUAGCAUUGGAUUGGACAAGACGGCUUUCGUCGCAGAAGCUUACAGCAGCAACUAUGUGAAGCAUUAUUUUGAUUGUCACGCUUGGGUUCCAGAGCCUCACAGCUAUGAUGCUCACCGAAUAUUAGAUAUCAUUAUUAAGUUUCUAAUGCCUUCAUCUAGACUGAGUGAAAUAAAGGAUAAAAAUUAUGAAAUAAAAAAAAUAUUCCUCGUGAAUAUCUAAUGACCAAGCGGUAUUUGAUUAUUUUUUUAUCAUGUGUGGAGAAUAUCAGCAUGGGAUGUUAUUCGAAAAAUACUUCCCGAUAAUCAGAAUGGAAGUAGAGUAUUAAUAACACUCGCUCAAAUUAAGAUUGUCACCUCAUUUCAGUUCGAAAACGGAGAGAACAUUGGGCUUGAUUUUGUGCCCACUGGAGGACUAUUGAGAGCUACAUACCAAGGAUGGCCUUUCCACAUCUUGUAUCAUGGAAGCAUCUCAUUGGAAGAAAAUAUAGACAAAGUAUUGACCAUGUCCCUUGGGCUUCAAUGUAUCAUAUAUUGUAUGUCACCUUUUUGCUUGAAACCUUGUUUUCUCUACUUCUCAGUGUUUCCCGCACACUUAGAGAUAUCCACCAGGCAUGUAUAUCAACUGUGGAUAGCUGAAGGUUUCAUUGAAGACAAUAAUGAGGCAACUGCUAAGAAGUACUUAGAGCAACUAAUCAACAGAGGCUUUGUCGAAGCAAAUAAGAGAAGAGCUGGAGGCACAAUCAACACAUGCUCUAUUCCCGGUCGUUGCCGUCCUGUAUUGUUAGGAGUGGCUUCCAAGGUGGAAUUUAUCUUUUCCCCUUUCAUGGAUAUAGAAGGUAAAUCAUAAAAAAAUGUCAAACGUUUCUACACUUUAGAACAACAGAGUGAUUUUGCUUGCUUAGAUGAUUAUGACUCGCAACUGCAUUCUUUCUUGUGCUGCUCUCCAGAAAGCCGCCACAUUGACCCCAUAGAUUGGGAGAAAAUUUGUGGAAUGUUCAAACUUCUCAGAGUGUUGGACUUGGAAUCUCUUGUUCUCAUCUAGUAUCCAUCCGGAAUUGAAAAUUUAUUUCUUUUGAGAUAUUUGAAGUUGAAUAUCCCUUCCCUCAAAAGCCUGUCUUCCUCAUUAUUAAGCAAUCUUCUGAACCUCUACACCCUAGACAUGCCCUUUAGCUAUAUAGAUCAUACGGCAGAUGAAUUUUGGAAGAUGAAAAAACUCAGACAUCUAAAUUUUGGGUCAAUCACACUUCCUGCGCAUCCAGGAAAAUACUGUGGCUCUCUGGAAAAUCUAAAUUUCAUUUCAGCCUUGCACAUUUGCUGCUGUAUUGAAGAUAUAUUAGGCAGGCUACUUAAUCUUCAAAAUCUCUGAAUGCGGGGAGAUUUAAGUUAUGAUCAAUCUUUGCUGUCUCAAAGUCUCUGCAGAUUGAGCUGUCUCAAGUCAUUGAAGCUGGCGAAUGAAAGCAAGAUGCCAUGGCUCUCCAAAAUCGUCCUUGCUGAAUACCUAUUUCCUCAUAGUCUAACCCACUUGAGUUUUUCUAAUACUGACCGAAUGGAUGAUCCCAUGCCGGUGCUAGAAACGUUGCCGCUUCUUCAAGUGCUCAAACUGAAGCAAAACUCGUAUUCAUACAGAAAGCUGACUUCUGGACUAUGGGGAAUGCAGCCAUGCCAAAACUAGAAUGCUUGAUUAUCAACCCUUGUGCUUACUUGAAAAAGAUGCCUGAACAUCUCUGGUGCAUAAAGAGCUUAAACAAGUUCGAUUGCUGGUGGCCUCAACCAGAGCUGAGACAAAAGCUACGGGAAUUUGAGGAUAAGGAACAGUGUGGCAUUCAACUAUAUCCUUAUGGAAUUUUUUUUUAUUACAUGAGACUAUUGCUCAAACUACAACUCAUAUUACAUGAGGUUAUAACUGAUAUUUAUAAAUCAGACUAUUACUGGGACCAACUUACAUCAAUGCUAAUGGAGCUCUACCCAAAUUUUAACCCUCACAAAUAUUCGAGGAAUGUCUACUCCUCACUCUUGGGUAAGAAGGAAGACUACCUUCACUCAAUUUUUAAUGAAGGAAGGAAAUACCCCCACAAUGCAUUUGUGGGGGUUCGAACUGCUGCCCUCCAACUUGGAGGGCAGCAACUCUAACCACUCGGCCUUUGGCCGAGUGGCUAUCCUUACGGAAUUUGAUUAGCCCCUAUUGAACUUGAUGUAUGUUUCUCAUUUUACACAAUUUCUUCAAAUUUUAAUUAUUUAUCCAAUUUCAUAUAUUUUUUCCCCUUUUCUUCAAUACAAAAAUGGUUAUACAAAUUGUUUUCUUCUAAUUUGCCUCAACAUUAAAUACCCUUUAGAGUUUCUAAUGCUCACCCCAAUCAUCAACCCUCUUCAAUACAUCGAUGUUCAUUUGUUUUAGUAGUUAAGAAAAAAAAUAUAUAAUUUAGAUUUCUUAUUUUUCACAAUUUCUUCAAUGACUUGUGUAGGUGAAAUUAGAGCAAAAAUGUCAAGACCCAACCCAGACCUGGCAAGAUAUUGUCCGCUUUACGCCCAUACACCCCAAGAACAAAUCCGUGCGGGCCUUGUUAAGGCCCAAAGCGAACAAUAUCUUGCCAGGUCUGGGUUGGGUCUUGACAUUAUGGUAUCAGAGUGGCUUCGCGUGUCCACUUGUGCGAUGGUGGGGCAAACCUCAGCGAGGACGCUGAGUCCCCAAGGAGGGGUGUAUGUAACACCCUAGGCAAAUCCCAAAUCGGCAAAGCACGGGAGAGAUGAUGAGUUUAUAAGGGGUGAUCCACACCUUAAUUGGCAAGACACGUUUUGGGGUGUAUGGGCGCCCCAAGAACAAAUCCGUGCGGGCCUUGUUAAGGCCCAAAGCGGACAAUAUCUUGCCAGGUCUGGGUUGGGUCUUGACAUUAUGGUAUCAGAGCGGCUCCACGUGUACUCUUGAGCGAUGGUGGGGCAAACCUCGGCGAGGACGCUGAGUCCCCAAGGGGGUGUGUAUGUAACACCCUAGGCGAAUCCCACAUCGACAAAGCACGGGAGAGAUACUGGGUUUAUAAGGGGUGAUCCACACAUUAAUUGGCAAGAUGCGUUUUGGGGUGUAUGAGCACCCCAAGAACAAAUCUGUGCAGGCCUUGUUAAGGCCCAAAGCGGACAAUAUCUUGCCAGGUCUGGGUUGGGUCUUGACAUUAUGGUAUCAAAGCGGCUCCGCAUGUCCUCUCAAGCGAUGGUGGGGCAAACCUCAGCGAGGACGCUGAGUCCCCAAGGGGAGGUGUAUGUAACACCCUAGGCAAAUCCCACAUCGGCAAAGCACGGGAGCGAUGUUGGGUUUAUAAGGGGUGAUCCACACCUUAAUUGGCAAGACGGGUUUUGGGGUGUAUGGGCGCCCUAAGAAAAAAUUCGUGACAAGAAAACAUCAUGACUGUAGCCCGAGCUUCAAUUUCAACCAGAACCUUUCCGUCUUCACAUUUGCUGUCUACACAAAUAAGUCUUGAUCCUACAGUGGUGGACUUUUUUUGGUUUCUUUGUUUCCGCUGUCUAUUCAUAAAUAAGAAGUUUUGUUUUGGCUUUUCAGUUGAUAGUUCAUUGAUUUGUGCUUCGGCCAUGGUUUCGUUAAUUGUGUACAAAAAAUAAUUACUAUUUGUGAUGCUUGCUAGUGUUUGGGUUGAGUUGAAUGUAUUUUCUGUCUUUGUUCUGUUGCUUGCUCUGAAAUCCUGUUUCAAAGGAUGGGCAAGUCUGGCACUCAAUAGGUUCCGUUUAUUUCCAGAAAAGAUUAAUUAUUGAUGAACUUCACACUUGGCUGAAUGUCUUAGUAAACGUUCUUGUGGAGAAAUCCUAAUACCCGCUUAGGCAAUACAAUGAGGCAGAAAUACUAAUACUGCUGUACAUGUGUUGAUUGAUUAACAGCUUUGUUCUCUGAUAUUCUUUCUUUAUCUGUUGCAGAAAUUCCUUCAAUAUGAUUGAUAGUUGCUACUAAUUAUAGAAGCAUCCCUCCUUUGGCUCAUUCAAUGGAAUAUGAAAGACAGAUUACUGAGACAAAGUCACGCUUCAUUACCUUCCCAAAGAAAGUUGAAGUUUGGGCUGCGUACUUGGGAGUGGAAUGAAGAGCGGCAGCAAAAUGAUUACAAGGAUUGCCAUUUACAGGGGCACUUUUGUGACUACUGAUGUGUCCCUCUAAUGGUUCAAUAAAUUGAAACCACGUCUAGUAAAAGCUAGAAAAACGCCGUGUUAUAGUAAGCAUCGACUUUCAAUAAUAGAAUUUUGUGUGCAAGUGUGAAGUUCAUCAAUAAUCAAUCUUUAUAACUAUUGCCUACGGUAUAAAAAUAUUUAUAAAAGAGCAAGUAAUUGCAAUCCCUCGUUCAAAUUUAUAACAAAUCAACUAUAAAAAUAUUCAGAGCAAAAUUCAAGAUUAAAUUAUGUUCUAUAUUGGAUCACACGUUAAAAUAGUUAUCAAGAUAUGCAUGUAUAUAAUUAAAUAAAUGUAGAAAUUUAAUUUGGUUUGUUAGCAUUCCAUUAAGAAUAAAUUUAAACAAUUAACUAAUUAAAUCCUCGUUGAAUAAUUAUUAAGCUUCAUUUAAACUAAUAAAAUAUGUUUGUGAUAUGAUAUCUCAUAACAAAUUAACUAACGACUUUGAAAUUUAUGCUAUCUAUCUCAUGAAAUUUAUCAAACUCAUACUUGAUUCUUAGAUCAAGUUACAAAAAUCGUGUGAGGUGAAUCAGUAGAUUAAGGGCUAGCUCAAGUGAAGCUUUGAGGCAGCAGAAUCAACACAUGCCACAUUUUAAUAUUGUCAUUAUUAUUAGCAGUGUAUCAAAUUUGAAAAGUAAUUCCAGUUGUCUUUGUUUCAGCUGUGUACUCAUUAAGUAAGAGAUUUCAUUUCAGCAGAGAGUUGACUGUGUAUAAAAAUAAAGAAUGUUUGUGAUGCUUUCUAGUCUUGGAUUAAGUGGGAUUAAUGUAUUUUCUAUAAAAACUGAUCAAAAAUUUCCUCCCAUGGAUGCAAGCUAAUGCAAAUUAGUUGAACCACGUUGAAUUGAUUUUUCCUCUGUUGGUUCUUUCAAUUCUUUAAUUCAAUUUGAUCUUAAUUGCUUUUUGUUCUUUCAUCAUUAUCUUGUUUCAAUUCCAUUUUCAAUUGAGCUUCAAAUUAGUUCAUUCUUGGUAGCAUCUUGAUUGAUUGGAUUGUGAUAUUGGGCAGCAACUGAGGUAUCUCUGGUUUUAAGCACUCCAGUUGCUACAGUUAGGCACUCAAUCAAUAUGCUUUGUUCAUUUACAGAAGAGAUUUGAUUAUUGAUGAACUUCAUACUUGCCUGACUCUGUAAAGAAAUUGUAUGAAUCAAUAAUUUAUCAAUGAGUAACGUUACAAUUUAUACAAGUCAAGCAUACUUGGAUGAUAAGCCAAACACUAUAAGAUAAGUCAUAGCCUAUAAGAUAAAUACAAGCUAAGCCAUAGCCUAUAUGAUAAUUACAAGAUAACGGUAAAGAGAUAUAAGAUAAGAUUACAAGUUAUUGAAACAGAGAGUAGUUAUCUAUGUACAUGUUUGGCUAAUACUCUGAUCCCGUGUAGUGGGUUGGGAGGAUUACAUGGAGAUGCUAUUAAAGCUAAGGCAUAAGGCAGAGAUUAACAAACACAAUGAUUAGCAGUAGGUCGUUAUUAAAUAUUAUUUAACGUGAGGAACAAGAUUUUCAGCCUCGCUUCAUAGUGCUAACUACUUCGACUUUGUCUGUUACUUGGAAACUUUGGUGCCUUCCAUGACAAUCAUUUUGUGGCAGCACAGUGAACGAUUCUGUUGCUUUUGCUUUCAAUGAACAGGGCUACCUUACCAGAUAGGGUUACCAUUUUAUUAAUUGCAAGUGGUAGCUUAUUUAUUCAUUACUUUUGUCUUCUGUGAAUAUAAAUCACUGACUAUGUAAUCAUAAUAAUUUUUUAAUAAGGAGUAUGAUGAAAAUUAAAGACAAAUAGUGAUUUUGUAAUUAUUUAUUAUGCUCCAAGUCAAUAGAUAUCACAUCAACCCCCAAUAUUUUCUUUGCAACUACUUUCUUAUUGUACCCAUUAUCAAAAUUCUAUAAUAAAUGUGUAGGAGAAACUACUGACUAAACUAACAUGCUUGCACUACUGGAGUACUGAGAGAAAGAGUUGUGUAGGUCAACCUAAGACCAGUUUCAUUCAUCAACAAUAAAUGUUUCAGUGGAUACAUAAAACUUUUUGCACGCCAGUAAGUGGUAGACGUGAUUUUGCAUUUUUCCACAGCUUAAAUUACUAAAGAUCUUGCUCUGUUCUUUUCUUUUCAAAUAGGCCUUAUGGUCCCGGUGGAAUUGUUUUGACCUUUUCUUUCUUGAAAGUGGAUGUAUAAUACAUAUUGGUCUUGAUUGAUCCUUGAUCAAGACCUAUUUAUUCUCUUAUGCUUUAUUCUUUUUACAACAUAUGGAGAACAGUGUAUUGUAAGAUUCAUUUACCGUAGUCCUCUGCCUUGAUCUGUUCUAAUUUGAGAGUCAACAAUCUCAAUUCAAUUUCUUGAAUGGAGUACUAGCUAAGAGAACGGAGGUAGGGGAGGUUUAAAGCAAAGUUUCUUUCCAACUCUCUGUUUUUAACUAUUUCUUUGCAUGCUACAGGACUGAUUACAGGGUGGUACCGAGAGAGGAGGAGAUAUGGACAUCAACUUCAUGCUAUUUUCCGAGAGGCUGGGACGGGUGUUAGCUGGUGAAGAAGUCACGUUGCUUGAUGCUGCAAAACAACAUAUUCAGAACCUUCAUGCCGAGACUGAAAUCGUUACUUCUUGGCUGAGGGAAUUUGAAGAUGAUAUCUCCUGCCUUCUGAUGCAAAAAAUAGGAGAAGUUGAAAUUGAUGACCCUGAUCUCGGGAACAUUAUGGAUGAAAUCAAUUGCUUUACGUAUGAAUCUGAGAAGGUGAUUAACACAUUCAUCAACAGCAUCAGUGAACAAAAGAGUCAAAGCAGCGGCAGCAAGGACAUUUGUAAUGCUCUGCAAGGACCCCAAAGCAGAAUCACUGAUAUUAAGCAACGGAUGCAACAACUUGAGCACACGGAUUCCGAAAUCAUUGAUGCCAUCAAAACUUUUGAAGCUGAAGCCGGUAUAUCUUCAUCUUCUAAAAGUAGGGACACGGUGGGUCUAGAUGAUAGAAUGGAGGAGUUGUUAGAUCUAUUGAUAGAAGGACCACCUCAACUUUCCGCAGUGACCAUACUUGAUAGCAUUGGAUUGGACAAGACGGCUUUCGCCGCAGAGGCUUACAGCAGCAACUAUAUGAAGCAUUAUUUUGAUUGUCAUGCUUGGGUUCAAGAGCCUUACACCUGCUAUGCUGACCAAAUAUUAGAUAUCAUUAUUAAGUUUCUGAUGCCUUCAUCUAGGUUGAGUGAAAUAAAGGAUAAAAAUUAUGAAAUGAAAAAAAUUAUUCUUCAUGAAUAUCUAAUGACCAAGCGGUAUUUGAUUGUGAUUGAUGAUGUGUGGAGCAUUGAAGUGUGGGAUAUUAUUCGAGAAAUACUCCCGGAUAAUCAGAAUGGAAGUAGAGUGUUAAGUAAAUAAAAGCACCAGGUCGGUCAUGCUAUUAUUUCCGCCCCGGCAUGGAUCACCUCAGCCAAAUGGUACAAGCAGAACACGGGGACAAAUAUGAGCCGAUCAGAGAUGAGUACCAACCAGGGGAGUAUACCGACCAGAGGUAUAUACCGAGCCGAUACCCAUCCCCCGAAAAAGCGGGAACACGAUCCCAUAGAAUCACGGUAGUUGCGCUUUUUCCAGAACCGUUGCGGGAGACGCGAGAUCCUACUUUUGCCCAUAAUGUAGCAGUUAGAGUCCUAUGAGGGGCUGCCACCACUCGAAAAAGGAGGGAUGAAGGCUAAACGGGAACGUGGGACAGCGGCUAUAAAAGAAGAAGAAAUCGAUGAAGAAAAGGGAAGAAAAAAGGAAAGUAGGGAAAACUCUGCGAAAUUGUAUCCAGACGCUUUUCAAUACCGAGAGUGAGCUAAUUCUAAGCAAUUAUUUGAACCCUAAUUGCACCGUUUUCCCGUAAACACCUUGUGGUAACUUAGGCAUCGGAGGGUUUGCGCUGGCAAAACCACCGGCGUCUCUGAUCCACUUUUGUAAACGCAGGCUUAGUGAGAAAAAAGGGACAACUCCAACUUCAGUGGCUGGAGCAAUCGUUGAAGCAAGAAGGAAUUGAUAUCUUUAUUAUUGAUAACGUGAACGUUGGUGUAAAAAUCUUGUCGGGCAAAGGGCGAGCAGAUUUCAGCAUCAACAUUUUGGUGCCGUCUGUGGGGAGCUGGAUAAAAAGCUACCACCGAAUUAGUAGUUACCGGAGAAGCAACGAACGAUUAGACAUGGAUGUGCCGAGGAAGGAUGCUUUGAGGGAGGAUAACGAAACUGUGGAGACAAUCACUCUCUGGGAAAUUACAAAUGAAGCCCGGGAGAGAAUGAUGCAAGAUCGAUUGGAGCGGAUGAAGAAACAAAUGGAGACUCUCGCGACCAUACUGUAUGAGCUGAGGGAUGAGCGGAGAAAGGAUUGUGAAACCCCCAUAGGAAGAGAUGAUGUUGGAGCAGAACCCAGCCUCCGGAGGCGUAGAGUUGAGGAAAUCCCUCCGCCGGCAGACCAACCUAAUGGGGUGCAUCCCCACAGAAGCACUAGCCGGGUUCCAGGAGAACGAGUAGAUGAAGGGAGGGACCAACCUCGCCCUAGAUGGGUACCGGAAACUGAUGGCCGAGGGGCCAGUAUUGAUGAAGGAGAGCUCAGACAGGGGUUGCAAAAUGCCGAGUAGGAGCGAGAUCAGAUAGCUGCGCGUGAUCCUGACUGUGCUGUAGAAUUGGAGGGAGAGGUGCGCAGAUUAGCGCAAGUGAUAGAGGAGAUACAAGGCAAGAGAAAGCCCCCGAGCUUGAGGAUAAUGCUAGAUGAAGAAUCUCCACUAUCAACUGAGAUCAUGGGUAUUGUAAUCCCAAGAGAUUUUCGCUUCCCCGACCUCAAAUACUCCGGGCGAAGUGAUCCACUGGUGCAUAUUGAACGUUUCAACGACAUGACGGGUGUUCAGGGGUUAACACCAGCUCAGAGGUGUAGGGUGUUCCCAUUGACACUGGAGGGACGAACUCGAGAAUGGUACCGCAAGCUGUCACGAGGAAGUAUUAGAGGGUACGAGCAGAUGUGCCAAGAGUUAGUCGAACAGUUCCGAGGAGCAAUGGCCCCAGAGGAUGAUAUGAUGGAACUAAUGGAGAUGAAGCAGGAGGAACAAGAAUCCCUUCGAGAUUUUGUAAAACGAUACCACCGAGCCGUGUUUAAUUUGGGAGCUUUCAAUCACCCACAGGCGUUAAGCGGAUUAAAGGAGGGUGUGAGGAUAGGCUGGCUAUGGUAUAACCUGAGAAGUCUCCUGGUGCAGAAUUACUCAGCGAGGUAUGAGCAGGCAAAGAGAGACAUUGAAAUUGAAGAGGAAAAAUCGGCAAGGAUAAAGAGUGAACAGCUGGAGGAGCUGAGACGAAAGGAAAAGAGAACCCCAAGUGGGAGCGAGUCGGGAAAGCGAGCUGGGGAAUCCUCAAUGAUGGGUGCGGUAUCAGCUCGGUCUCGCCCUUACCCCAUAGCUCAGAGACCGCAACAGGGCUCAGCCCCCGCGCCCCCCAUUCCUAGAGCGGCAACGAGAAUUCCGGCAGUUGGCUAACCAUCCUUAUCACAACGCUCCCAAAGCACUACACACGGCCAACUCCAGAACGGGACGAUCAGGUCAGCUACCUUCAAUAUCCGCUUGGGACAAUAUUCAUAAUAGCCGAGUAGUCCAGCUAAUUGACCAGAGCUCAGCGUAUAGACAAUACACCCCGUUAAAAGUCCCUAUGGAGGAGUUGUACGAGAGAAUCGAGGGACGAGGCCUGUUGUACCCUCCAAUCCCUAUAACAAAACCUGCUCACCGACGGGAUAAGAGCAGAUUUUGCAAAUUUCACGACACUCACGGUCACACAAUCAGCCAAUGUCAUGACUUAAAGAUCCAGGUGGAGGAUUUGGUGAGAAACCGUUAUUUGGAUAAAUAUGUAGAUGGGGUGUCCUCCGUCAUUGAAUCACAGUACACGCGGGAUGAAGGAGCUGAGAGGGGCCUGGAAUGUGAACAGCCGACUAUCCGUGUGAUAGCAGGAGGGCCAACAUUGGCUGGGGAUUCGAACAAGGCACGGAAGAACUAUGGGAGAUACGCCAUGACUAGCAAAGAGGUGCUUUUCAAUUUGCCAGCAACCAAGAAGGCAAAAGUGCGGCAAGUUCCCAUUAUAUGGACAGAUGACGAUGAAGAGGGUAUCUUAUAUCCUCAUGAGGAUGCACUGGUGAUUAAGGCAAUGGUGGCUGGUACAGAAUUGGGACGAAUACUGGUAGACACGGGCAGCUCGGUUGACAUCCUGUUUAAGUCGGCCCUAGAUGAUAUGGGAAUUGCAGACUUGAAAUUGGAACGGACAAAUACAUCCUUAAAGGGAUUUGGAGGGGGACGGUUAACUCCCAUGGGGAUCAUCGAACUCUCAAUUACUGUGGGGACAAAGCCGUUUGAAAGAACGAUGAUGCUGGACUUUGUCGUGGUAGAGGAAAGAAGCCCUUACCAGAUGAUACUGGGGAGACCCUUCAUGAGGAUAAGCCAAUGCGUUGUAUUUACGCAUUAUCUGGCACUGAAAUACAGAGUAAAUGGAGUGGUUGGUGUAGUAAAAGGCGACCAGAGAAUGGCAAGGAGUUGUUAUGCUACAGCGGCCAAGGAGACACUACAGGUUACUUCUCUAGAUAACGGAGGAGAGUCUAAAAAGGGCCGCCAAGAACCCGUUGAGAAACUGGAAGAAGUUGCGGUAAGCAAAAGCAACCCGAGCAGAGUGGUUAAGAUCAGUUCAGGAUUGGUUGGGACAGUAAGAGGCGAGCUGGUAAAGUGCCUACAGUCUCAUGCAGAUAUAUUCGCCUGGUCUCACGAGGAUAUGCCAGGAAUUGAUCGCGGGGUAGCUUGCCACAAGUUGGCAAUCAAGAAUGAGGCGAGGCCGGUGAGGCAGAAGAGAAGAUGCUUUAACUAGGAAAGGUACGAGGCCAUAAAUGCCGAGAUGGAGAAACUAUUGAAAGCAGGAUUUAUAAGGGAGGCCAAGUACUCAGAGUGGAUUUCCAAUGUAGUACUGGUAAAGAAGGCCAACGGAAAAUGGAGGAUGUGUGUGGAUUUCACAGAUCUUAAUAAGGCAUGUCCGAAUGACAGUUUUCCCCUACCAAAGAUAGAUCAAUUGGUGGACUCAACAGCGGGUCACAGUCUGCUCAGCUUCAUGGAUGCCUUUUCGGGAUACAACCAGAUACCCAUGGACGAGCAGGAUGAGGAAAACACCACCUUUAUAACUAACAUGGGUUUGUUUUGCUACAGGGUGAUGCCUUUUGGCCUGAAAAAUACAGGAGCCACCUAUCAAAGGUUGGUGAACAAGAUCUUCAAGCAAUUGAUCGGUCAUACUAUGGAGGUAUAUGUGGACGAUAUGAUCACAAAGUCCAAAGAACCGAGUGAUCACAUGAAACAUUUGGAAGAGACCUUUGAACUACUGAGGAAGUAUGGAAUGAAGCUAAACCCGGAGAAAUGUGCAUUUGGGGUCAGCUCUGGCAAAUUUUUGGGGUUCCUGGUGAGCCACCAAGGGUUCGAGGCCAACUCAGAAAAAAUACGGGCGGUAACAGAAAUGAGGUCCCCACGAACAGUUAAGGAGGUGCAGAGCCUUACAGGGAAAUUGGCAGCAUUGAACCGAUUCAUCUCGCGGGCCACAGAUAAAUGCCACCCUUUUUUCGAAACCAUAAAGAAAGGGAGAAAGAUGGAGUGGACAUCAGAAUGUGAGGAAGCGUUUGGGCAGCUGAAGGAAUAUCUGGCUCACGCCCCAUUACUAUCAACUCCGAGAGAAGGUGACCAACUGUUUUUAUACUUGGCAAUCUCAAAAUGGGCCACCAGCUCAGUGUUAGUCCGAGAAAAAGAAAGGAAGCAACACCCUGUGUAUUACACUAGCAAAGCCCUGGUAUACGCAGAAACUAGGUACCCAUUGAUGGAGAAAUGGGCACUGGCUUUAAAAACGGCAGCACGAAAACUGCGACCAUAUUUUCAGGCCCACCCGAUAAUUGUGAUGACCGACCAACCUCUCCGGAAAAUGCUCCAAAAACCAGAUGCAUCAGGGCGGUUAGUAAAGUGGUCCAUGGAGCUGAGCGAAUUCGACCUGUCCUAUAGGCCCCGAGGAGCAAUCAAGGCCCAAGCCCUGGCUGAUUUUAUGGUUGACCGUGUUGAACUAGGGGAAGAGGUCCAGGAGGAACAACUAGUGGAACAGAAGGAUCCAAAGGGGGUGUGGCUGGUAAUGGUUGAUGGGUCACGUAGUGAACAGGGAUCUGGAGCAGGAGUUAUAAUCCGAAGCCCAGAAAGAGUAGAAAUCCAAGCAGAUUCCCAGCUAAUAUGUAAUCAGCUCAGUGAUCAAUUCCAAGUAAGGGAAGAGAAAUUGGGGCUUUAUUUGAAGAAGGCGAAACAAAUGGUUGAACUCUUCAAAAAGGUAGAGGUGAAGCAGAUAUCCUGGAAUGAAAAUUACCGAGCAGACAUGUUGGCAAGAAUGGCUGCAACAGUAGAUCCCAAAUUACCUAAGUCAGUUCCACUAAAGAUGAGGGCCUCGCCGAGUAUAGGAGAGGAAGUAGAGGUAAUGAGAAUAAGCAUCGAAGAAUCCUGGAUGGACUCGAUUCUCGCAUACAUCCGCGAUGGCAUUUUACCGGAGGACAAAAGGCAAGCAAGAAAGUUAAAACGCCGAGCAGCGAGGUAUGCACUGCUCGAUAGGGUGCUCUAUCGCCGAGAAUUCACCUUGUCCCUUUUGCGAUGUUUGGAUGAUGAGGAGGCAGACUAUGUACUAAGGGAGAUUCAUGAAGGAAUAUGUGGAAAUCAUUCAGGAGAAAGAACUUUAGCCUUCAAGGCACUCCGGCAAGGAUACUUUUGGCCGACCAUGCACCAGGAUGCGAAAAGGAUGGCAAAGAGUUGCAAAAUCUGCCAAAGCUUCUCAGAGGUUCCCGCACAACCCCCAGAAAAGCUCACCACUAUGACAUCCCCAUGGCCUUUUGCUCAAUGGAGAAUCGACCUGAUUGGUCCGUUACUGAAAGGCCGAGGAGCGGCAACCCAUGCAAUUGUAGCAAUAGACUAUUUCACCAAGUGGAUAGAAGUGGGGGUCCUUAGCCAAAUCACGGAGAGAAAGACAACGGAUUUUAUUUGGAAGAAUAUCAUCUGCAGAUACGGAAUCUCUUAUACCAUCAUCACCGACAAUGGAAGGCAAUUUGACAACAACAACUUCAGAGAAUUUUGCCGGAACCUAGGGGUGGACCUGAAGUUCUGCACCCCCGCACACCCCCAGGCAAACAGAAAAGUGGAAGCAGCCAACAAAGUGAUAAAGAAACUCCUGAAGACUAGACUGGGAGAGAAGAAGGGAGCUUAGGUUGACGAGCUACCAGGGGUACUGUGGGCUUACCGGACAACUCACAAAACCGCUACAGGGGAAACCCCAUUUGCCUUAGCUUUUGGUCAUGAGGCGGUAGUCCCAGCAGAAAUUGGAGUACGAAUACAUCGGACGGAAUACUUCAAUGAGGAGCAAAAUGGCGAGCAGAUCUUCUUGAGCCUGCACCUGCUGGAGGAGAAAAGGGAAGGGGCCUCGCAGAAAGUGGCCCAAUGUCAGCAAAGGGUCACGCGUUAUUACAACAAGAACGUACGCGUGAGGCAGUUCCGACCAGGAGAUUGGGUGCUUAGGAAGGUGAACCAAAACACCAGGGAUCCCAACCAUGGCGCUCUUGGCCCGAAAUGGGAAGGCCCGUACAGGGUGAUACGAGCAACUGGACCAGGAGCUUAUAAGUUAGUGUACACAGAUGGACGAGACGUAAAGAGGUUGUGGAACGCCGAGCACUUGAAGAAGUAUUUCCAGUAAGCAAAGUGCUCUACUAAGUCUUCAUAAGUUAUUUCUAUUAAAUGCAUGAUGGCUUGUUGCACAUACAUAUAUUCUGUGUUCUUGUAAUGCAUUCAAAUUUCAAUAAAGAUGAAUUCAGCACGAAAUCCCCCUGCUAGCAAACCCAAUAAAAAAAAAUUCUACCAAGGCAAGUAAGUGUCUGCUUCUGCUCGGUCAACGAAAGACCAGCAGCUAAAUUUACGAAAAUUCUACUAAGGCAAGUAAGUGUCUGCUUCUACUCGGUCAACGAAAGACCAACAGCUAAAUUUACGAAAAUUCUACUAAGGUAAGCAAGUGCCUGCUUCUGCUCGGUCAACGAAAAGACCAGCAGCUAAAUUUACGAAACUUCUACUAAGGCAAGUAAGUGUCUGCUUCUGCUCGGUCAAUGAAAGACCAGCAGCUAAAUUUAUGAAAAUUCUACUAAGGCAAGUAAGUGUCUGCUCCUGCUCAGUCAACGAAAGACCAGCAGCUAAAUUUAUGAAAUUCUUACCAAGGCAAGUGUGUGCCUGGUCCUGCUCGGCCCACGAAAGAACAGCAGGCGAUUUUACGAAAUUUCCACAAAGGCAAACAAGUGCCUGUUCCUGCUCGAUCAACGAAGACCAGCAGGCAAUUUCAAUAAAUUUUUACAAAGGCAAGUAAGUGCCUGCUUAUGCUCGGUCAACGAAAGACCAGCAGCCAAUUUUACGAAAAUUCUACUAAGGCAAGUAAGUGCCUGCUCUUGAUCGGUCAACAAACGACCAACAGGCAAUUUUGCAAAAAUUUACUAAGGCAAGCGGAUGCAUAUUCCUACUCGGUCCACUAAAGAACCAACAAGCAAAAUCAGAUAAAUUGUCAAAUUAAUUUGCAGAAACAAUCCAUGAGCAAAAACCAGACAAGAAAGCCAGUAAAGAACAUCUAAAAAUUUAUAAGCAUUUAAAUGUUUACAAAACGAAUGAAAAUCUAGAGUCUAUACAAAAAUAGACCUAAGGAUUAGGAGGGUCAACGGCUUUAGCAGGUGAAGGAUCAGCUAUCUCUGGAGGUGGAAGAUCAGCAAUACCGGGAGGAGGAGGCACGGACCCUUGUCCCACUUCAAAAGCAUGUCCCCCAACUUCCCCCUCCUACACCCCAUCUAAAGGAGCCUCCACUUGAUCCUGCUCACCCUACUCUUUAUCUGCCUGGCCGAUCUCCGCCAUAUACUCCAGCCUCCAGCUUGCUCAUGUCCAGCUCGGGAUAUUCUUCCUUAAGCACAGACAUGAUGCACUUAUAGGAGAAAACAACCCCAGAGUCAUACUCGGCAUCCAGCCGAUCGUCCACGUCAGCGGAUUUACCUUUCUCCUCAGCCAGCUGCUCACUCAAGGAUUUGAUUUCUCCCUCAAGGGCAGUCCUCAGAGUAUCUCUUUCACUUUGAGUAACCUGAAGAUCAGACUUCAGGUCACCCAACUCACCCUCAAGUUUGGAGGAAGUGGACUCAGCAACCGCAACUUUCUCCUCUAGCUCUGUAAUCUGCCUGUUCAGCUCGGCCAGCUUCUCCUUCGAGCGAUCAGCAGACUCAACCCUCUUCUUCAAGUCCUGGUUCUCAGCUUGGAGCUUCCUCUCUUGGCGCGUGAUCCUAUUCUUGUAACAAGAUACUAUAGUGGCCAACUUGAAGGAGACCCUUUGGACAGAACCAACUAAUUCAUUGAGAUUCAUGCUCUCAAUGUCCUGGACCAUCUUCGGUCCCACUGACUUCCCAUAGUCCCUCUGAUACAGGAUCAGGUAGUCACCCUGAUCACGAGCUGGAAGAGGGGAGGAUCGGUCCCCAGAGCGUGUGCUGACCUCAGAACUCUUGUCAAUAGUUUUCUCCCCGACACUCUUACUAGGUGGAGGAGGGGGCAGAGCAGGAACAGAAGCCUUAGAAGGGCUAACACUGACUUUCUUCGGAGGAGGAGGAGGGUUGCUGGAGCUGCUCGGAGCCCGACCACGCUUUCUGCUCAUUGCACUGAGGAUAUUGUUAUCCAUCCAGGCAACAAUGUCCAUUAAGCCCGAACCGACCAAGUUUAUUAGUGACAGCAGGUCUUGGCAGGUAGACGCGUUCACCAGAGUAGUUUCAACCUGGAGCAAGGGUCGGUCUUCAAGGUCCUUAACCAAACCCCAAGAUUCUGAAAAAAAACAAACAAGGUUAAAGAACUCAAUAAGUAGCAAUUUUGAUUAAGAAUAUAGGCAAAAAUGAACGACCUGGGGUGAUAAAAUGCAUUGGAAGGUAAAUAUCCCCACCAAGCGACCGGACUGCUGGACACCAGUUUCCUCCAGCAAAGAAGAAUUUGUUCUUCCAAUUCUUACAUGAAGAAGGAAACCCAGUGAUCGGUUUCCUCUUUGCAAAACUGGACAUGAAGUAGUACCAGCCCGCCUCCUUUGGGCUGCUCCGCAGCUGCUACAGAUGCUUCACUUCAACAAGGGAAGGCUCCUCCGACCCGCACCUCUCCCACAGCACAAACAUAGCCGAGAGAACCCUCCACCCGUUUAGGUGUAGCUGACUUGGGGCCAGGUGCAUACCACCCAAUAUCUUGGCAAAAUAACGUUGAAGGGGCAGCCGAGCUCCUAGUCUGAAACUCUCCAAGUGCAUCGUCACGUACCCCUUCGGAGGCCGACUAGGUACAUCACCUUUCCCAGGAACUACAAGGAGAACCUCCUCAGGAAUGUUGUAGAGGUUCCUAAGCUUUAAUAGAUCAGUGGGGGUGGUGGCACAAGCUAUGAAAUCAAUAGGGUAAGAAUCUGCCUCCACUAUGUGGCCAAAGUUCCUUUUCCUAGAGGGUCCGCUCGGCUCGGAACUGCUUCUCUCGCCAUCACCCACUUCUUCAGGGACCCCAACCCCACCAUAACUGUGAUCUUCACCAGAGCUGGAUGUGGGUCCACCUCUAUUCCCCACAAGCUCUAAUUCAGGGGAAGGCGAAAUGGUCAGGGGGCGUGGGUAUUCAAGAAUAUCCCUGCCAUGGGAAGGACCUACACUACUGGAGGGACCUAAGAAAUCGGUGGGUAUUGACACGUUAAGGUCUGAAUCCCCUGUUUCUUCAUCACUCUCAUCAACAAUUAACUUCCUUUUCCGAUUUGACAUAUCAGAAUCCCAAAAGAAAACAAAGAAAACUCGAGUAUACGGAUACAAAAGGGGGCAACACAGAACCCAAUCAACAACAACCAGGGAAGAGAUUAAAAGCAAUACCUGGAAUGAACUGGCCCUGAUAGCGCUGCCGUGACAGAGAAAAAACCCAGCAAGUAGAUACUCCGAACGCGGGAAGUGUAAGUAAAGUUCAAAGAGGGGGUAGGUUAACGACGGAGAGACGAAUAAAAAAACGAUGAUGAUGUAAGUCUAGGGAUUUGAAACGAAAAGGAGGAAAUGAAAGCAUUUAAGUGAUAAAGAUGCCAGCUCACUUACCGUAUAUCGAGGACGAAUAGCCCGUCGUUUCAAAUUUCAAAUACGAACAGUCUGGAGAUGCCACGUCACUAACCGUUACAAGAGGCCAGGCUAGAUGCAAGCCCAGAUAUGCAAUGGAUAUGCUCAUUAAGGCCCAUGCUCAGGUCGGAACCUCCCCAGAAGAAAAAUGGUACCUCAGGUCCGUCCCGGUAAAUAGAAGACCAGAUGAGAAGCCCCCGGGUUGGUAACAUUUGACUAUCAGUUUCUAUUCUUAACUCAUUUCACUUGCAAGACCAUAAACUGGGGGACUGGUGUUAAGUAAAUAAAAGCACCAGGUCGGCCAUGCUACUAUUUCUGCCCCGGCAUGGAUCAUCUCAGCCAAAUGGUACGAGCAGAACACGGGGACAAAUAUGAGCAGACUAGAGACGAGUACCAACCAGGGGAGUAUACUGACCAGAGGUAUAUACCGAGCCGAUACCCAUCCCCCGAAAAAGUGGGAACACGAUCCCACAGAAUCACGGUAGUUGCGCUUUUUCCAGAACCGUUGCGGGAGACGCGAGAUCCCACGUUUGCCCAUAAUGUAGCAGUUAGAGUCCCAUGAGGGGCUGCCACCACCCGAAAAAGGAGGGAUGAAGGCUAAACAGGAACGAGGGACAGCGGCUAUAAAAGAAGAAGAAAUCAAUGAAGAAAAGGGAAGAAAAAAUGAAAGAAGGGAAAACUCUGCCAAAUUGUAUCCAGACGCUUUUUAAUACCGAGAGUGAGCUAAUUCUAAGAAAUUAUUUGAACCCUAAUUGCACCGUUUUCCCAUAAACACCUUUAGCUAACUUAGGCAUCAGAGGGUUUGCGCCGGCAAAACCACCGGUGUCUCUGAUCCACUUUUGUGAACGCAGGCUUAGUGAGAAAAAAAGGGACAACUCCAACUUCAGUGGCUGGAGCAAUCGUUGAAGUAAGAAGGAAUUGAUAUCUUCAUUAUUGAUAACGUGAACGUUAGUGUAAAAAUCUUGUCGGGCAAAGGGCGAGCAGAUUUCAGCAUCAACAUAGAGUACUAAUAACGCUCGCUAAAAUUGAUAUCGUCAUCUUAUUUUAGUUCGAAAACUGACAGAAUAUUCAGCUUGAUUUAGUGCCAACUGGAGGACCAUUGCGAGUGACAUACCAAGGAUGGCCUUUCCACAUCCUAUACCAUGGAAGCAUCUCAUUAGAAGAAAAUAAAAGGGAAGCAAUUGAUAAGCCCCUUUUCCUUCAAUCCGUCGCACAUUGCAUGUUACCUUUUCCUUUGAAACUUUGUUGUCUUUACUUACCUGUGUUUCCCGCACACCUAGAGAUAUCCACCAGGCAGUUAUAUCAGUUGUGGAUAGUUGAAGGUUUCAUUCCAGACAACAGCGAGGCAACUGCUGAGAAGUACUUAGAACAACUAAUCAAUAGAGGCUUUGUUGAAGUAAAGAAGAGAAGAGCUGGAGGCACAAUCAACACAUGCUCUAUCCGUAGUCGUUGUUGGCCUUCAUUGCUUGUAGUGGCUUUGAAUGCUGAAUUUGUCUUUUCCCCUACCCUGGAUGCAAAAGGUGAAUCACGAAAAAAUGUCAAACGUUUCUGUGCUCUAGAACAACAGAGCGAUUUUGCUUACUUAGAUGAUUAUUACCCGCACCUGCAUUCCUUGUUGUACUUCACUUCAGAAAGCGACCACUUUGACCCCAUAGAUUGGCAGAAAAUUUGUGAAAUGUACAAACUUCUCAGAGUAUUAGACUUAGGAUCCCUUGUUCUCAACCAAUAUCCGUCCAAUAUUGAAAAUUUAUCUCUUUUAAGAUAUUUGAAGUUGAAUAUCCCUUCCCUGAAAAGCCUUCCUUCAUCAUUUUUCAACUAUCUUUCGAACAUGUACACACUCAAUAUGCUUUUUAGCGACAUAGAUCAUACAGCAGAUGAGUUUUGGAAGAUGAACAAACUCAGGCAUCUAAAUUUUGGCUCAAUCAUACUUCCUGCACGUCCAGGAAAAUAUUGCGGCUCUCUGGAAAAUGUCAAUUUCAUUUCGGCCUUGCAUCCUUGCUGCUGUACUGAAGAUAUAUUGGGCAGACUGCCUAGUCUUCGAAAUCUCUGCAUAUGGGAAGAUUUAAGUUAUUAUCAAUUUUUGUUGUCCCAAAGUAUUUGCAGAUUGAGCUGCCUCGAGUCAUUGAAGUUGGUGAACGAAAGCAAGAUGCCACGGCUCUCCAAAAUCAUCCUUGCUGAAUACCUAUUUCCUCAUAGUCUAACCCACUUGAGUUUUUCUAAUACUAACCUAAUGGAUGAUCCCAUGCCGACACUAGAAAAGCUCCCGCUUCUUCAAGUGCUCAAACUGAAGCAAAACUCGUAUUCAGGUAGAAAGCUGACUUGUGGUUCUGAUGGUUUUCCAAGGCUUAAGGUAUUGCACAUGAAAUCAAUGCUAUGGCUAGAGGAGUGGACUAUGGGGACUGGGGCCAUGCCAAAACUAGAAUGCGUGCUUAUCAACCCUUGUGCUUACUUAAAAAGGGUUCCUGAAUAGCUCUGGUGCAUAAAGAGCUUAAACAAAUUCGAUUGCUGGUGGCCUCAGCCAGAGCUGAGACAAAAGCUACGGGAAUUCAAGGAUAAGGAGCAGUAUGGCGUUCAGAUUUAUCCUUACGGAAUUUGAUUAGCCCUGAUUGAGUUUGAUGUAAGUUUUUUCUUCUUCCCCAAUAACUUCAACCUUUAAUUAUCGAUCUAAUUUCAUAUAAAAGUUUUUUUUUUCUCCACAAAAGAUUUGAUAGUAUGCAGCUGCCUAAACUAUAAUCAUAAUAUAAAGUGUUUUCUACAUUCUUAUUGUGGUUGCUUCUAAUUUUUGUCUCAACAUAAACUUGAAGUGUCCAUCACAGUUCCUGAUGCUGACACCAUUCAUUAAAAACUGUAUGAUAAGAUCUUCAAUCAGUUGUAUGUGCAGGUAAAAGCACAGCGGAAAAUAUCUUAACUGUAAUGUAGCCAAAGUUUCAAUUUCAACCAGAAUCCAGCCUUCAUCCUUUCAGUGUUCACUUCUGCUGAGUUGUCUACACGUUGUUUGGUUUCUUUGUUUUCAAGGAUUUGCAUGCUAAAAGUAAUAAUGUCAUGUUCAGAUUAAUAUAUUGUACAAAAGUCUGAUUAAUUGUUUUACUUUCUAUUUUCAGUUUCACUGGUGUGUAUUCAAUUUGUCAACAUUCAAAUUAAUAUAUGUUAUGUUUUUAUUUUUAUUUUAUUUCUUUCUCUAGUUUUUAAGUAGCGGUACAGUUCAACUUCAAGCUUAGUACUUCAGUUAGAAGAAAAGUAUUUGUGCUUUGAUCUCAUCUCAUCAUCUCAACACUGGCAGAACGACAUUGUUGUUCGGUUUUUUGGAAUUUCACCGACGUGUCAGUCAUUAUAAGGGCGAGAAUGCUGGUCAAAAGUCAGUUGGGGUUAGUUAAAAAAGUGCAGGAAAAUUCUGGGAUUGUUAGAGAUGGCCUUAUCAUAGUUUAUAAGGCUGGUUGAUGGGUCAUCUUCUCAGAUCUCAUCAAAGCUAUGGAGAGAGAGAGAGAGAGAGAGAGAGAGUUAAAGUAGAAAGUUGUAUAUUCUUGUUCUCUGUAACAAGCUCUACAUCCUGGUAACCUUGAUUUGUGAAAUAGUGAAAGCUUGAAAGCUUGUAUCCUUGUCUUCACUGGAUUUAGGCACUUUGAUUCAAUUUUUAGUUUGGAUUUCGGAGAACGAGUCUUUAUACAUCAAAUCAAAGAUGGUCUAAGGUGUUUGAUCUUGGUACUGUCAGAGGAUUAAACACAACAAAAAGAAAUUGGGGCAUAUUGCCUAAUCUUCAUAGUCUUCAGAUAUAUGGAGAUUAAGCCCUUGUAAAAUAAAAAACCAGCACUAAUCAUUGGUGAUUUGGAGCAGAAGAUUAAUGAGUAAAGUUCUGAAAGUGGAAGAUUUAAUCUAUAGUGCUGCACGUUUUGGAAGCUUUGCUAGAAUUGAUUACUGAAUUCUUUCUCUAUUGAUUGAUUAGCAGCCCCACAGCAUGCAAUGGUUUUCACAUUUUUCCCUUCACAGCAUGCAGAGGGUGCCUGUAGUGCAAAGAAGUUGAUGGCACGCAGGAUGUGCUGCUCACUCUCAAUUCCUUACAAUCACACCAAAGCCGUCUUUUGCAGCAAAGAAAUACCCGUUUGCAUUAAAAAUGAUCCUUAUAGCCAUUGAGAUUAAUUGAUUAAAUGGAGUUGACAAAUGAAACAAAAACGGAAAAAAAAAACUUUAAUUCUACCAAAAUCAUUCAUCCAUUAAUACCCACGUUGAAUAAAACUCAACGUGGUUGAAUUCCCAUUUGCCUUAAUUAAGUUUUGUCACUUUAAAUCCUAAUUACUAAUGUUUUUUCUGUUAAUGGUUGAAAAUAAGAUAAGAAGAGAGAAGGUGAACUUGAAGAAGUAUAAGAAUAAAAGACAUGUAAUGAUGUUGAUGUGUUUAUGUGAAUAAAGAGAACAACGGAGGUGGAACCAUUGGACAAAUGGAAAUGGAAUCUUUGUCCAAGUUUUUCCCUUGAUGUUCUAAAGUUUGCAUAUAUAUGUUUCAAGAAACAAAUGGAAAUUAAAUAGUACAUAAAGGUGAACUCACAUCGUCAACUAAAGGUUACACUACCAUUUGCCCAAUGGUUCCAUUUCUAUUAUCAUUUUCUUUAUUCACAGAAAUAUCAUCGGCCUCAUAUUCAUCAGUAUAAGAAGAAGGACAAGGACAAGGACAAGGACAGGGUGAGUCUAUUGUAAGACUACAGCAAAUCUACAAUUUAGUUUUAUUUUUGCUGCUACACUCAGGAAUCACUAGCAUCAACCACCUCCUUUAUUGCCCUUGAUUCAUUUUUCUCCUGAAGAUUGUUGACCUGAUGAAAUAACACUUAAAAUGAGGCUGCCUUAGACGAAGCAUAUAUGUUAAUCACCUGUUGUAAUCUCAUGCCAAAAUCAUUUCAGUUCCUGCUCAUAAAAUUAGUUACUUCAACCUUUGUCAUAUGUAUUCUCCACUGCUUCAAGAUACUUAGAUAGUGAAUCUGUCUAAAUUCCAACUCAAAAGAUUCAUUUGAGAAAAAAUUCUUCAGAUGGUCAUGUAGAGUUCUAAUUUAUCUCCGCAUCAUACACAAAAUACUUGAAACCUACACAUCAAUGAUCAAUGUUCAUCUUUUAUUGACAAUCCCAAUUCUCAAGUGUGUUUGGAAAUAAAUUAGAUUCGCAGGCAUUCUAGAAAUAUCUGGUGUAUUUCAAUGACAAUGAUGCCAAGUCAUGUCUCAUGGCGUCCAAAAAAGAAAAAAUGGUGAUGUAUGUGGAGGAAGAUCGUCAGCUCAAUUAAAACUACACCUCGGUCAUUUCUGGACUCAUCAACAAGAGGUAAUUUCUUACUUUGUGAACAAAUUUUGUGUCUUAUAAUUUUUUCUGUAUUUAUAUACUUACAUGCUGUUUUGUAAUUAUGUAGCCACCAAAGCCUGGACAUGGAGAUGUGUGUUUUGUUAUGUUUAGUCCAUUUAUAAGAUCAUGUGUCAUGUGAUCUAUAAGUCUACUUAAUGGUUGCAAUCAAAUGAGUUCAUGUCCAGAUUGUGAAGUUAGUUAAUUUCAACAUAUAGCAAUGAUUGUAUCCAUUGCUUUUAUGACGUUGCUAUGUUAUUGCUUCUUUAAUAAGUGGCAGACAUGAUUUUCUAUUUUUCCACAGCUUAAAUUGUUAAAUAAUUGAUAAUGCUCUUGUGCUUACUCUGUUCUUUUCUUUUUAGAUAAGCUUUAUGGUCUCAGUGGAAUUAUUUUCACCCUUUCUUUAUUGACAGUGGAUGUAUAAAACAAAUUGAUCUUGAUUGAUACUUGAUGAUGUUGUAGUUAUUUCUCUCUGCUUUAUUCUUUUUGCAACAUAUGGAAGACUGAAUAUUGUAAAAUUCAUUUCCCGCACUGCUCUGCCUUGAUCUGUUCUAAUUUGAGAGUCAGCAAUCUUGAUUCAACUGCUUGGGUGGAGUACUAGCUAAGAGAAGGGAGGCAUGGGAGCCAGCACUAAUUUUUGGAUUGAGGAGAUAUGGGCAUCAACUUCAGACUAUUUUCAGAGAGGCUGAGAAGGACGUUAGCUAGCGAAGAAGUCACAUUGCCUGAUGCUGCAAAACAACCUAUUCAAAACCUUUGUGCCGAGGUUGAAAUCGUUACUCCUUGGCUGAGGGACUUUGAAUAUGAUAUGUCCUAGCUUCUGCUGCAAAAAAAUAGGAGAAGAUGAAAUUGACAACCCAGACCUUGGCACCAGAAAUCAAUUGCUUUACAUAUGAAUCUGAGAAGGUCAUUGACACAUUCUCAACAGCAUCACUCAACAAGGACAUAGGGGCACGGUGGGUCUAGAAGACAAAAUGGAGGAGUUGUUAGAUAUAUUAAUAGAGGGGCCACCUCAGCUUUCAGUGGUGGCCAUCUUGAUAGCGUUGGGUUGGGCAAUGUGGCUUUUGCUGCAGAGGCUUAAUGCAGCAGUGAUGUGAAGCAUUAUUUUAAUUGUCACGCUUAGGUUCCAAAGCCUUACAGCUAUGAUGGUGAUGAUGACCAAAUAUUAGAUAUCAUUAUUAAGUUUCUAAUGCCUUCAUCUAGGUUGAGUGUAAUAAAGGAUAAAAAUUAUGAAAUGAAAACAAAUUUCUUCAUGAAUAUCUAAUGAUCAAGCGGUAUUUGAUUGUGGUUGAUGAUGUGUGAAGCAUUGAAGUGUGGGAUGUUAUUCAAGAAAUACUUCCGGAUAAUCAGAAUGGAAGUGGAGUACUAAUAACACUCACUGAAAUUCAUAUCGUCACCUCAUUUCAGUUUUAAAGUGGACAGAAUAUUUGGCUUGAUUUAGUGCCUACUAGAGGACCAUUGAGAGUUGUUUACCUUUUUGCUUGAAACUUUGUUUUCCUUACUUAUCUAUGUUUCCUGUACACCUAGAGACAUCCACCAGGCAGUUAUAUCAGUUGUGGAUAUCUGAAGGUUUCAUUCCAGACAAUAGCGAGGCAAUUGCCGAGAAGUACUUGGAACAACUAAUGAAUAGAGUCUUUGUUGAUGCAAAGAAGAGAAGCGAUGGAGGUAGAAUCAACACAUGCCCUAUUCGUAGUCGUUGCUGGGCUUCAUUGUUGCAAAUGGCUCUCAAAGCGAAAUUUACCUUUUCCCCUAUCCUGGAUCAAAAAGGUAAAUUGCGAAAAAAUGUCAAACGUGUGUACGUUUUUUAAAAACAGAGUGAUUUUGCUUACUUAGAUGAUUGUGACUCGCACCUGCAUUCUUUGUUGUACUUCAGAAAGCGACCACCUUGACCCCAUAGAUUGGGUGAAAAUCGGUUGAGUAAUGGACUUGGGAUCUCUUGUUCUCAGCCAAUUUCCAUCCAAAAUUGAAACUUUAUUUCUUUUGAUAUUUGAAGCUGAAUAUCCCUUCCCUCAAAAGCCUGGCUUCAUCAUUAUUAAGAAAUCUCUGAAUCUGUACCCCAUAGCCAUGCCCUUUAGCUAAAUAGAUCAUACACUGUAGAUGAAUUUUGGAAGAUGAAUAAACUCAUGCAUCUAGUCAUGAAAGCAAGAUGCCAAGGCUCUCCAAAAUCGUCUGUGCCAAAUACCUACUUCGUCAAAGUCUAAUCCACUUGAGUUUCUCUAAUACUGAACAAAUGGAUGAUCCCAUGCCUGCACUUGAACACUAGAAAAGUUGCCACUUCUUCAAGUGCUCAAACUGAAGCAAAACUCAUAUUCAGGUCGAUAGCUGACUUGUAGGUCUGAUGGUUUCCCAAAGCUCAAGAUAGUGCACCUGAAUUCAAUGCCAUGGCUAGAGGAGUGGACCAUGAGGCUUGGAGCCAGGCCAAAACUAGAAUGCUUGAUUCUCAAUACUUGUGCUUACUGGAAAAAGAUUCCUGAAUAGCUUUGGUGCAUAAAGAGCUUAAACAAAUUCGAGGCCUUAGCCGAAGCUGAGACAAAAGCUACGAGACUUUGAGGAUAAGGCGCAGUAUGACAAUCAAGUAUAUCCUUAUGGAAUUUGAUUCGCAUGGAUUUAAUUAGAUGUAAGUUUUUCAUUUUAUGCAAUAUCAUCAACCUUUAAUUAUUAAUCUAAUUUCAUACAUAUGUUUUUUCUUUUCCUCAAUAUAUUUGAUAGUACGCAGCUUCCUAAUGCUAUAAAGUGUUUUCUAAUUGUGGUUGCUUCUAAUUUUUGUCUCAACAUUAGAGAUGAAGUGUUCAUCACAGAUCCUGAAGUUGACCCCGACCAUUUUCCCUUGUGUAUUGAUUGUUGAACAGUCAGGAAAAACUAUAAUUUCAGAACCCUUGUGUAUUGAUCGUUGAACAGUGAGGAAAAACUAUAAUUUCAGAUCUUAAAUUACUUGCGCAGGUGAAAUCAGACCGGGAAAUUUGUCAACUGUAGUGCAGCAAAAGUUUCAAUUUCAACUAGAAUCCGGCCUUGAUCCUUUCAAUAUUCACUUCUGUUGUCUACACAUUAUUGAGUCCUCAGGAUUGAUGCAGGACAUUGUUGGGUUUCUUUGUUUUCAAGGAUCUGCUACAAGCAAUCAUGUCAAGUUUUUGGAUUCACUGUGUAUAUUCUAUUCGUGUGUCUUCAUUCUCGUAAUGUGCUUGAAACUCCAGUUCAGUGUGGACGUGUGUGGUUUGGUCGUACCAUGUGUAAUACAUGUUAAUGGUCAUAAUUGUCUUAAGGGAAUUCUGCAUCACUUCCAUUAGAAGAGAAGUUUGGAUGUAGGCAUCAUCGCUGCUGAAUCUACUGUUGAUUUGCUCUAUGUUUUCUAUAUUUUUUUAAUUCAAUUUCGGGGAUUGGGUUUCUAGCAUUGAUUGUUGAUACAUUAGAGGACUAAAUACAAGAAAUAGAAACUGGGACAUAUUGCCUAAUCUUCAGAAUCUCCAAUUUUAUGGAGAUUUUAAGCCCUAAUCAUUCAUAAAUAACUUGAAUACUGGAUUGUUAUUAUCUUAGAUUCUUGAAAUAAUCAUCCGAAUAAUAAUUAUAAAUGCUUGUUUUGAACAAAUACUACCUAUUAUUUUAAACUUUGGACUUAGAAAUUAUAAAUAUUAUUAGCAUGUGAAUUUUAAGGAAUUAGCUUAUUCUGUCCAAUUUUAAAGGUUGAUGCCUCAUGCUCACCUUAUAGUCAUUGGUUUUUGCUGAACAAAUGAAUGUGUAUCAUUUUUUUUCUUUUAUUUUCUGUUAUACUUUGAUUCCCCUGCUUCUAGCUGAUUCUGUUCUCCUUUAUAACGAGAAAGAAGUUAUUUUUUGUGCUCUUAUAUAUACAUGCUAAGCCUGGAUAUGUGUGGUUUGGUUUGUUUUAAUAAUAUGAUUGUGUGGUGUCAUCUGUAAUACUUUUUAAGGGUGCAAUCAAAUGAGUUCAUACCUUAUAGUGAAUUUGGUUAAUUUCAAGAUAUUUUUUGGGAUCUUCGGCUCUAGUUGCUAAUACAAAAUUCCUCAAAUCUCGAUUGGAAUUUGGGAGUCCGUCCUAAAUGAUACAAGAUUUGAUAAAAAUUUCUCAUUCUGAUUUAUUAUUCGAGUUGAGAUUCAAGAUCUAGUUUUCUUCCAAUUUAAUAAUCAAGGCAGGAUUUGAGAUGUUUGAAAAUUUCAUUCGAGAUCCCUUAGGCAAUCAAAUGGGUCCAUAUAUCCUUAUAAUGAAUUUGGUUAAAUUCAAGAUACCCUUUUUUGGGAUCUCCCGCUCUAACUGUUAAUACGUGAACCUAGGCUGGCAAAAUUAUCCAGAUAACAAUCGAGAUACAAACACUAUAUAAGAUUUGUUACAAAUUUCAUAUCCUAAUUUUCAAUGUAGGUCAGGAUUUGGGACCCCAUUUUAUACCGAUUCAUAAAUUUCUUUAUUUAGACAAUAACUGAUGACAGAUUAUUAGUUUAAAGCUCAUGGAGUAAAGGUUGAAUUAUUGGUUCAAUCAUCCACAAUUUUCUGCAAGCAUGCAACAUAUUAAACAAGAGAUUAUUUAAUUAUUUUUUGGGUUCUGUUAUUAACAAUAAUGAUUUUGAAGAUAUUAGUGGGAGAAAAAUGGUUCUUUUAAAUCAUUUUCAAUCUAGAGAAAAAGUUUUCUUGCUGGCAUACACUGUCCUUUAUCUAUAUUUAUAUUUAAUUCAUACGCAUAUAUAUCAUACAUACAUUAAAUGAGUGUAAUUCAAUAAAAACAUUUUAUGAUCUUUCUACUAUAUGAAAAAUAACCUUAAAAAACAGUAAAUGUACAAUUACACAAGCUCCAUUAAUACUCUACCAAUUAAAUAGAGCACGUGUUCUUUUUAAUAUCCUCAUUUCAGCUAAUUGUAUCUGUUGAUGCCGAAAUCCGGAUGAGUGGAUCGAAUCUCAAAUCCCUGCAUCAGCAUUAAAUUUGUUUGGUGGGAAGCUGCUGAUUAGUUAACACCAUGAGCAGAAUUUCAAUGAGCAGAUAUUCUAUAAGCAGACAAUCCAUGAGCAAAUAAUCUAUGGAUAGACGAUCCAUGAGCAGACAACCCAUGAGCAGACAAUCCAUGAGCAGACAACCCAUGAGCAGACAAUUCAUGAGCAGAUGAUCCAUGAGCAGACGAUCCAUGAGCAGAGAACUCAUGAGCAGAUAACCUGUGAGCCUGUGAGCACAACCAACAGUCAGGAGGUGCCGGAAGUUUUUCCGACGAGAACCCUCCGACGCUUAAGUCAGCGAUUUGGGUCUUACUUGGAAAAAUCCAUACCACAAUUCAUGUGAAUUAAUUAUGAUUGCUUUAAACAAAAAAGCUUUUAAGUAAAUUUAAAGGAAAAUAACUGAGAAUAAUUAAUCUUAAAAAAAUCCUAAGCGAAAGAGAAAUUUUCCAGUGGUAGAGAGAGAAAAAGGUCCAAUGGAUUCAGUUACCUAGAGAGAGAGAGAGAGCUAGAAGAAUCCCUUUUUUCCUUCCCCUUCCUAGGGUUUUUAUAGGAAACUAUAGCGGUUUUUAUCCUCUCCCCUAAAAUUCUCAAGAAAACUACUAAUUUUUACUAAUUUUCAGCCCACUAAGAAUAUGGUCCCUAAUAUUUCGGAGAAAAUGUUUUGACUGAAUCGUGCUUCCUGGUAACUUCCUAGUCGAGGUGACCAAUAACAUCCUAGUCGAGAAAAUGUGCUCGAGGUCACCACAUAUUAUUCUGGUCGAGUUGACCAAUAACAUCCUGGUUGAGGUGAUGUGCUCGAGGUCACCACAUAUUAUUCUGGUCGAGGUGAUGUGCUCGAGGUCACCACAUAUUAUUCUGGUCGAGGUGAGCACUAACAUCCUAGUCGAGGUGAUGUGCUCGAGGUCACCACAUAUUAUUCUGGUCGAGGUGAGCACUAAUAUCCUGGUCGAGGUGAUGUGCUCGAGGUCACCACAUAUUAUUCUGGUCGAGGUGACCAAUAACAUCCUGGUCGAGAUGAUCGGCUCGAGGUGACCAAUAACAUCCUGGUCGAGGUGAUGUGCUCGAGGUCACCAAACAACAUCCUGGUCGAGGUGAUCUGCUCAACCAUUUGCUCACUUUUACUUUGAGGAGAGCACGAUAAUGUAUGAGCAAACACCUUUAUCUUAGUCACCAUAUUUCAUUUCCUAAACAGUAUCUAGCCCAGUGGCGGCAUUUUUUUUUCUCUUUUUGGGUGUGUGUGUGUAACCAAAGCUUUUUAUCUUUCAUUUGCAAUUUGAGAACCCAUUAGCCAGACAAUUAAAUGCAGAUUCCAUGAAUUUUGCACCGUUGACUUAACUCGAAGAGUAAGACUUCGAUGUAACUACCGAGUCAACAAAUAUGCUUGUCUUCGAAAAUCUCAUAACGCAUACAUUUACUUUUUCAUAUAUUGUGUCUCUAUUCUACCUAAAGUCUUUCUCCAACUUAAAAUUCCUUGCUCGUGUUUUAAACAUGACAUAGAAGUUCUGGUUUGGAAAUGGUAGAGAUAGUUAGAUGUCACAGUUGCAUACGAGUGUACGCAAUUUCUUUGUCAAAUAAAAUCUAGUCACAUAUUUAUUCUAAAACUUAAUUAUAAACUAUGAGUAAAUAAAAAACAGUGGACAUAAUUUUAUUGAUUGUCCCAUUAAAUCCGUGGCACCUAAUUUUAUUUGCUUGCAGUGGGACGACUUUAAAUGUUGUCAUGUGGCUGCACAAAUGGACUAAUUCCUGUCACAACUUGAUAGUCUAUAUUAGCGUGGACUGUUGUGACAAAUGAACCUCUAUUUCAAUUGCGUACCCCAAUAUGUUAGAAAAAAGAAAUAUGAAAAUAAAAAGAAAAUAGGACAUCAUCAAGUAUCAAUCAAAGAUCAAUUUGUUUUAUCCACUUUCAAGAAAGAAAAGGUAAAAACAAUCACACUAGGGACUAUAAAGUUUAUCUCAGAAGAAAAAGCACUACAAUAGUCGAACACAAAGAAGAGUAAUAAUGAGAAAGGAGUUGCAUAUAAAUUGAAGAUUUUUAUUAUUUUUUUAAAGAAGGGCCCGACAUCAUGAUUACUUUCAUUUAGCAAAGGAUAUAUGAAAAAGAGAUGAAUAUUGCACUUUAGAUUUGGAUAAGUGCGAUUGGAUUUUGAAUUGUUUGGAUUAGGAAAAAAAAUCAUUCGAAUCCAACCUGAAUCUCAAAUACAAUCGAUCGGAUUUAAAAUAAAUCGGAUCUGAUAAAUAUUUCAGACAAAUUUGGUUUCAGAUUGUUUCGGAUUUAAAUGAUAUUUUAGAUUCAAAUGGUAUUUUAAGUUCAGAUUGAAUUUGGAUUUGGGUCUUUUUGAUAAUUUUUACAUAAAAUUCAUAAAAUCUAUAUAUAUAUAUAUAUAUAUAUAUAUAUAUACGAGUAGUGCUAAACGUCGGGAAAGCUGAGAGAACCCUAAGAGAAACGACAGCUUGUGCUGCCGCUUCGUGCGUGUUCUCUUGGCCCCACCUCCCACGUUACUUUCUCUUUUCUUUUUAACAUAACAUUUGCUGCAGUCAGCCUUUUGUUGCAGUCAACUCAUCUCUCCAGCACCAGAAACUACUGUAUCUUCUCCCUUCCCUCAAUUUCAUCGGCACUCUCUCUCAUCAAUGGCAUUGUUACCGACAACCACCUCUUUCUCUUCAGCUCAUCACGACAGACACCACCAGUCCGGUUCGUCACUUCGUCCGGUCUCUCCAUUAUUCCAAGUGUAUUUCCCCUAUUUUUUGUUCUAAAAAACCCAAAAAAAUGAAGAACAACACCUGUAUUGAUUUCGAUUUUUUGAUUCCAAGUCAAAGGGGUGCUUGGCUUUUAAUUAUACAAGAAGAUGAAACCAAAUUUUGAUGUUGAUGGAGAAGAAGAAACAAAACUAACAGGAGGAAAAAGAAGAUUGUUAACAUGAAUAUGUUAAUAAUAUUGAUUUUGAUGAUAACAAACUUUAAAUGGUUUUUUAUUAAAAUGUUGGAGCUAUCCCUUAAUAAACGAAAGCCUUAUAAUCAUUCCAAUCAUAUUCAUAAAAGAUGGUCUUUCAAAUUAAAAAAUGAUUCUCUGCAAAAUCUGGUUUAAAAUGUGAUUCUGGAAAUAAACGGUGAACCGUUUUCUUUCAAAUGGUUAAUCAAUUAAAAACAUAGAGCAACAUAUUGCCUAAGCUCUAACCGAUUAAGAAAAAUGGAAAACACAAAAAGCUGGGAAGGCUACUGGAAUUUAACGAUGAACCGUUUAUUUAAACGGUUAAACGAUAAAAUCCAGAAUUGAAGGUUGUACUCUUCUGGCACCAUUUAACAAAACCGGAUAAGGCUAAAUUGUUUUGCAGGUUACUGGAAACAAACGGCGAACCGUUUAUUACAAACGGUUAACCGAUAAUAUCCAGAGAGGUCACUUCAUGCAAAUCCUUAACCGUUUAAUGUAAACGGAUAACUGAUGUUCAUCUUGCAGGUCUCUGGAAUUUAACAGCGAAAGGGUAAUCCUAAACGGCAAACCAUUUAUUUGAAAUUUGGCCCAACGGUAACUUUUGACCAGCCUAAAUGGUUAACCGUUAAUGGUUAACGGCGAACUGUUUUCGGGCAAACAGUUUGUAACGGCUAGUUUUUUCAGCUCCAACUAUAAAUAAGCUCAUUCAAAUUCAAACAAAUCUGAUCACAACACGACUAUUGAGCUUAUACUAGAGAAUACAAUCUUCAUAGAGCUUUGACCACAUUCUUGCUUCAUCUAUUCACAUAUUGGGCAUCAUUUUGUAAUCUUAAAUAUUGUGAGAGGCAAAACAAAUUUGUAAUCUUUUAUUUUGAGUGAUUGUAAGUGUUGGGAUACACUUGGAUUAAAGAGAUUGGGAUAAUCUCUUGUUGUAAAGGUUAUUGACAUGUUGGAAGUCAAGUGUAAGCAUUUGAAGCCUUGGAUGCUUGCUUAGUGGAAUCCUCAAGCCCGGAAAGCUUGGAGGCGUGGACGUAGGCGAGGUUGGUCGAACCACGUAAAAAUCUCUGUGUUUGAAUCUCUCUUCCCUUAUCUUUUUAUAUUGUGAUCAACUUCUUUGUUAUUGCUUUGAAUUUGGUUUAUAUUUGCAUUAAGUUUUUCUUUAUAAAUUGAAUAAUUUUUAGAAUUCCAAUUCACCCCCCCCCCCCUCUUGGGUUGUAUAACUAGAAUUUCAUUUGGUAUCAGAGCCUUGUUCUCUUAUUAGGACUUAAUCGUCUAGAGUAAAAGAUCUAUGGCAACCCUAAAUGACUCAACCUUUAGAGAAGGGCAAUCCACAACUAGACCACCGUUCUUUGACGGUAAUGACUAUGCAUAUUGGAAAACUAGAAUGAGAAUCUAUUUGCAAGCUUUAGAUUAUGAAAUUUGGGAAGUUGUACGCGAUGGUCUGUUUUUGCCCCUAACUAAAAAUGAAUUCGGGGAAGAUAUUCCAAAACCUUCAAGGGAAUGGAAUGAAUUGGAAAAGAGAAAAGCUUCUCUAAAUUCCAAAGCUAUGAAUGCUUUAUUUUGUGCACUUGAUAAAAAAGAAUUUCAUCGAGUAUCUAGUUGUGAAAGUGCCAAUGAAAUUUAGCACAAACUUGAAGCACAAAUCAAGUGAAAGAGUCAAAAAUUAGUAGGUACACUCGACAACAUGAGUUGUUCCAAAUGGAAUAAAAUGAGAGUGUGUACUCUAUGUAUACGAGAUUUACGGACAUAGUAAACACCCUAAGAGCCUUAGGAAAGACCUUCUCAAAUAGCAAAAAAGUUAAGAAAAUCAUUAGGUCACUUCCAAAAGAAUGGAGACCAAAAAGAACCGCUAUUGAAGAGGCCAAAGAUUUAAAUACUUUAGCCCUCGAUGAUUUAAUUGGUUCUCUCAUUUCAUAUGAAGAAGAUUUGGCAGCAGAAAAAGGGCAUGAGGAGAAGAAGAAAAGCAUUACUCUCAAAUCUUCAAAAUAUGAGAGUGAUGGGGAGAGUGAACCGGAUGAUGAAGAGCUAGCCAUGCUAGCAAGCAGGUUCAGAAAAUUCUUCAAGAAAACCGUAGAGCGAAGAAAUUUCAGAAACUUCAAGAACCAAAGGGAGAAGAAAGAGGUAAUCACAUGCUAUUAAUGCAAGAAGCAUGGCCAUAUAAGAUCGGAGUGCCCACUUAUCAAAAAACUCAAGAAGAAAGCAUUGGUUGCAACUUGGGAUGAUAGCGAGGAAGAUUCAAGUGAUGAAGAAGGAUUGCAAGAAGUAUCAAACCUAGUGCUUAUGGCAAUAAGAGGGGAUGAUGAUCUCAAUGAGGUAAGUGAUCCCACCAAUGAUGAAUUGUAUGAUGCUUUUAAAGAAUUGCAUAAUGAGUUGAUGAAGAUUGGUAAAAAGAAUGUAUGUCUUAAAAAGGAAAUGGCAAAGCUUAAAAAUGAAAAUGAAUCUCUAAAUGCAAGAAUUGCAUGCCUAGAAAUAGAGAACAAAACAUUGCAUGAUGAAAUUGCAUUAUCAAAUGAGAAACCUAGCAUCUCACAUGAGCAUUUAGAAUCACACAUAGAUGAUUUGAAAAAUGAAAACCAAAUGCUUAAGAAAAAGAGCAAUGAGUUGAAUGAGAUUGUUUUGAAAUUUACAAAUAGGCAAAAGAUGUUGGAUAAUAUGCUUAACUCACAAAAAUGUGUUUUUGAUAAAGGAGGACUUGGGUAUAAGCCUAACUUGAAGCAAAAGUAUUAUAAGAAUUAUUUUGUUAAAGCUACCUCCACAAGUGAUCAUAAGAUUGUUUGCCAUUAUUGUAAUCAAAAUGGUCACAUGAAAUAUAGAUGUCCCGUGAAAAGGAAUGCAUAUUAUGGUGUCAAAUGUAUUUGGGUUCCAAAAGGAACCGUUGCUAACUCUCAAGGACCAAAAAAGCUUUGGGUACCUAAAACUUGAGAUUUUUCUUGUAGGGCUUAAAGAAGAAGAAAAAUAAAUGAUACUUGGACAAUGGUUGUUCAAGGCACAUGACUGAAAAGUAUGCAUGGUUCUCAAGCUUCACCAAAAUUGAAAAUGGUAGAGACGUAUCUUUUGGAGAAAACUCAAAAGGAAAAAUUCUUGGAAUUGGAAAUGUUGGUAAAGUUUUCUCAACUCUAAUUGAGAAUGUAUGUUUGGUUGAGAACUUGAAACACAACUUAAUUAGUAUUAGUCAAUUAUGUGACAAAUGUUAUAAAGUCAUCUUUGAUAAAUUUAGUUGUGUUAUUGAGAAUUCAUGUAAUGGCAAGAUCUUAUUUGUUGGGAAUAUAUGUGGUAAUGUUUAUAUCAUUGACAUAGAAUGUGCAUCUACUCUUGAUAAAUGUUUUUUGGCAUUGCAUGAUGAUAGUUGGUUAUGGCAUAGAAGGUUAGGACAUGCAAGUAUGGAUUUGAUUUCAAAAAUUUUGAAAAAUGAUUUAGUUAAAGGUCUUUCAAAAAUUGGUUUUCAAAAAGAUAAGAUUUGUGAAGCUUGUCAAUUUGAAAAACAAAUCAAAACAUCUUUCAAAAAUAAAAAUCGUAUUUCUACUUCAAAACCACUUCAACUUCUUCACAUAGAUUUAUUUGGACCCUCUAGAUAUGCUAGUUUAAAUUAUAAAUAUUAUGCAUUUGUGAUAGUGGAUGAUUAUUCUAGAUAUACUUGGGUAUUAUUCUUAGCCAAUAAGGAUGAUGCUCUUGAUGCCUUUAAAGUGCUUUGUAAGAAAAUACAAAAUGAAAAAGGGUAUGGUAUUGCAUGCAUUAAGAGUGAUCAUGGAAGAGAGUUUGAAAAUCAUGCAUUUGAGAUUUUUUGCAAUGAUUUUGGCAUUGAGCAUCAAUUUUCAUCACCUAGAACUCCACAACAAAAUGGAGUUGUUGAGAGAAAGAAUAGAUCCAUUCAAGAAAUGGCUAGGACUAUGUUGAAUGAAAAUUCAUUGCCUAAGUAUUUUUGGGCCGAGGCCGUCAACACUGCUUGUUAUGUUUUAAAUCGUGUGUUGAUUAGACUUAACCUUAACAAAACUCCAUAUGAGCUUUAGAAACAUAGAAAACCCAACAUUGGUUAUUUCAAAGUGUUUGGAUGCAAAUGUUUUAUUUUGAACACAAAAGACAAUCUUGGCAAAUUUGAUCCAAAAUCUAAUGUUGGUAUUUUUCUUGGAUAUUCAAACUCAAGCAAAGCUUAUAGAGUUUAUAACAAAAAUACAUUAGUUGUAGAAGAAUCUAUGCAUGUUACUUUUGAUGAGUCUAACCCCUCAUCUACGGAGAAAGUUGUUGUUGAUAAUGAUGUAGAUGAAGACUUAAAAAAAGAAUCAUCAAAAGAUAACCAAAAGGAUACGUCUCAUGGGAAUCAAGAUGAGCAACAUGAAGAAAUGAAUGUAGAGCAAAAUGAAGGUGCAUCUCAAUCACUCCUCAAGGAGUGGAGGUAUGUUUCUUCUCACCCUAAGGAUGUAAUUUUAGGAGAUCCCUCACGAGGUGUUACAACUAGAUCAUCUCUUAGAAAUACUUGUGAGCAUAAUGCAUUUAUUUCUCAAAUUGAACCCAAAUCCUUUGCGGAUGCGGAAAAUGAUGAUCUUGGAUUAUGGCAAUGCAAGAGGAGUUAAAUCAAUUUGAAAGAAACAAUGUAUGGGAAUUAGUUCCUAAACCGGAACAUCAAUCCGUCAUAGGUACUAAAUGGAUAUUUAGAAAUAAGAUGGAUGAAUCCAGUGUGGUUGUAAGGAAUAAAGAUAGAUUAGUGGCUCAAGGUUACAACCAAGAAGAAGGAAUUGAUUUUGAUGAAAUAUUUGCACCCGUAGCUAGACUAGAAUCAAUUAGAAUAUUGUUGGCAUUUGCAUGUCAUAAAGAUUUUAUUUUAUUUUAAAUGGAUGUGACAAGUGCCUUUUUGAAUGGUUUUAUAAUGGAAGAAGUGUAUGUAAAACAACCCCCUGGUUUUGAAAAUGAAAGAUUUUCAAAUCAUGUUUAUAAGUAAUUUAAAGCUUUGUAUGGCUUAAAACAAGCACCUAGAGCAUGGUAUGAUAGACUUAAGAAUUUCUUAUUAGAAAAUGAUUUUUCAAUGGGUAAAGCGGAUACUAUUUUAUUUGUCAAACAUAAGGAAAAAGACAUACUUGUUGUUCAAAUUUAUGUUGAUGAUAUUAUUUUUGGUUCUAAUAAUGAAUUGUUGUGUAAAGAAUUUUCAUCUUACAUGAGUAAUGAAUUUGAAAUGAGUAUAAUGGGAGAGUUGAAGUACUUCCUUGGGCUGCAAAUAAAACAAAAUGAGAAAGGAAUUUUCAUAAAUCAAGCCAAGUAUGUAAAAGAUCUACUCAAAAGAUUCAGCAUUGAUGACUCAAAGACCAAAAACACUCCAAUGAGCACAAUAACCAAACUUGACAAAGAUGAAAAAGGCAAGGAAGUAGAUAUAAAAAUGUAUCGAGGUAUGAUCGGAUCUUUACUUUAUUUAACUGCAAGUAGACCCGAUAUCAUGUUUAGUGUAUGCUUGUACGCAAGAUUUCAAUCUUGUCCCAAGGAAUCUCAUUUGCUUGCUAUUAAAAGAAUUUUCCGUUAUUUGAGUGGAACCGUACAUAUUGGCCUUUGGUAUCCUAGGGGAACUCAUAUAGAUUUAACAUGUUAUUCGGAUGCGGAUUUUGCCAGUUAUAACGUUGAUAGGAAAAGCACUAGUGGAACAUGCUAUAUCCUAGGUCACUCACUUAUUUCAUGGUUUAGCAAGAAACAAAAUUCUGUUGUACUCUCAACUACAGAGGCCGAAUAUAUAGCUGCAGGAAGUUAUUGUGCAUAAGCUCUUUGGAUGAAACAAACACUUAGAGAGUAUGGUAUUAACCUAGAACAAAUUCCUAUUAAGUGUGAUAAUACUAAUGCUAUAAAUCUUUCAAAGAAUCUUAUUCAACACUCUCGAACCAAGCAUAUAGAAAUAAGACAUCAUUUCUUGAGAGAUCAUGUUCAAAAGGGGGAUAUUUUUACCAAACCUCUUGGUGAAGAACAAUUUUCAAAGAUUCAGCAUGAACUUGGAAUGAUGAAAUUUUCACAUUAACGUUACUAUUCAUGCUACUGAGUGUAUUGAAUUGAUUGACUUCUUGGUGAAUUGAUGAUUUAAAUGCUUAAGCUUGAUAUUCAAAUGAUGUGCUUGCUUUGUUAAUUCUUGAUUGAUUAUAUGAAUUAAUUGCUUCAAUACAUGUUCAUGAAUCAUGCAUUAAAAUGGCUCAUGAAACAUUUUUAGAUCAAUUAAAUGAUCUUGGAAUGUAUUAUUUGCUGGCAAAAAAUUAAAUCAAAUGUGCGAAAUUAUUGAUAAAAUAAACGGCUAACCGUUUCCAAUAAACGGUGUACCAUUUUAUUCCAGAAACUCGAUUAAGUUGACUGCCUUUUAACCCUUUUACCGUUUGUUGCAAUCGGUAAACCAUUUAAAAUCAGAGAGCUCGCUAGCAGUUACUCCUCAGCCGUUAAGAGUUUAACCUUUAACUGUUUCCCAUUCUUUAGCCUCUGGAAGUUACCCCUUAACCGUUUAAAUAAACGGUUAACCAUUUUCGUGAUUAUAAAACUGUUCAAAGGUUUUUUCUUCUCCUUCUCGAGUUGCCCCUUCACCGUUUCGGCCAUUGUUGCACAGCCGAAUCCUCCUCUCCCCUCAAACCUUCAUUUUUCUUGUUUUUCUUGCCAAAUCAAACCUAUAACAUCAUUUCUUAUCACCUUUAGAACACUUUCACCGAUUCAAAUCCUCAAAUCAAGCCCAAAAUUGAAAAAUCCCAAAUCUAAACCCUAACUGCGGCCGCUCGGGUUUCUUCCUUUUUAACCCGAUUCUUCCCCUUCUUCAGCCAAAUUAAGCAUCAAAAUCACAUCAUUUACUCAUUCCUAAGCAAAUAAUCGAUUCAUCUUCUUCUCAUCACAUCUCUCCAGUAAUUUUCAAACUCCUUUGUGCUUCACCAUGGCUGCACCCCCUCGGAGAAAUCUCAGGCGAAAAUCUGUGCCUCCAAGGAACCCUAUACCACUACGGGAAGUCUCUGAAUUCGCAAUAAUUCAUUUCCCCAUGCCUUCCUUGGCCAAGCGGUUCGAGAAUCGCUUCAAUGGUCGAAAGGUACUUGACUCUUCUUAUGUUGAAAUAGAUGAUUUCAGUACCUUAGUUGUAUGUGGUAGAAGUAUUAGGGAUAUGCUUCAGCCUUGGGAGUCUGCCAUUGACUUUGAUGACCGAGUUUAUCCCAACUUAGUACGAGUCUUUUAUUCGAACAUGGAAAUCUUCGCAACUCGCCUAAAUAGGAUAGUUACUCAAGUCGGCGAUGUGCCUAUUGAAUUUGAUGAUGCGGACCUAGCUGACUUUCUUGGUAUCUCUAGUGAGGGUCAUGAUAUUUACACCUCUAGGAAAGCCCUUUUUUUUUACAGUUUUUAUCAUACUGAUGGAGUCCGUAAUAUUUGUCGUCGUCGAGACUUGUCUGAUGAGAUCUGUCUUCUACCUUUUCGGUCUCAACUUUUACCUCUCCAAGUUCGCAUUCUUCACACUAUUUUACAGCACAUAGUGACACCUAGGAAGGUUCACUCGGAUGAGGUUACGAGGUUGGACGUUGGCCUAUUAGAUAGUCUCAUUUCAAGCCGUCCCAUUAACCUCGGCUAUGUUAUUGUGCGGCACAUGUUGAGUACUCCCGUAGUUAACCACCACUUGCUUCCAUAUGGCAGUAUCAUUACUAAGAUACUACGACGCUUUGAGGUGCCUCUUCUUGAUACCACUUAUAUGGAGACUAGAGGGAUUGGUCCUGAGGCCAUGACUAGUAUCGGUUUUACUAGGAAGAAUGGUGAGUGGAUAAAGACAAACAACUCCAAAAACCGGGAUACCUUGAUUGCUCCAAAGGACGAUCGGAUGCUCAACGAUGUCUAUCCUCCCAAUAAGCUUCCAGAUUUUAGAUUAGGAGCUCAUCCUCAUCCUCCUCAUCGCCGUUUUGUCCCUUGGCCUUCAGCUGACUCUGACUCUGAGGAGCGUGCGAUGGGUGCUGAUAUUCCCUCCUCUUCCGAGCCGCCUCUAGCUCCCAAGCAGCCUCCUGCUCCUGAGCCAUCUGAUGUUCCUGAGCACCCAUCUGCCUCUGAACCACCUCCAGCUCUAGUUCAGCCCCAUGCUUCAGAUGUUGUGCAGCAGUUGAUUGCUGAUGUUCACCGAAUUUCAGAGCGCCAGCAGCUGAUUCUUGAUCGGUUGGACACUUUUUCCCGUGACCACCAGCAGUUACGUUCUGACUUUCAGACCUUCCAGUAGCAGAGCAUUGAUCAGUAGCAUGAGCUUAUCGCUGGACAGCACACUCUUCUCCACUAUUUUGGCUAUGAUCCGGGGAGCACAUCUUCUCCACCUCCAUAGUUUCUGAAUUCUAUUUUCGCACAUACAUUUCAUAUUUUGGUUGUUUGCGUGUUGCCAUUUAUAUUUUUAUAUACAUUGCUACCUCUAUAUGCUCUUUAUGGAUUUUGAUGACAUGUUUUUAUGAUGUUCUUGAUGUUGGAUGACUUGAUAUUGGUUGAUGAAAUUGUUGGUUUAUUGGUUAAUGGAGUUGUUGGUUUGUUUGUUCAUGGCGUUGUUGGUUUGUUGAAUGAUGGAGUUGUUGUUAAUAUAUUUUGUAAGUGUUUUAAUCUCAUUUUGUAUUAGUGGUUUUGAUCCAUUUUAAGGGGAAACUCUGCCAAAAUUUUCACUCGCCAAAAUCGGGUAACUUUUUUAACGGAUUUGCGGUUUUCCUUUCUCUCUUUUCUUUUUGAUGAUGAAGGGGGAGAUAAUUAUGAGGAGAUUUAAAAUGAAUUUAAAAAUAUUUUCUCGAGCAAAAGUCUUUUUAUUGGACAUUUCUUAAUUUGGCCAUACAUUUAGGGGGAGCAUAUAUUAAGGGGGAGCAAAAUAUUGAAUAAAGUUUGUCAUCAUCAAAAAGGGGGAGAUUGUUAACAUGAAUAUGUUAAUAAUAUUGAUUUUGAUGAUAACAAACUUUAAAUGAUUUUUUAUUAAAAUGUUGAAGCUAUUCCUUAAUAAACGAAAGCCUUAUAAUCAUUCUAAUCAUAUUCAUAAAAGAUGGUCUUUCAAAUUAGAAAAUGAUUCUCUGCAAAAUCUGGUUUAAAAUGUGAUUCUGGAAAUAAACGGUGAACCGUUUUCUUUCAAACGGUUAACCGAUUAAAACCACAGAGCAACAUAUUGCCUAAGCUCUAACCGAUUAAGAAAAACGGAAAACACAAAAAGCUGGGAAGGCUAUUGAAAUUUAACGGUGAACCGUUUAUUUAAACGGUUAACCGAUAAAAUCCAGAAUUGAAGGUUGCACUCUUCUGGCACCGUUUAAUAAAACCGGAUAAGGCUAAAUUAUUUUGCAGGUAACUAAAAACAAACGGCGAACCGUUUAUUACAAACGGUUAACCGAUAAUAUCCAGAGAAGUCACUUCAUGCAAAUCCUUAACCGUUUAAUGUAAACGGAUAACUGGUGUUCAUCUUGCAGGUCUCUGGAAUUUAACAGCGAAAGGGUAAUCCUAAACGGCAAACCGUUUAUUUGAAAUUUGGCCCAACGGUAACUUUUGACCAGCCUAAACGGUUAACCGUUAAUGCUUAACGGCGAACCGUUUUCGGGCAGACAGUUUGUAACGGCUAGUUUUUUCAGCUCCAACUAUAAAUAAGCUCAUUCAAAUUCAAACAAAUCUGAUCACAACACGACUAUUGAGCUUAUACUCAAGAAUACAAUCUUCAUAGAGCUUUGAACACAUUCUUGCUUCAUCUAUUCACAUAUUGGGCAUCAUUUUGUAAUCUUAAAUAUUGUGAGAGGCAAAACAAAUUUGUAAUCUUUUAUUUUGAGUGAUUGUAAGUGUUGGGAUACACUUGGGUUAAAGAGAUUGGGAUAAUCUCUUGUUGUAAAGGUUAUUGACACGUUGGAAGUCAAGUGUAAGCAUUUGAAGCCUUGGAGGCUUGCUUAGUGGAAUUCUCAAGCCCGAAAAGCUUGGAGGCAUAGACGUAGGCGAGGUUGGCCGAACCACGUAAAAAUCUCUGUGUUUGAAUCUCUCUUCCCUUAUCUUUUUAUAUUGUGAUCAACUUAUUUGUUAUUACUUUGAAUUUGGUUUAUAUUUGCAUUAAGUUUUUCUUUAUAAAUUGAAUAAUUUUUAGAAUUCCAAUUCACCCCCCUCUUGGAUUGUAUAACUAGAAUUUUAAAGAUAAUUGUGAUGAUGAUGUUGUUGAUGAAGAAGAUGAAAUUGAUGAUGGAGAUAAGUAACGAAGAAAUUGCAAAAGAGAGAGAAAGAAAAAAGAGAAGAAGAAGAAGAUAAAAGAAGAAAAAAAUAAAAGAGAGAUAAAAUAAUAUAAAAAACAAAAGAGGAAAUGCUUAAAGUAAAGUGGGGGUGGGGCUAAGAGAACAUGCGGGAAACGGUAGCACAAGCUGCCGUUUCUCUCAGGGUUCUCUCAGCCUUCCCGACGUUAAGCAUUUUCCUAUAUAUAUAUAUAGUAGUGCAAUCCCAAUCAAAUUGUUUAAAUUAAAGUGGAUCCAAUCCAUCAGAUGCACAAAUUUUAUCCAAUCGGAUAUAUAUGGCAACAUCCAAAUCCAAAUCAGAUGGAAUCAUAUAUAUCUGAAUCUAAUCCAUGAACACCUUUAGCCCUAUUGGAAUGAUCAUCUAACGAUUCAAACUAUAACGUAUUCUGUUGUAGUCUGUAGAGCGCUUGAAAAGAAAAUCUCUAACAAUAGCAACUAUUAUGCAUUAGAUGCAUCAAUGAAUUGUUGAAAAUUGAUUUUAAAAAAAGAAAGGUGGCUUCAAAUUUGGUGGCUUAACCACCAAAUUUGUUGACCAAAAUUUGUUCAUCAAAUUUGAUGGCUAAGCCACCAAUUUUGAUCAAAAUUGGUGGGCAUAAUUAUGCAAGUUUUUGCCUAUAAAUAGGAGGGUUCUCCUCCUCACUUUUGUAUCCAAUUAAGAGCAUUCAAUAGGAGUAUUUGGCUCCUCAAUAUGGGUAUUACGGGUUUGCUUUGUUAAAGAAUAUUUUUCGGGAUCAUGUAUUUGGGGCUUGGGUGAGAGAAAUUAUUUCUGAGAGUGUGGUUGUAAUAAUUUUCCACAUAAUGAAUAUUUUUUUCUCUGGUUGUCUUUUGACAACAGCCGUGGUUUUCUUCCAGAUUUAGAGUUUUCCAUGUAAAUCUUGUGAUGUGUGACUGAUGUAUUCUCCGUUUAAUUUUUUCUGUUAAUUUAUUUCUUGACAAAUUAUUUGUAGUGAUCUUGGGAGAAAACUCAAUUUCUUAACAUGAAUCAGAUUCUAAGGUGAUGCUUUUUCUCUCUAGACAAGUUUUAUGGUCCCAGUGGAAUUAUUUUUAAUCUUUCAGUCUUUUGAUAGGGCAAAAAAGAAACUAGUCUUGAUAGCCUAUUUUACUUUCUUCAUACACAUAUAUAUAAAACACAAAUUAUAAGACACCCUUUUAUCUUCUUGCAUAAAGAAUAUUUUAUGUACACAUACAUUAUACCUCAGAUUUUGUGCAGAAAAUCAUUAUUGUACAUCAAUAAUUUCUCAAUAUAAUUCCUCUUAUCAAUCAGUAUCCCCACGGCACCUGCAGCAUUUAGUUUUAAGAUUCAUUUUCCAGUACUGCUCUGCCUUGAUCUAUUCUACUUUGACAACCACCUGAACUUAAUUCAACUUCUUAAUAGAAUGAGGUAUUGGUGCCAUCCUCAGUUGAUUAUGUUGACUAAUGUUGAAGUAAAAGGAGAGCUUUUAACUUUUUUUUUUAUAAUUAUUUUCUUUGCAUGCUAGAGCUGCUGGCUACUGACUACUGAGAGUGAAGGAGAUAUGGACAUCAACCUUGGACUAUUUUCAGAGAGACUGAGAAGGGUGCCAGCUGGUGAAGAAUUCACAGUGCCCGAUGCUGCUAAACAACCUAUUCAGAACCUUUACACUGAGACUGAAAUCAUUGCUUCUUGGCUGAGGGACUGUGGAUACAACACUGCUUGGUUUAUGUGGCAAGUCAAUGCAAAAGAGGGUCAAACUCUUGCAGAAUUAGAAGAUUUUAAGGCUAUCAUUGACAAAAUCAAUUGCUUUUCAUAUGUAUCUGAGUAGGCAAUUGACACAUUCGCUAUCAGCAUCACUCAACAGAAGAGUCAAAGCGGAUGUAGCGAGGGCAUUUGUGAUGCUCUGCUAGGACUCCAAAGCAAAAUCAUUGAUAUAAAACAACGGAUGCAGCAAGUUCAGCACAUCCACUCCGGAAUCAUUGAUGGGCUCAAAUCGAUUGAAGCAAAAGCCGGUAAUUUUCCUGCAUCCUCAUCUUUUAAGGAUAGGGACACGGUGGGUCUAGAUAAUAGAAUGGAGGAGUUAUUAGAUCUAUUGAUAGAGGGACCGCCUCAACUUUCGGUAGUGGCCGUACUUGAUAGCAUUGGAUUGGACAAGACGGCUUUCGCCGCAGAGGCUUACAGCAGCAACUAUGUGAAGCAUUAUUUUGAUUGUCACGCUUGGGUUGAAGAGUCUUUACUAUAUGAUGCUGACCAAAUAUUAUACGACAUUAUUAAGUUUGUGAUGCCUUCACGUAGGUUAAGUGAAAUUAUGAAAGAAAGUUCGGAAAUGAAAAAAAUUAUUCUUCAUGAAUAUGUAAUGACCAAGCGGUAUUUGAUUGUGCUUGAUAAUGUGUGGAGAAUAUCAGUAUGGGAUGUUAUUCGAGAAUACUUCCCGAUAAUCAGAUUGGAAGUAGAGUAUUGAUAACACUCAGUCAAAUUGAGAUCGUCACCUCAUUUCAGUUCGAAAAUGGAGAGAACAUUGGGGUUGAUUUUGUGCCCACUGGAGGACCAUUGAGAGUUACAUACCAAGGAUGGCCUUUCCACAUCUUAUAUCAUGGAAGCAUCUCACUGAAAGAAAAUAUAGAGGAAGCACUUGAUGAACCCGAGGGCUUCAAGUCGUGCAUAUUGUAUUUUACCUUUUUACUUGAAACUUUGUUGUCUCUACUUAUCUGUGUUUCGCGUACACUUUGAGAUAUGAACCAAGCAAUUAUAUCAGUUGUGGAUAGCUGAAGGUUUCAUUCCAGACAACAACGAGGCAAUUACUGAGAAGUACUUGGAACAACUAAUCAAUGGAGCCUUUGUUGAUGCAGGGAAGAGAAGUGAUAUAAGCAGAAUCAACACAAGCUCUAUUCCUGGGAGUUGCAGUCCUGCAUUGUUGACUGUGGCUUUCAAGGGGGAAUUUAUCAUUUCCCCAAUCAUGGAUCAGGAAGUUAGAUUACGGGAAAAUGUGAAACGCUUCACCGCUCACGGAAAAUUGAAUCAUUUUACAUUUUUAGAUGAUUUUGACUCGUUCCUCCAUUCUUUGUUGUACCUCACUUCAGGAAGCCAAUACCUUGACCCCACUUAUUGCAAGAAAAUCUGUAAAAUGUUCAAAUUUCUCAGAGUAUUAUCCCCUCCCUCAAAAGCCUGCCUUCAUCGUUCUUAAGCAGUCUUUUGAACCUGUACACCCUAGAGAUGCCCUUUAGCUACAUAGAUCAUACAGCAGAUGAAUUUUGGAAGAUGAGCAAACUGAGGUAUCUAAAUUUUGGAGCGAUCACACUUCCUGCACAUCCAGGAAAAUAUUGUGGCUCUCUAUAAAAUCUCAAUUUCAUUUUAGCCUUGCAUCCUUGCUGCUCUACUGAAGAGAUAUUGGGCAGACUACCUAAUCUUCAAAAUCUCCGGAUAUGGGGAGAUUUAAGUUAUUAUCAAUCUUUGUUGUCCAAAAGUCUCUGUAGAUUGAGCUGCCUCGAGUCAUUGAAGUUGGCGAAUGAAAGCAAGAUGCCACGGCGAUCCAAUAUCAUCCUUGCUGAAUACCAAUUUCCUCCAAGUCUAACCCACUUGAGUUUUUCGAAUAUUGAGCUAAUUGAUAAUCCCAUGCCGGCACUAGAAAAGCUGCCGAUUCUUCAGGUGCUCAAACUGAAGUAUUCAGGUAGAAAGCUGGCUUGUAGCUCUGAUGGCUUUCCAAAACUCAAGGUGCUGCACCUUAAAUCUAUGCUAUGGUUAGAGGAAUGGACUAUGGGGAUUAAAGCCAUGCCGAAACUAGAAUGCGUGAUCAUCAACCCUUGUGCUCACUUGAAAAGGAUUCCUGAACAGCUUUGGUGCCUAAAGAGCUUAAACAAAUUGGAGUUGUGGUGGCCUGAGCCCAAGCUGAGACAACAGCUAUGGGAAUUCGAGGAUAAGGAGCAGUAUGGCAUUCAGCUAUACCCAUAUGGAAUUUGAUUAGCAUGGAUCGAAUUUGAUGUAAGUUUUUUUCCUUUUUAUCCAAUAACUUCAACCUCUAAUUAUUUAUCUAAUUUCACGUAAACAUCUAGUCUCUAUGAUUGAUUUGAUAGUACGUAGCAGCCUAAAUAAUAAUGAUACCAUAAAGUGUUUUCUACAUUCUAAUUGUGGUUGCUUCUAAUUUUUUUCACAACAAAGACUUGGAAGUGUCCAUUAUAUUCCCUGAUACUGACACUAAUCAUUAAUCCCUUAUUUAUAGAAGAGGCAGAACCCUUAUGUAUUGGUUGUUGAAAUAAUCAAGAAAAACUGAAAAAUAAGAUAUUCAAUUACUUGAAUGUGUAGGUCAAAGCAAAGCGGAAAAUAUCUUAACUGUACUGCAGCCAAAGUUUCAAUUUCAAUAAGAAUCCAGUCUUCACUGAAAUUGUUUGGUUUCUUUGUUUUCAAGGAUUAUGUCAUAUUCGGAUUAAUAUUUUGUACAAAAGUUUGAUUAAUUGUUUUACUUUCUAUUUCACAUUCACCGGUGUGUAUUCAAUUUGUCAACAUUCAAGUUGCAUAUAUGUUAUUGUUUUUUAUUUUAUUUUAUCUUUUUUCUAGUUUUUGAAUAGUGGUACAGUUCAAUCUCAUUACUUCAGUUAGACGAAAAAUGUUUGUGCUGUGAUCACAUCUCAUCAUCUUAAAACUGAUUGUGAAAUGGUUGUUGGGUCAUCUUCACAUGUCUCAUCAAAGCCAUAGAAAGAGAGAGACUUAAAGAGAAAAAGUUUUAUAUUCUUGGAAUGAUUGUGAAAUGGUCCUUGUUCUUCAGUGGAUGUAGGCACUUUGAUUCAAUUUUGAGUUUGGUUUUCUGGGAAUGAUUCUUGAUACGUCAAAGAGGGUCUUAAGUGUGUGAUCUUGGUACUAACAGAGGAUUAAACACAACAAAAAGAAACUGGGGCAUAUUGUCUAAUCUUCAUAGCCUCCAAAUAUAUGGAGAUUUUAGCCCUUGUCAAUCUGGGUUGUCCAACAGCCCUCGUAAAAUAAAAAACCAUCACUAAUCCUUGGUGACUUUAAGGAUCCAGUAAGGACUAGGUAGAAUUGAAGAGGAGAUUUAACGAGUAAAGUUCUGAAAGUGGAAGAUUUAAAAUUUAGUUGUAGCGAAUAAAGAUUUAAGAUUUAAUAUUUAAAAUUUAGUUCUUUCUCUAUUGGUUGAUUAGCAGCCCAAUUGCACUAAGAGAAUAAAGAGCAGUUGUGAUCGUUUUCACAUUUGCCUUGUAAUGCAGUGCAAUGAAGUUGAUGGCGAGAGGAUGUACUGCUGCUCACUCUCAAUUCUUUACAAUCACAUCAAAGCCCUCGUUUGCAGCAGAGGAAUUCCCUUUUGUAUUAAAAUUGAUCCUUCUGCUUUGGUUGUCAUUGGAUUCUUAUGGUUUCUUCACUCUUUAGCCAGUAACAUAAUGUUGAGUUUAUUGAUUUUGCUAUCUUAAGAAUGUCCAAGAUGUUGAUGCUGAAAAAGGACUUCAACAGCUGAAUUUGUUUUUGGUGGAAAACUAGUACGAACAAAAUUUGAAUGUUGAUAUGGACUUUAAAUCUGCAACUUGAAAGCUACAGAAACCGGUCACAACUCGCCUGUGGGGGAUCUGGCGAGAACCCUUUGAUGCUUAAGUUAGAUUUGGAGUAAAUUAGAUAGUUGACUAUAAAGGAAAUAACUAAAGCAGAAUAAGAAAAAAAGAUGAAAUAAUAUAAAUUUUCUCUCCUUCUCUACGAUGGAAGAUUAAUUUUCUUUUUUCAUUCCUUCUUCUGGUGUACACUGUUUUCUUAAAUACCCCUCAAGAGGCAGACAGUUUUAUUCCUCUUAAAAGUCGCUCAUCUUCGCAACAUGGGUAGUUGGCUCACAUGGGUAGUCUUUGCAGAUUAAGCUGCCUCGAAUCAUUGAAGUUGGUGAACGAAAGCAAGAUGCCAGCUUUCUCUAAAAUUGUCCUUGUUGAAUCCCAUUUUCCUCCAAGACUAACCCACUUGAGUUUAUCUAAUACUGAACUUAUGGAGGAUCCCAUGCCCGCACUAGAAAAGCUGCCACUUCUUCAAGUGCUCAAACUGAAGCAAAAUUCAUAUUCAGGUAGGAAGCUAACUUGUGGCUCCCAUGGUUUUCCAAAUCUCAAGGUAUUGCACCUGAAAUCAAUGCUAUGCCUAGAGGAGUGGACUAUGGGGAUUGGAGCCAUGCCAAAACUAGAAUGCUUGAUUAUCAACCCUUGUCCUUACUUGAAAAAAAUGCAUGAACAGCUCUGGUGCGUAAAGAGCUUAAACAAGUUCGAUUGCUGGUGGCCUCAGCCAGAGCUGAGACAAAAGCUAAGGGAAUUUGAGGAUAAGGAACAGUGCAGCAUUCAACUAUAUCCUUACGGAAUUUGAUUAGCCCUUAUUGAAUUUGAUGUUUGUUUCGUGUUUUAUCUAAUUUCUUCAACUUUUUAUUAUUUAUCAAAUUUCAUAUACUUUUUCCCCCUUCUCUUCAAUAUAAAGAUGGUUAUACAGAGUAUUUUCUUCUAGUUUGUCUCAACAUUAAGUACCCUUUAGAGUUUCUGAUACUCACCCCAAUCAUCAAGCCCUAUUUAGCAGCAGCGGAGACUUAAAUACUCUUCCACAUUCAACCAUGAGCCUAGCAGACAUCGGCGUUCAUUUGUUUUAAUAGUUAAGGAAAAAAAUGUAAUUUAAAAUUCUUCUUUUUCACAAUUUCUUUAAUGACUUGUGUAGGUGAAAUCAGAGUAGAAAACAUCAUGACUACAGCCUGAGCUUCAAUUUAAACCAGAAUCCUUUCCAUCUUCACUUCUACUGUCUACACAGACAAAUCCUGAUCCUACAGUGGUGGACUUUUUUUUGGUUUCUUUGUUUCCGCUGUCUACUCAUAAAUAAGAAGUUUCGUUUCGGAUUUUCAGUUGAGAGUUCAUUGAUUUGUGCUUCAGCGAUGGUUCGUUAAUUGUGUACAAAAAAUAAAUAAUAUUUGUGAUGCUUUCUGGUGUUGGGUUCAGUUGAAUGUAUUUUCUGUCUUUGUUCUGUUUGUUGUGCGCGGAAUGCGGAAUCAAGCACACCAAAUAAUUACAGAAAAAUAAAGGAAACAAGAAUUUACGUGGUUCGGUAAUUAAACCUACAUCCACGGAGGUAAGAAAGAAUAAUUGUUUAUUUAACAAUUAAUAGAGUACAAUAUUUGAGUAACGAAUCUCACUUCCUAUAAACCCAAAUAUACCCAGUACUCUCACACUCUGUAGGAAAGAUAAAUUCCCCAGACACACUUCUCUCACUUCUCUCAAAAGCUUAGAAACUUAUAAGCUUAACAAUUUUGAGAUGAUUUCAAAUGAAUGAAAUCCUUAGCUAUUUAUAGGAGAAAUGAAUUACUAUGCUAAGAAUAAAAUAAUUAAAAAUAUAAUUUUUAAUUAUUAUUAUUUUUCAACAAAUUGUUGGUGCACCAACAAUUUGUUGACUUCAACAAAUUUGCACCAAUAAUUUGUUGACUUCAACAAAUCUCCACCUCGGCGAAAAUUUUUCAAAUUUGAGUCGACUACCAACAAGCCAUCAUCCCCAAAGUGGUUGCAUCUCUAUGACUGCCUACGUAUCUAAAAUUUGGGAUCAAACCAACCGUAGUUCAAAAUUCCCGAAGGACAUAUCUUAACACAAUCGAAGGAUUUGAAUUAAUUUCAAGUAAUGUUGAAACUUAACUUCAGAAACUACCUUGGUCAACAUAUCUGAUGGAUUAUCUUUGGUAUCGAUCUUUCUCAACAACACAACAUCGCUCUUAAUAAUCUCUUUCACAUAAUGAUAUUUCACAUCUAUGUGCCUCGUCCGAGCGUGAUAUNNNNNNNNNNNNNNNNNNNNNNNNNNNNNNNNNNNNNNNNNNNNNNNNNNNNNNNNNNNNNNNNNNNNNNNNNNNNNNNNNNNNNNNNNNNNNNNNNNNNCCGCAAUGUUCUCCUAGAUACCUCCCAAAUCACCUAUUAAGCCUUCCAACCAGAUAGCUUCUUUUACAGCUUCAGUUGCUGCCAUAUACUCUGCUUCCGUAGUGGAUAGAGCAAUUGUCGAUUGUAGAAUCGACCUCCAGCUAACCAGACCUCCACCCAAUGUGAAUACGUAGCCCAUUGUUGAUCUUCGCUUGUCAAGGUCUCUAGCGAAAUCAGAAUCACAAUACCCAACACAUUAUUGACCACAAUCCUUCUUGAACAAUAACCCAACAUCAACUGUCCCAUAUAGAUAUCAGAGAAUCCACUUUACCGCAAGCCAUUGAUUUUUACCCGGAUUAUGCAUGUAUCUACUAACCAUGCUCACUGCUUGAGAUAUAUCGGGCCUUGUGCAUACCAUAGCAUACAUAAGACUACCCACAGCACUAGCAUAUAGAACAUGAGCCAUGUAAUCGCACUCCUCUUGAGAUCUAGGACAUGAAUAAGAGCUUAAUUUGAAAUGAGGAGCUAGAGGUGUACAUAUCGAUUUAGUUUUGUCAUCCAUACCGAAUCUUUCUAGCACUUUCUUCAAAUAAAACUUUUGAGUCAACCAUACGCUCCCAUUCUUCUUGUCUCUACGAAUCUCCAUCCCAAGUAUUCUCUGUGCAUCACCUAAGUCUUUCAUCUCGAACUCAGAAGCCAGCUGCUUCUUUAAUCUUUCGAUCUCAUCUCUAUUCUUCGAAGCUAUAAGCAUACCAUCGACAUAGAGUAACAAAUAGAUGAAAGCUUCAUCUGGUAGUCUUCUAAAGUAAACACAAUGAUCGUGUUCACUUCUGGUGAAUUUCUGCCUUUGUAUAAAUUGAUCAAAUCUUUUGUACCACUGCCUUGGCGAUUGCUUCAGUCCGUACAAAGAUUUAAUCAACCUACACACAUGAUUCUCAUUUCCAGUAACUCUGAAACCACAAGGCUGAAUCAUAUAGAUUUCCUCCUCCAAAUCUCCAUGCAAGAACGCCGUCUUAACAUCCAAUUGAGCCAACUCUAACUCAUAUUCUGCAACUUAGGCAAGUAGGAUACGAAUGAAAGUAUGUUUUCCAAUUGGAGAGAAAACUUCAUUGUAGUCAAUACCUUCCUUUUGAGCAAAACCUUUUGCCACGAGCCUUGCCUUGUAUCGAGGAGUUGUUUGAUUUGGAGAUCUUUGCUUUUUGGUGUAGACCCAUUUAUUGCCAAUAGCCCUUUUCCCCUUUGGUAACUUUACAAGUUCCUAAGUCUGCUUUUGAUGGAGAGAUUUCAUCUCUUCCUCCAUGGCUAACUUCCACUGAUCACUUUCACUACAGCGUAAUGCUUCACCGAAAGUGUUGGGGAAGUCAUCAUCAAUAACUGGAAGUGCAUAGGCUACCACCAUAUCUUUAGUAAGCCAUCUGGGUUUCUUUAUCUCUCUUCUUGGCCUCCUUGUUGCUAUAAAAUCAUCAUUAUCUACAUCAUCAAUUGUUUCUUCAUUUUGUGGGACAUCAGAAAAAACAAUCUCUUCUUCAACUCUAGGUGUCACCUCUAUAGUUGAACUCUUCUUUGAUGUAGAACUAACUGGUACAUAUGGAGUUGCGUCAAGCUCCACCCGCUGCAAUACCUCUUUGGUCUUGUUCUCCACCUGCUGAGAACUUGAAGCUUUGAUCAUUGAAGCUUCAUCAAAUGUGACAUCUCUGCUACACACAAACUUUUUGUCUUCGAGAUCCCAAAGCUUGAAGCCCUUUACUCUACUUUUGAAUCCCAUAAAGAUAGCUUUUCUAACACGAGGAUCCAGUUUACCAUCUUUGACAUGAUAAUAAGCUGGACACCCGAAUACACGAAGGGAAUCAUAGUCUUGUGCAUACUUUCCAGACCACAUUUCCAUAGGAGUUUUACCUCCAAUUGCAGCAGAAGGCAAUCGGUUUACCAAGUGACUUGCGUAGCUCACAGCUUCAGCCCAAAACUUUUUAUCUAAACCAGUAUUAGAUAACAUACACCGUACCUUCUCCAGUAAAGUACGAUUCAUACGCUCAGCCACACUGUUCUGUUGCGAAGUAUGUCUCACCGUGAAAUGUCUUUUAAUACCCUCGUUCUGGCAUACUUGCAAGAAUGGAUCAGAAGUAUAUUCACCCCCAUUAUCAUAUCGUAUUACUUUGAUCUUUCUGCCAGUUUGAGUCUCCACUAAUUUCUUUCAUUUCACGAAAAUCUCUAGAACCUCAUCCUUUCCUCGCAUGGUGUACACCCACACACGUCUAGAGAAAUCAUCAAUAAAUGUAACAAAAUAAUGGCUUCCACCAAUUGAUGCAGUCUUGGUUGGUCCCCAUACAUCACUAUGAACAUAUUCAAGGAUCUCACGAGUAUCGUGAUUACUUGUACUAAACUUGACCCUUGUUUUCUUGCCUACUACACAAUGCUCACAGAAAUUUAAUUUACAGGUUUUGGUACCUUUUAAGAGUCCAUGUCUCAUCAGAGUUUGCAAAGACUUCUCUCCAGCAUGUCCCAGUCGUACAUGUCAUAGCUUGGUGGUGUCACUGUGCGCUUCAACAACAUUUGCUUCAUCAGUUGUACCUCCCUUCAAAUAGUACAGAUUGUGACGCCGAACCCCUUGCAGAAUCACCAUAGCCCCAUGUGUAAACUUCAUUAUACCAUCUUCAAUAGUAACCUUGUAGCCUUUAGCUUCCAAAGCACCCACAGAAAUUAGAUUUUUCUUUAAAGUUAGAACAAAUCUAACCUCUUUGAGUUCUCUGACCAUUCCAUCAAAUAUUUUGAGCCGAAUUGUUCCUAUCCCCAUUGUGCGAUAAGGUUGAUCAUUCCCCAUCACAACUGCACCGGAUUCCAGAUUACGAAAAUCCGUAAACCAUUCCUUAAUAGGACACAAAUGAUAGGUUGCUCCAGUAUCAAGUAUCCACUCGCUCGAACUAGCCACGUAUGCUGCAGGAGUAAUACUUAGUGAAUAAUGAGAGCCGUCAUCUUUCCGUGCCAUGUUUGCUGCUGCUGGUUUCUUCCCAUCUCUCUUUUGAGCCUUUGGACAAUCUUUCCUCCAAUGGCCCUUUUCAUGACAAAAGGCACACUCAUCUCGAGCUAUAUUUCUGCUUCUCGAUUUGGAUCGAGAAUUCUUUCCACCACGCUUCUUUUGUUUCUCCAUCGCCCAAUCUUUGCUCACCAAAGCUUCAGACGAUACUCAUUCAGAAUUUUUAUCAUUAUUCCGAAUCUCUAAGCUAGUCAAUGCUGUGCAAACAUCUUUAAAGACGAUCACACUCUUCCCAUAUAUCAAAGUAGUCACAAAAUGGCUAUAUUCCUCUGGUAGUGAGUGUAACAGAAUUAUAGCCUUGACUUCAUCCUUAAUAUCUUCAUCAAGAUUCUUCAAAUCAGCAAGUAACUUUUCAAAUCUUGAAACAUGAUCGUGCAUUGACACCCUAGGCUUCAUUCGAAAACCAUAUACUUGGCUCAUUGCAUGAAGGCGAUUUUCAGGACUUUUCACCAGGUACUUCUCCUCCAAUGUACGCCAUAAAGUCACCGCACACUCCUCAUCUUUCACCAAGUAUUUCACCUCCUUGGUCAAACAAGAUCUGAUCUGACCAAAGGCUUUUUCAUUCAUACGAUCCUAAAUUUCUUCAUUAUACAAGUGUCUUUUAUUUUUCAUAACAACACCAAGAUCGAUUUGAAUAAGGGCAUCCAUAACUUCGCGCCUCCACAUGCCGAAGUUGAUUUUCCCAUCAAACUUUUCAACAUCGAUCUUCUGGCCUCCUAUAACAGGUGCUGAAUAGCGAUUUGACAAAUCUCGCAUCCCACCUGAAGUGUCUCCUGAAAUAGUCUCGGUAGAUCUCUCCCCAAUUCUGGAAGUUUCACCUUCUACUAUUUUCUCAACGAACUAUUUCCACUUGAAAAAUAGUCUCUAUGAUGUUAAUUUCGCGUGAAUAAAUGCACCAGGAAAGUUCUCAGAAAACUGGACAGGAACUCGAUCCCAAUUAAAAACCAGAAUCCUUAGACUCUUAUCGCCUUUGUUAACAGAACUUUCCUAGACAUGCAAAAAUACACACUACUUACAAUAGACUGUCUCCCAAGUAUAAAUGGCCGUCUCCACCGUAUUCGUGAACAGUACCGUAUGUGAACAGUGCCGAAUACGGGAAUAGUACCGUAUACGUGAACAGUACCGUAUCCCCCCAAGUAAGAACCUUCGGCUCUGAUACCACUUGUUGUGCGCGGAAUGCGGAAUCAAGCGCACUAAAUAAUUACAGAAAAAUAAAGGACACAAGAAUUUACGUGGUUCAGUAAUUAAACUUACAUCUACGGAGGCAAGAAAGAAUAAUUGUUUAUUUAACAAUUAAUAGAGUACAAUAUUUCAGUAACGAAUCUCACUUCCCAGAAACCCAAAUAUACCCAGUACUCUCACACUCUGCAGGAAAGAUAAAUUCCCCAGACACACUUCUCUCACUUUCCACAAAAGCUUAGAAACUUAUAAGCUUAACAAUUUUGGGACGAUUUCAAAUGAAUGAAAUCCUUAACUAUUUAUAGGAGAAAUGAAUUACUAUGCUAAGAAUAAAAUAAUUAAAAAUAUAAUUUUUAAUUAUUAUUAUUUUUCAACUAUUAAUAUUUUUCAACAAUUUGUUGACUUCAACACUGUUGCUUGCUCUGAAAUCCUGUUUCAAAGGCUGGGCAAGUUUGGCACUCAAUAUGUUCCGUUUAUUUCCAGAAAAGAUUAAUUAUUGAUGAACUUCACACUUGGCUGAAUGUCUUAGUAAACGUUCUUGUGGAGAAAUCCUAAUACCCGCUUAGGCACUACAAUAAGGCAGAAAUACUAAUACUGCUUUACAUGUGUUGAUUGAUUAACAGCUUUGUUCUCUGCUGCUCUUUCUUUAUCUGAUGUAGAAAAUUCCUUUAAGAAUCAAUAUGAUUGCUAGUUGCUACUAACUAUAGAAGUACUCCUCUUUUGGCUCAUUCCAUGGAAUAUGGAAGACAUAUUACUGAGACUAAGCCACGCUUCAUUACCUUCCCAGAGAAAAUUGAAGUUUGGGCUAUGUACUUGGGACUGGAAGGAAGAGCGGCAGCAAAAUGAUUAAAAGAAUUGCCAUUUAGAGGGGCAUUUUUGUGACUACUGAUGUGUCCCUCUAAUGGUUAAAUAAAUUGAAACCACGUCUAAUGAAAGGCUAGAAAAAGGCCGUGUUAUAGAAAGCAGCGACUCUCAAUAAUAGAAUUUUGCGUGCAAGUGUGUGCAUUCGAGAACGCAAGUAUAAGUUUUUGUAUAGCUAUAGCCUACGGUAUAUGCACGAGCAUCUAAUAUAUACUUUGCAGUGAGCAUUAGCACCACAUCAAAUAUUUUUAGUAGAGCAUGCAUGAGAAAAAAAAUUAAAUGUAGAAAUUUAAUUUGGUUUGUUAGCAUUCCAUUACUUGGCCAAUUUCCUUAACAUUGAAUGAUUGAGUAAAUUUUUAAUUUUUUGUUUUCAAGAGGUUAUUAGAUUUGUUUGGAGGUAAAAUUUGAAGGAUAUUUAUGGACUAGUUGAAAGCUGACAUGUGGUAUAAGAAUAAUAAAUAAGAAGUUGAACGGUGAAAAAACAAAUGACACCUCGACUGUCCUACACGAGCCAAUCAAGGAAAAAAAUAAAGUUUGGUAAAUUUGGCGUCACGUGAAGAGCAAGCUCAUUUGAUAUUUGAGUAAAGAGGUGCCAUGCAGUAGAAAAGAUUAAACUACCCUGCGGUACCCAACCUAAAUAUAUUCACUUAAAAGGGACAAGAGAAGGACUCCAUUUUUCUUUUUCUUUCUCUUCAACUCUCUUGAGCUCGAGUCACAACUUGUAAUUGAUUCAAUUCAAAUUGGAAAAUUCAGUGAAAAAAACAACCAACCAUAAGUUAAAGUAUUGGAUAUGCCUUUCCAGAAAAAAAAGGCUCUGAACAUCCAGUAACAUUUCACCUUCUUCUUUCGCCGAAAAAUCAGCUCUAUGAGUUGGUUUUCCAGCGAAACCUUCUUUUUUUAUUUUCUUUACUUAUUUUCUCCACUCAGAUCCUCAUAUAUGUGGUGGUUUUGUUCUUCCACUCAUAUUUUCAAAUCUGUGGUGGUGUAUUCUUCCACUCAUAUCUAGAGAUUUGUGGUGGUUUAUUAUUGUUUGUCUACCCAGAUUUACAAAUUUGGGGUUGUUCAUUUGAUUUUGCUUGGUUUUGUAUUUUAUGAUGCAUAAUUUUGAGAAGAAAAGUUUCUACUUUGUGGAAAGUGUUGCAAAGGCAGAUCUGAUAGAUGCCUUUAAGAGACUUAAGAAAUUUGGGCAAAGUUUUUGCAGAGAAGAAACUAUCUAUGAUGCAUCAAAAGUGGAGUCCCCUCCCUGCUCAUGUUGUAAAGGCUCAGCUUUUCAAAGAGUAAGAAAGACAAAGCCUUCUCAUAUUGCUCACCCCAGAGGAGAGAAACAACAGAAGUGGUUCCCUCCCCCUGAAAAUAUUUUCAAAAUUAAUGUAGAUGUUGCCAUCAAUACUAAGAAUCAGAUUGCAGGCGUGGGAGCAGUGAUUAGAGAUUCUAAUGGAAAGAUAAUUGCAGCCGGUAUUAAUCAAAUUCAUCUUAAGGGACCAGUCAGUUUAGCUGAGGCAGAGACUGUGCAAUGGGGGCUUCAGUUGGCAAAAGAAGCAGAUUUAACUUCCUUGAUCAUUAAGUCAGAUUGCUUAGAGGUGGUUCAACUUGUAAACAACACCAAGAGCAGCAAAACAGAAAUUUUUUGGACAAUUCUGGAGAUCCGAAAUCAGUUGAAAGUUUUUCAAAAAGUUGUUCAUCACAUAACAAGUCAAUGUAAUGCUUAUGCCCACUCUCUAGCUAAGUUAGCUUUGGGAAGAAAUUCUUCUUCUAUGUGGCUAGGAACUAUUCCAGUCGAGAUUCAAGUUGUAUUUGAGGUGUUGUGAUUUAUGAAAGAUUUACUUUCUUUUCAAAAAAAUAAAAGUAUUGGAUAUGCCUAUUUAUCCUCUAAUAAUUACUUUAAAUACUUUAUUGUUCUACACACUCAUCUAUUAAAUUUAAAAAAUUAAGUUAUACUUUGUAUGGUCUUUAAAAUACUAAAAAUCCUUAAGCAUGUUAAAUUAAUCACAUUUAUUUACUCAAAACAAUACUCAAAGAAAAUUCUUUAAAACAAUUAAGCAUAUAAUACUGAAGUUUUUAUUGAAAAAUCGACAAAUCCUAAUAUAAUUUAUUUCUAUCCCCUACCUCUUCGAAAUUUAAACUUGGAGUGAUUAAGAGAAUAAUAAUAAUAAUAAAUUGUUUAGAAAACCACUAACCAAGGCCUAUAUCAUCAUAUCAUAUCAUAUGAAUUUUGUUACAAAUUAGUUAUUAAUAUUUUGAUAAUUUAGUGACCCUCGUUCAACCGAAAUUGGAUAACUUUUUGCAAUGGGGAAGGUAUUCGCAUCCAACCCGUUAUCUCUAAACGUAACCGACCCAGCAUUCGAGUCAUGGCUACGCGACUCAGGCUACCUCGAAAGCCUUGACACCGCCACCACGACAUCGGCCACCGCCGUCACAACAGCCUCCACCAAAGAAACAGCCACAGCCACGACCAUAACUCACAGCCUUUUACAUUAUUUAUACACCUUUAUCUCUCUUCUUACCGCCAACCCUUUUGCUAAACUCACCACUGAUGAUUUCUCAGCCAACACCCCGUCUUGGACCCGUGAGUUUAUUGGGGCUCUUGGGUCUUACUCGUUUCCAUCUUCCCCACACACCCUUAAGUUGAGAGUUCAUGAGAAUGUUAAACGUUAUGCCAGGAAUUAUGCUUCUUUGUUCAUCCUCUUCUUUGCUUGCUCUCUGUAAGAAUUUUGUUUCCUUUCCUGAGUUAUUAUUUUGAGUUAAAAAAAAUUAAAUUUUUGAAUGGUUUUUGUAUGUGGGUGUAUGAAUAUUGAACGAGAUUUUGGGAUGCUUUUGGAUGUGAUUAGAUUUAUGUGGCCUUGAUUGGAUUUUUAACGAUAAUUUUGAUUUGCUAACCUGUGUUUGUAAGGGUUUCAAUCUGCUUAAAUGAAUAAUUAAGUUACAGAUUUUUUUUUCUGGGUUCCAAUUGAUAAAUAACAACACUAUGAGUUUGCAAUUUUGCGUUGUUUUUUUUUUUCCUGUGCUUUGAAACAACUAUAUGAAUACUUAAAAUACUCCGGGAGAAUUGGUAUUUGUGCUGGUUCAGGGCAUUAGUUCAUAGAGUCUCGCCUUUCCAUUGUUUAGUUUUUAACUGAUGGAGAUAUUUUUUUAAUCAUAGUAUUGUGUGUGUUAGUUGUAUUACAAGUUUUUUUUUCUGUGUAUCAUCUGUCUAGUGACAUUGUCUCUGUCUCCAUCUUAUAGAUACCAGAUGCCACUUGCACUUGUUGGGUUGAUAUCAAGUUUGGCACUUUGGGAUUUUUUCAAGUUCUGUAGUGACAAAUGGAACUGGGAUCGGCAUCCUGUGAUUAGGCAGGUUCUGGUUCGCAUUGCACAAUGUGGUGAGUUCUCAAAUAUUUCAUCUUUGAAUCAAAAUGGCAGCCGAUAUUGAGAUAACCUGCUACACUCUUAUACUGUAUGUGGUUGAUGGGGUAAAAAAAUGGUUUUUGACGAUUGUUUUUCCGUAUUGGAAGGGCACUGUUAGUUCCACUCAUAGACUUACUAGGACAUUGCAAAUCGUUACGCCUAGUUGGCCAAGGGAAUGCUGUCUGAACUACACAGUUCCGUAUUGAUUAAGAUAUUUAAGAUUUCUCCUAGGAAGUAAACAUGUUCUGGUUUGGGUCUGAUGACCUUAAGAAAUGUAAAGAGAAAGGGUUUGUAUGACUAAGAUUGUGGCAAAACAGUUUUAAGUUCCAUUAAUCAGUGGAAGAAAAAAAUGUCAUACUUUUGGGAGAAUAUGGAGUCUAUGACCAAUUGACACAGGGUUCAAGCAUGGACUUCAGGAGUUUCUAGCUAGAAUAAGCAUUGUGAUUUGAUUUCUUUCCGCUCAAAGGGUCCUAACCAUAGAACGAGCAAGAAAAUUAGCAUGAAAUAGUACUGUGCUAGAGCAAGUGAUUUAUGAUACAUUUCUCGUUACCCCUAAAUAUGAAUGUGUGCACUUCUGCUUCUAUACUAAUGUUCUUGCCUUCUCUGGAUGAGUUUUGCUUUAAACUUUCCUUGGCAGGUCUUUCCAUUAUACUACAGUCUAGUUGUUGAUAAAUAGUGGAAUUCUUUCGUCGACUUCACAGUAGUAAUUACAUCUCAUCUUUGCAGCUACAUUGGUUGUUCUUAUGCUACUGAAUGUUCAGAUGACUCUAUUCUGUGCACUUGCUAUCGGUUAUGUUGGUAAAUAUUAGAAACUCUUCUUCAUCUUUUAUGAACGUUGCCUUUGCUUAGAGUGAGCUAACAAUUAGUCUACUGCAUUGUAGUCAUGAUUUUGCAUGCUGCAUUUCGUAAGCUCUCUGCUUCAAAGCACCCUUCUCGGAUCAGAUGAAAAUCAAUUUUCCAAACAAAGGUUCCUCAUUGAAGAAAUUUAAAGAUUCGGAAGCAAUUAGUUCAUAAGACUUCUACAGAAGCAAUGAAGAGCAGGGUACCCUAUAAAAGAUGAGAAAUUACUGCAACAAAACCUCGAAAGGGAGUGAGAUAAUCAUACUGGUGGUGUACUCCACUCAGGCACAAUCCAUAGUCAUUUUGUCACCUCAACGGGAGGACAUGACUCCUGCAACAUGUAAGAAAAGAGAAUCAAAUUGUCAUAACAAUAAUUCCAAUUAUACCGCUGUGAUAGAGAGAAAAACGAGAGCAUGCAUAUGGAAAAAAAUUUAAUUUUUAAAUUUCUAAUUUGUCAAAUCGAGGUUUGAUUUCUGAAUUUUUUAGUUGUCAAGUGGAUUAAAUUCUCCCCCGGCGCAUAUAAUGUCUAGAGAAAUUCAUGAAUCUAUGCAAACUAAACCCAUAUUAAAUUUAAUAAUAUCAUUAUCCACAGACUCUCAGUUUUGCACUUUUGCUUACAUAAACAUUAUGGAACUUAAACUUAAAUCCACAUUUUUCAUCACUCUCUUGGUGGCCUCAUGUUUGUUCCUUAAUCUUAUUUUCCUCAUCUUUUUAAUGCAUGCAUAAUUAACUAUAAUAUGACAACUAAUUGGCUGGCAUUUAUAUAUGCAGGCGUGUUAUUAGCAUUAGGCUAAUUAAUUGUUUGGCAUUUAUAUAUGCAAGUGUGUUGUUUAAUAUUUCCAUGCCGGCAGUUGAUGCUCAACCGGAAUCAAAAGCAGUCACUUGUAAAAGCAAUGCCGACUGUGACAAUCCCUGUCAGUCGUUUCGAAUGCGAUCUUGAUACCCAUCUCUGCGUUUGUGUUCCUGCCCGCAAUUCGACCUUUGUUGAAGAGAUUAAAGCUUGUCUUGCAAGUUCUAGUGAUAUUUUGGAUGCUGAAUUGCAAAAUUUGUGGCGUUACAAUCUUUGUUCCGUUUCUUACAUCAUAUGUCAAAUAAAAGUAUCAACUAAGAUUGCUGCCUCUCUUCUGAUAUGCAUACUAAAAUUGUGUACAAAAAUUUACAAAUCAUCUCCAUGUGAUUGGUCCUAGAUUCCUACUAUACAAUGUUGGCUUUCGAGCUGAGUUCGAACUUUUUAGCCGGAGCCCAAGACCAGCCAGAAUACUUAGAAAACAUGCUCUAGCUAGACUUGAUUUUUCUGCCAUUCCUACUUAGAAUUCCAUUAUCAUUGAUUUCAUUGAUGGAUUGUUAUAUUUUUAACACUAAGGGCUCAAAUGAAAAUAAUUAUAAAUAGUGUCUUAUGAUAUAAUACUUUCUAAAAGGUGAGAGCUCAUAUAAUACUGAUAUUUGAAUUAAAAAAUGAUACAGUAGUGAGAAAACAACUAUAGAUUUUAUUUAUAAUGUUAAAUAAAAAAUUAUAACUAUUUUUCAAUUAACAUUGUAACAUUGCACAAUUUAUUAUUAUUUUUGUCACCCGUUGUUAGAAUUCUUUAUCAUUUUUCAUUUCUUAAAAAAGAAUGCUAAAAAGAAAAUUGAACAUAUAUUAACUAUAAAAUUUUACAAACGAUUUAGUACUUUCUCAGAAAUAAGACAGCAUCAUACAUGAUUAAGAAUGCAUAUUUAUUUGAGUAAUUUUACAUUUAUAACCCUGGGAUACAAAUUUUAUUUGUGAUAUAGAGACAUGGAAGUCUCGCAAUAAAUUUAACAAGUAACACCUGACAUGAUUUUGCAUUUUUCCACGGCUUAGUUAUUAAUUAUUAAAUAAUUGAUAACGCUCUUGUGCUUGCUCCGUUCUUUUCUUUUCAGACAAGCUUUUAUAGUCCCAGUGGAAUUGUUUUUACCCUUCCUUUCUUAAAAGUGGAUGUAUAAAACAAAUUGGUCUUGAUCAUAUGGGAGACGAGAUUAUUGUAAGAUUCUUCCUUGAUCUGUUAUAAUCUGAGAGUCAACGAUCUUGAUUCAACUUCUUGACCGGAGAGCUAGCUAAGAGAAGGGAGGUAUGGGAGCCAGCACUAAUGUUUGAAUUGAGAGCUUUAAAGCAUGUUUUUCUUUUAAUUAUUUCUUUGCAUGCUACAGGACUGAUUACAGGGUGGUACCGAGAGAGGAGGAGAUAUGGACAUCAACUUCAGACUAUUUUCAGAGAGGCUGAGAAGGGUGUUAGCUGGUGAAGAAGUCACGUUGCCUGAUGCUGCAAAACAACCUAUUCAGAACCUUCAUGCGGAGGUUGAAAUCGUUACUUCUUGGCUGAGCGAAUUUGAAGAUGAUAUCUCCCUCCUUCUGUUCGAAAAAAUGGCGGAGGAGGAAAGUCAUGACCCAGAUCUGGCGACCGUUAUGGACGAAAUCAAUUGGUUUACGUAUGAAUCUGAGAAGGUGAUUGACACAUUCAUCAACAGCAUCACUCAACAGAAGACUCAAAGCAGCUGCAGCAAGGACAUUUUUGAUGCUCUGCAAGGACUCCAAAGCAGAAUCACUGAUAUUAAGCAACGGAUGCAACAACUUAAGCACAUGGAUUCCAAAAUCAUUGAUCGCAUCAAAACUUCUAAAGCUGAAGCCGGUAUAUCUUCAUCUUCUAAAAGUAGGGACACGGUGGGUCUAGAUGAUAGAAUGGAGGAGUUGUUAGAUCUAUUGAUUGAGGGACCACCUCAGCUUUCAGUGGUGGCCAUACUUGAUAGCAUUGGGUUGGACAAGACGGCUUUCGCCGGAGAGGCUUACAACAGCAGUUAUGUGAAGCAUUAUUUUGAUUGUCACGCUUGGAUUACAGAACCUUACAGCAAUGAAUAUGAUGCUGACCAAAUAUUAGAUAUCGUUAUUAAGUUUCUGAUGCCUUCAUCUAGGUUGAGUGAAAUAAUGGAUAAAAAUUAUGAAAUGAAAAAAAUUAUUCUUCAUGAAUAUCUGAUGACCAAGCGGUAUUUGAUUGUGAUUGAUGAUGUAUGGAGCAUUGAUAUGUGGGAUGUUAUUCAAGAAAUACUUCCGGAUAAUCAGAAUGGAAGUAGAGUAUUAAUAACACUCACUGACAUUAGGAUCAUCAUCUCAUUUCAGUUCGAAGACGGAGAGAACAUGCGGCUUGAUUUAGUGCCCACUGGAGGACCAUUGAGAGCUACAUAUAAAGGACGGCCUUUCCUCAUCUUAUAUCAUGGAAGCAUCUCAUUAGAAGAAAAUAUACGGGAAGCAGUGGAGACACCCCUUGGGCUUCGGUACAUCAAAUGUUUAAUGUUACCUUUUUGCUUGAAACCUUGUUUUAUCUACUUAUCUGUGUUUCCCGCACACCAAGAGAUAUCCACCAGGCAGUUAUAUCAGUUGUGGAUAGCUGAAGGUUUCAUUCCAGACAAUAGUGAGGCAACUGCUGAGAGUUACUUGGAACAACUUAUCAAGGAAGGCUUUGUUGAAGCAAAGAAGAGAAAAGCCGGAGGCACUAUCAACACAUGCUCUAUUCCUGGUCGUUGGCGUCCCGUGCUGCACACAGUUCCUUAUAUGGUGGAAUUCAUCUGUUCCCCUUUCAUGGAUCCAAAAGGUAAAUCACCAAAAAAAGCCAAACGGUUAAACGCUGUUGAAAGAGAGGGUGAUUUUGCUUGCUUAGAUGAUUAUGACUCGCAACUGCAUUCUUUGUUGUGCUGCUCUCCAGAAACCCGCCACCUUGACCCUAUAGAUUGGGAGAAAUUUUGUGGAAUGUUCAAACUUCUCAGAGUAUUGGACUUGGGAUCUCUUGUUCUCAUCCAGUAUCCAUCCGGAAUUGAAAAUUUAUUUCUUUUGAGAUAUUUGAAGUUGAAUAUCCCUUCCCUCAACAGCCUGCCUUCAUCAUUGUUAAGCAAUCUUCUGAACCUCUACACCCUAGACAUGCCCUUUAGCUAUAUAGAUCAUACAGCAGAUGAAUUUUGGAAGAUGAACAAACUCAGGCAUCUAAAUUUUGGCUCAAUCACACUUCCUGCGCAUCCAGGAAAAUUCUGUGGCUCUCUGGAAAAUCUCAAUUUCAUUUCAGCCUUGCAUCCUUGCUGCUGUACUGAAGAUAUAUUGGGCAGACUACCUAAUCUUCGAAAUCUCCGAAUACGGGGAGAUUUAAGUUAUAAUCAAUCUUUGUUGUCCAAAAGUCUCUGCAGAUUGAGCUGUCUCGAGUCAUUGAAGCUGGCGAAUGAAAGCAAGAUGCCACGGCUCUCCAAAAUCGUCCUUGCUGAAUACCUAUUUCCUCAUAGUCUAACCCACUUGAGUUUUUCUAAUACUGACCUAAUGGAUGAUCCCAUGCCGACACUAGAAAAGCUGCCGCUUCUUCAAGUGCUCAAACUGAAGCAAAACUCGUAUUCAGGUAGAAAGCUGACUUGCGGCUCUUAUGGUUUUCCGAACCUCAAGGUGUUGCACCUGAAAUCAAUGCUAUGGCUAGAGGAGUGGACUAUGGGGAAUGCAGCCAUGCCAAAACUAGAAUGCUUGAUUAUCAACCCUUGUGCUUACUUGAAAAAGAUGCCUGAACAGCUCUGGUACAUAAAGAGCUUAAACAAGUUCGAUUGCUGGUGGCCUCAGCCAGAGCUGAGACAAAAGCUACGGGAAUUUGAGGAUAAGGAACAGUGCGGCAUUCAACUAUAUCCUUACGGAAUUUGAUGUAUGUUUCUCGUUUUAACCAAUUUCUUCAACUUUUAAUUAUUUAUCCAAUUUCAUGUACUUUUUUUCCCUUCUCUCCAAUAUAAAAAUGGUUAUACAAAGUGUUUUCUUCUAAUUUGUCUCAACAUUAAGUACCCUUUAGAGUUUCCGAUGCUCACCCCAAUCAUCAAGCCCUCUUUAGCAACAGUGGAGACUUAUGUACUCUUCCAUAUUCAACCAUGAACCUAGCAGACAUCGGUGUUCAUUUGUUUUAGUAGUUAAGAAAAAAAAAUGUAAUUUAAAUUUCUUAUUUUUCACAAUUUCUUAAAUGACUUGUGUAGGUGAAAUCAGAGCAGAAAACAUCAUGACUGCAGUGCGAGCUUCAAUUUCAACCAGAAUCCUUUCCGUCGUCACUUCUGCUGUCUACACAAAUAAAUCCUGAUCCUACGGUGGUGGACUUUUUUUUGGUUUCUUUGUUUCCGCUGUCUAUUCAUAAAUAAGAAGUUUCGUUUCGGAUUUUUCAGUUGAGAGUUCAUUGAUUUGUGCUUCAGCCUCGGUUCGUUAAUUGUGUACAAAAAAUAAAUAAUAUUUGUGAUGCUUUCUAGUGUUUGGGUUGAGUUGAAUGUGUUUUCUGUCUUUUGUUCUGUUGCUUGCUCUGAAAUCCUGUUUCAGAGGCUGGGCAAGUCUGGCACUCAAUAUGUUUCGUUUAUUUCGAGAAAAGAUUGAUUAUUGAUGAACUUCACACUUGGCUGAAUAUCUUAGUAAACGUUCUUGUGGAGAAAUCCUAAUACCCGCUUAGGCACUACAAUAAGGCAGAAAUACUAAUACUGCUUUACAUUUGUUGAUUGAUUAACAGCUUUGUUCUCUGCUGCUCUUUCUUUAUCUGAUACAGAAAAUUCCUCCAAUAUGAUUGCUAGUUGCUACUAACUAUCGAAGUAUUCCUCCUUUGGCUCAUUCAAUGGAAUAUGAGGGACAUAUUACUGAGACUGAGCCACGCUUCAUUGCCUUCCCGGAGAAAGUUGAAGUUUGGGCCGUGUGCUUGGGACUGGAAUGAAGAGCGGCAGCGAAAUGACUACAAGAAUUGCCAUUUAGAGGGGCAUUUUUGUGACUACUGAUGUGUCCCUCUAAUGGUUCAAUAAAUUGAUUGGUCAAAAUAAUUCUAUUAAAUUUAAUUAAAUUUAAUCGAAUAUGCCUCAAGUGUUUACUCUUAAUAAAUAAUUCAGAGUUAUUUUGAAAUAAGGUUAAUGUGAGUUUGAAGUGUCGUUGUUCAGUUUGCAUGAAUAUAUUUUGAAUAUAAACUUCAAGAAGGUAUAAUUGCAAUCCCUAGCUCAAAUUUAUAACAAAUCAAUUAUAAAAAAAUUCAGAGCGAAAUUCAGGGAGUAUACUCUAUUAAAUUAUGUUCUAUAUUAGAUCACAUGUUAAAAUAGUUAUCAAGAUAUACAUAUAUAUACGUAUUUGCAUAAAUAAAAUGUACUGCGACAUUACGUAAUGCAUUUGAGUGGGCAAAGGAGGAACUUUAUCACUUGUAAGGCUCUUUUGUUUGUGGUUACUCAAACCAAUUUGCUUGAAUAUAUCCUGCAAGAGCCUUUUUUUUUAUUGCUACCAUAUGCCAUGGUUGUGAACUAAAAGGUUCUUAAACACAAGAUAUAUGUUAAAAGAUUUUUCAUAACCAGUCUUUUAACACCAUUUUCAUCCAUAUCCGUUUAACAACCGAUCUUUAAUAACCAGUCUUCAUUGCUCUAUUCAGAUGUAAAUAGUAAGCAGUUAUAAUGUAUUUGUUUUAUUUAAUUAAAGGAAAAUUAAGUGAUGAAAUUUGGUGUAGGCCAAAGAAAAAGAGUAAGUGUAGAAAUUUAAUUUGGUUUGUUAGAAUUCCAUUACUUGGCCAAUAUCCUUAACAUUGAAUGAUUGAAUAAAUUUUUAAUUUUUCGUUUUCAAGAGGUUAUUAGAUUUGUUUGGAGGUAAAUUUUGAAGGAUAUUUAUGGACUAGUUGAAAGCUGACAUGUGGUAUAAGAAUAAUAAAUAAGAAGUUGCCACCUCAACUGUCCUACACGAGCUAAUCAAGGAAAAAAAAUAAAGUUUGGUAAAAUUAGCGUCACGUGAAGAGCAAGCUCAUUUGAUAUUUGAGUAAAAAGCUGCCAUGCAGUAUAAAAGAUUAAACUGCCCUUUGGUACCCAACCUAAAUAUAUUCACUUAAAAGGGACAAGAGAAGCACUCCAUUUUUCUUUUUCUCUCUCUUCGACUCUCUUGAGCUCGAGUCACAACUAGUAAUUAAUUCAAUUCAAAUAAAAAAAAAAUCAGUGAAAAAAACAACCAACCAUAAGUUAAAGUAUUGGAUAUGCCUAUUUAUCCUCUAAGGUGGUGUUUUUUUUUUUUUUUUUUUAAGGGAAAGUAAAGCUUUCCAAACUGACAUUGAAAACAACAGCAAAACAUUGUCAUGGAAAAUUUUCCAGCCACAGAGCAGGUCUUUCAAAACUUAAAGCUAAUUUAGCUAAUGAAUCAGCCAAAGCAUUACAAGCUCUAAGGUGGUGUUUGAUUUUAAGAAAUGGGAGGAGAAUAAAAGAGUGGAAUGGAAGAGAAAUGAGUCGAUGAGAAUAGUGAAAUUAAAUUUCAUUAUUUGGUUUGAUAUAAAAUUUGAUAAGAAAAAAAAUUAUAAUUUUUUUCUUUGAAUAAAUUUAUUAUCUAUCUUAAAUAUUAAAUUAUCUAUAUUAGUAAUAAAAUAUAAUUUGAUAUUAAUACUAAAUCGUUUUAAUUUCAAAAAGUUCUAAAACAAUUCAUGAUUUAUAUUUAAUAUAAAAUAUAAAAUAAUUUAAUAUACUAACUAUUUAAUAUAAUUUAAUUUAAAUAAAAGCCGGUCAACAGUAGCGGUCAAUAUAAGUCAACAUCGGUCAACAAAAGUUAACACCGAUCAGCGGUGGCCGGUGACUUUCCGACGGAAUUUCAGCGGCUUCCGGCGAUGUCAAAGGGUCCGGCGACGGUCCGAUGAAGUUAAUUUAUAUUUAUAUAUUUUCAUAUUAAAUAAAAUAAAUAAGUUUAUUCAUUUUAUUAAAUUUCUUAAAUCAUUCAUUAAAUUUAAUUAAUAUAAAAUUAUUUAUAAAAUUAAAUUAAUAAAAUAAAAUCAUAAAUAAUAAUUAUUAAUAGCAUUAAAUAAGUUAAAAUAUUGGAGGGUAAAUUUAGAAGCUUGGGUUUUUACCAUAAGAGAAAUUUGAAUUCUUCACUCUUUGGUAUGGAAUUUAAAUUCUACAUUAUAAAGGAUAUUAAAUUUUAAUAAAAAUUAAAUUCUUAUAUAUUUUGUACAAUCAAACAAUAAAAAUAAAAGUAGAAUUUAAAUUAUUUUCCUAUUCUCAUUCUCUGUUUCCAACCAAACAUCACCUAAUAAUUACUUUAAAUAUUCUAUUAUUCUACACACUCAUCUAUUAAAUUUAAAAAAAUUAAGUUAUAUUUUGUACGGUCUUUAAAAUACUAAAAAUCCUUAAGCAUUUUAAAUUAAUGACAUUUAUUUACUCUCAUUCAACCGAAAUCGGAUAGCUUUUUUGUAAUGGGGAAGGUAUUCGCAUCCAACCCGUUAUCUCUAAACGUACCCGACCCAGCAUUCGAGUCAUGGCUUCGUGACUCAGGCUACCUCGAAAUCCUCGACACCGCCACCACCACGUCGGCCGCCGCCGUCACAACAGCCUCCGCCAAAGAAACAGCCGCAGCCACGACCAUAACUCACAGCCUUCUACAUUAUUUAUACACCUUUAUCUCUCUUCUCACCGUCAACCCUUUUGCUAAACUCACCACUGAUGAUUUCUCAGCCAAGACCCCAUCUUGGACCCGUGAGUUUAUUGGGGCUCUUGGGUCUUACUCGUUUCCCUCUUCCCCACACACCCUUAAGUUGAGAGUUC
Molecule: long non-coding RNA, 113033 nt
Filed under: Citrus x clementina
Lineage: Eukaryota; Viridiplantae; Streptophyta; Magnoliopsida; Sapindales; Rutaceae
Description: Citrus clementina (C. clementina) long non-coding RNA (CCLE_LNC006678)
Source: RNAcentral